AUCUUAGUGACUCUAAAUACCUGGCAGAAACUCCGGAUUUCUCAAGGGUCACCAAUCUUAAAAUGUUGAGUUUUGAAGGUUGUACACAGUUGCAUAAAAUUCACUCGUCUCUUGGAGAUUUGGACAAACUCUGUCGCUUGAAUUUCAAAAACUGCAUAAAUCUUGAGCAUUUUCCAGGCCUGGAUCAGUUGGUAUCCCUUGAAGCUCUCAAUCUCUCUGGUUGCUCAAAGCUAGAGAAGUUUCCGGUUAUCUCACAGCCCAUGCAUUGCUUAUCCAAGCUCUGUUUUGACGGGACUGCUAUAACAGAACUCCCCUCCUCAAUUGCUUAUGCCACCAAGCUUGUUGUGCUGGAUUUACAAAAUUGCGAAAAGCUCCUGAGUCUUCCAAGCAGCAUUUGUAAAUUGGCACAUCUUGAGACCCUUUCUCUUUCUGGCUGCUCAAGACUUGGAAAACCUCAAGUAAACUCAGACAACUUGGAUGCUUUGCCAAGGAUCUUGGAUCGACUUUCUCAUCUACGGGAGCUUCAGUUGCAAGAUUGCAGGAGCCUUCGAGCAUUGCCACCACUUCCAUCAAGUAUGGAACUUAUAAAUGCAAGUGAUAAUUGCACAUCACUUGAGUACAUCUCCCCUCAAUCAGUUUUCCUAUGUUUUGGAGGCUCUAUAUUUGGUAAUUGCUUCCAACUGACCAAGUAUCAAAGUAAGAUGGGGCCUCAUUUACGGAGAAUGGCAACCCAUUUUGACCAAGAUAGAUGGAAGUCCGCUUAUGAUCAAGUAAGUCCUCUUCUGGUUUCAUGUCAUCAUGAUUUCCAUUUGCAAAAAAUGUUAUUUGAAACACAAUUUUUUUUUUAUAUUACCCAACCAAUGAAGAAAUGUUUAAAAAGAAUUAAAUUUGUAGUUCAAAAAAAAAAAAAAUAUAUAUAUAUAUAUAUAUAUAUAUAUAUAACGACAUAAUAUUAAUUAAUUUUUUAGUAUACACCUUCAAUAUCCUAAUCAUGAAUAUUAUUAGCAAAAAAUCACCACUGCACACAAUUGACUUCUUCAUGCAUGUUAUUACCAUUGCAGACGAUUCAUCUGAUAUGUUAUCAUAGAGACAGUCGCCAAAUAUAUUUGUAAAUAAAGUGAAAAAAACAAUUGAUUUUUUAUUACCAAAAAUAAUAGGGCGUGUAGGUUUCUCUCAGCAGCAUCAUGGUUUUUGUUGUGCAGCAAUACCCAAACGUUCAGGUGCCAUUCAGUACUGUUUUUCCUGGAAGUACAAUACCUGAUUGGUUCAUGCAUUAUAGUAAGGGGCAUGAAGUCGAUAUAGAUGUAGAUCCAGAUUGGUACGAUAGUAGUUUCCUGGGUUUUGCACUUUCUGCUGUUAUAGCACCCAAGGAUGGGUCCAUUACAAGGGGUUGGUCCACCUACUGUAACUUGGAUUUACAUGAUCUUAAUUCCGAAUCCGAAUCCGAAUCCGAAUCCAGUUGGGUAUGUUCCUUUACUGAUGCUCGUACUUGCCAACUUGAAGAUACGACAAUUAAUUCAGAUCAUCUGUGGCUGGCCUAUGUACCAUCGUUUUUGGGCUUCAAUGAUAAGAAAUGGAGUCGCAUUAAGUUUUCAUUUAGUACAAGCAGGAAGUCCUGCAUUGUGAAGCAUUGGGGAGUUUGUCCAUUGUACAUUGAAGGUAGCAGUGAUGACAACUAUAACCGUGAUGGCGAUUAUUCCAGUGGGAGAUGCUGCUUGAAUGAGGGCCUUGGAGUGCAGACUAGUAGUGACAACAACAUUGAUGAUGAGGGGAAUGCUUGUGGAAGUGUCCUUGAUGAUCUACGUGAAUGGGGAUUAGAAGAUAUCAUAAUCAGGAGAAGCCCUGAAGAUGACCAACCCAGUGGACAGGUCUAUGAAGAUGCGAAUGGCACACAUGCCUGGAACCAAGAAAGGCUUCGGAUGCAGCCAAACCCUCUCAUAGCACAGACUAGUUAUGGCCAGUACACUCAUGAAAGGAAUCCUGCUAAAAGUGUCCUUGAUUAUCGCUAUGAAUCCACAUUUGAAGAUGGCAUAGUCAGGAUGAGAAGCCUUCUUGAGGAGUACCCCGGAGUAAUUGGUUUCUCUCCUACUGACUCACACUCCUGGGACCAAGAAAGGCUUGGGAGGCAGCCAAACCCUCCCAUAUCCAACAGUGAGACUGGGUUUUGGAUUUGUAUCACUAUUUUUAGCUUCUUCUUUCUUGCUCACAUUUUCCAUUCCGCUUCAUUUCGGAUCUCGCCACUUCUCGGCGUGUUACUCUUGCUUUUUAUCUUUAGUCGGCUAUAGGAACCAGAUAAAGAAAAAUAAUGAUAAUAAUAGUAAUAUUACACGUGGCAAAGCCCAUGGGCUUCACCUUUUAUUAUUGUUUUAUUUGUUCUAUUUCUCUAAGUAUUCCUUCUUGUCCUAAUAAUAAUCGUCUUCUUUUCCAUUUGGGGUAGAGUUUUUGUUCAGGCAGACCUUUGCUUAAGAUACUUCUUGUGUGAUGACCCAACCGAAGUCUAGGGAUACGUGAUUUUAUUUAGUUAGUAUUUAUUUCAUAGGUGGGUUAAUAUUCAACAUAUGAUGGCCUAAAUUACACUACAAGAAAAAAGCCUUUCGUUGACAGUUUUUCACCAUCAAGGUAGGGUAUAUCUGUCAAGGUAUGUUACUAUUUAUAUAUGUCAUCUAUGCCAGUAUCAAGAAAAGUUUAAAUCUACCUUGACAUUUACAUAUGUCAAGGUUGUUUCUAUUUUUACCAAUGAUCAAAUCUUUGUUACUAUGACAUAUGUCAAUGUUUCUUUCACUUUUGUCAAGGUUCUCGGACUGAAAUACCAUUUUUCCAAACUCCAAAUCCAAUCUCCACUGUUAGAAUGAAGAUCAAUGCGUCCUAAACGUGCGCCUAAAAUUGCAACUCAAUCGGACCACGAAUUGACCUCGAUCAAAGCUAAUGAUCAAAACAGUUCGGAGAGAAAAGCCCACCAAAACAAAGGUUCUAUUUUUGGCCGAAAGAUGACUUUUCAAAACUCUAAAUCCGAUCUUCACCGUACAAAUUGAAGAUUAAUGAGUUGUGAACCUCUCCUCCAAAUUUUAGCUCGAUCAGACCAUGGACAAAGUGGCAUCGUACCUUUGAUGAAAUCUGGGCAUGAUGUAAAAAACCUGCGUUUUUCUCUCUUCUCCUCUUUCUCUCUAAUGACUGUCCGAAACUCCAAAUCCAAUCUCCACCGUUCAUAUUGAAGAUACAUAAGCCACGAACCUCUCCUCCAAAUUUCAACUCGAUCCGACCACGGACGAAGCGGGAUCGGACAUUUGAUGAAAUCUGGGUAUGAUGAGAAAAACCUGCGUUUUUCUCUCUUCUCCUCUUUCUUUCUAAUGACUUUCCAAAACUCCAAAUCCGAUCCUCACUGUUCAGAUUUAAGAUGAAUGAGUCAUUAAACUUUCCUCCAAAUUUUAGCUCGAUCGGACCACGGACGAAGUGGGAUCAGACCUUUGAUGAAAUCUGGGCAAGAUGAAAAAAAACCUGCAUUUUUCUCUUCUCUUCUUUCUCUCUAAGAACGGUGGCUCUCUCCCUUCUUUCUCCCUUCUUUCUUGUCUUCCAAAAGUUAGGGUUUUCAAUGGAGAGUGAAAAUUUAGGGUUUUCAGUAAAGAAAAUGGUAAAGGCCUGUUGAAGUAUGAAAUAUGUCUUUCCGUCCCUUCCUUUCUCUUUUUAUAGGACUUUAUAGCAAAUUCCAAAAUACCACACAUGUCCUUUUUCAAUAAAUUAAAAAUAGUAUUCUUUAUUUCAUCUUCCAAUAAUAAUUUUUAUAUAUUAAACUCAUAAUGAAAAUUGAUAUUAACAUUACUAAAAAAAAUUAUUAAAUAUUAACUUCCUUAAUCAAAAUUGAUUGUUGUCACUUCAAUUUAUAAUACUUAGUAAGUAAAUUAGAUAUACACAUAUCAAACAAAUUAUUAUCAUUAUUGCUUUUAUUUAAGUACCUUGAAUACAUUGACUUAUAAAUUAUCUGUCAAGAUUCUAUUAUAUAAGUCAUGAAAGAAUUCAACAAAUUUUAUAUAUGUCAUUAUUGGUUUAAACAAGUUAUAUAUGUCAUAGUUGUUCAUUAAAAUAAGCAAAAUUGACACAUAUCACCUUAAGUCAAGAUAAUAUAUGUCAACAAUGACCUUUUUUCUUGUAGUGUUAUUAUUAUUUUUUUUUUAAUUUUUAUUUGUGGGCCUCGUGAUAGUUGAGUUUUUAAGCCAAAGAAGAAGCAAUUGAAGAGAAUAUUUAUGGUGCCCUUGAGAUACAUCUCUUCUUCUUGGAUCUUCUUCUUGUACAUCCUUUAUUCUUCCCUUGGAUUUCUUUUUCGGCUUCUUCUAUCUUUUUCUCUUUCCACAACAUCGUGGGGUUCUCUUUUUCCUUGGAAAUGGACUUCAACUUUUGCCAUAUAUGGGAGGCAUGCUUCUAAAAAAUCUCAAAGAAAGUGAUUGAUAGCUCAUAGGUGAAUUAUUGAACUGCAUAACAAGCACUCCACUAAUAUUGUGUUGUUGAGUGUAGAGAGCAAUAGACACGUACACAUACGGUUUUCAAAAUAUGGAUGGCUAGUUUAUCAUGAUAUGUUUUACUCAUUAAGCUAAGUGCCGACAAAAGAAUGUUGUCCAUGAGAAGGAAUAUUAGAAAGAGUAAAUAGAAGAGGUUGUCCAUGAGACGAAGUGUUAGGUAGGAUUUCACUGAAAUUAGGUAACCAACUGGGUGCGAGUGAAAAAAGGCUGGUCAUGACAUUGGUUAUUUAAAUUGUAAUCCAAAGUAUAAAGUUAUUGGCUUGAUAUACCUAUUAGUCCAAUAGCUAACUUAAAGUGUGAUAAUGUUGGAGUCUUGGCCAGCCAAAAAAUGUACAGGAAAGUGCUGGAAAAAGCCUAAAACUAAUGGGUUCCCCAUAUUUUCUUUAAUCAAGUUGAGAAAGAAUGGAAUAUUGAAGGUGAAAAACAAAGGAAGUGGAAUAAUUACAAAGAUGAAAAUUAACUCCAAGCAACACAAAGAAGACUCCCCCUUUCAGGACACCCUCCAAGUUUUUACAGGGACCUUCCACCAUCGGAAAUUUGAGGCUUUAAGGAGUGAGGAGACCCCAAUUCCAGGCAACCCACCUUCAAUCGACCUAUUACUUGCUCAUGGCUUUUUGUAACAGUUCCCACGGACAACACUAGACUGUUGUUGCUUUUUGAUAGGAUUGUGCAAUUAACCCGUAAGGUGCAGAUGAGGCGGCUUUUAAGUACUGUUCGUUCUUGGCAUCUGAGUCUACUACUUUGCUCAUCCUUCAAAGCUAGAAAAGAAACUAGGGUAGAGGUCCCAAGUUAAUUAGUUCAAAACCUCAAUAUAAAGACAAUAAAGAGAAAGAAAAAGAAAAGCACUUUGUUUUUUAUGAAGUUCCAAACCCAACACCCUCCCACCCCAUUCCACUCCCUGUAUGAAAGAAGGGUCAUUUUAAUAUUAUUUUCGAGCAUGGUGAGCUAUGCUUACCUUUGGUGGCUGCAAAUGUAGUUCAGUUAAUAGAGGUAAAGUGUUGCUCUUGUAAAGUGGUAGCAGGAGAAACAUGUUGUAGGUGGUUUGGCAAUUUUCCCUAUUAAAAUAUUCCUAGAAAAAAACAAUUUAAAUUUGAAAAAAUAAAAACAAAUCAUUUUCCAAAGAUUGUCAUCUAUAAGAGUCAUGCUCAUUUUGCAACCUGAAACUACACAUUUGGCUUUUCUGGGAGCAAUAUAUCUUCAUUCAUGAAGCUUGUAAAAAAUACAUAAAUCAGGCAAACAUUCUUCGUUUGAAAGAUUAUUUCAUUUUAUUUUUUAAUAAUAGAUAAGUGAUAAAAAUUAAAGGAUCUAAUUUAUUUAUAUGAUCAUAUGUCACUACCUAUAAGGAACAUUAAUCAGAGCCAUGUAUACAAUGUUGAAAAGUUAAACUUGUUUAGAAUCUAAGAAGGAAAAUUAGUUCUAGCUAUGUUAAAAAUAAUAUUUUAUUUUGAGUGAUGAGUGAAUUCCUAUAUUUUUUUUUCAGAGAUUUUAUUUUGUUCGAUGUAAGUAUCCAUAAAUAAGACAUUAUAUAAUAUUUAAACAAGAAUACUAGAAGAUAAUAGACUUUUAAGUCUCUUCAACUAUUUAUCCUUCUUUAUAUAACAGUUUGUAUAUAUAUGUUUCUUUCAACCCUAUUGCCAUAACAAAUUUCCAUCAAAGUCAUAUGAAAAAAAAUGAUAAGUGAAUAUCCAUUUCCGGUCCCUAUCUAAUUAAACAAAGACAAUUGUGAUAAAUAGAGUAUCAAUGUAAAUGUUUUACUUGAUUUGCAAGAUGCAUGAGAGGUUGUAGAUAAAGGCUAUAAGAAGCCAAAAGAUGAAACCGCAUUACCCCAAAAUAAGAAGCCUUAAGAGGAAACCAUGCUAUGACAAAAUCAAAGGAAUCUUUUGAAAUAUAUAAGAAAGAUAAGGAAACUUUUACCCUCAUCUAUCAAAUAAUGGAUGAAAGUACUUUUGGGAAGAUUUGAAGUGCAACUAUUGCCAAAGAAGCAUAAGAGAUAUUACACAAAGCACACAUAAAGCAGUUGAUAAGGUACAAAAAGUUUGUCUUCAAACUCUUAAAGGAGAUUUUGAAAGUUUAAGUGUGGAAGAAUUAGAACCAAUAUUCGAUUAUUUUUCUAGAGAAUUGACUAUUGUAAAUUUAUUAAAAAGAAAUGGAUAAAGAACUACAAGAGAUCACUACUCCCAAGUUCAUCAACUUGUGAAAUUUCAACAAUAUCAUCUUCAUUAGAAAUCUUAGGCCAAAGGAUACCAUGCAUGAUUUAGGAGUCUACAAGAUAUUUAUGAGGUAAUGAAAAAUCAAAACAUUGUAACUUUCUUUUGUCCUUUUUAAAAUUGUAAAGCAAUAGAUUUUGAAAAAAUAAUUCAAGAUAAAAGAUGGAAAGAUGCAAUGAAUGAGGAAAUAAAAGCAAUAAGGAAGUAUGACACAUGAGAACUAUGAUAACUCAAAUAAUUGAAAAAAAAAAUUCAAGUGGAUGUGAAAUCUACUUUGUUAAAUGGACAUCUAAAGAAUCCAUGGGUUAUGUGAUAAAAGGGGAUGAGAGCAAAGUUCUAAAAUUGAAAAAACCUUCUAUGGACUAAAUCAAACACUAAGCAUGGAAUAAUAGAAUUGACAAAUAUUAAUUUUAAGACAAUAAUUUUAUUAAGUACCCUCAUGAACAUGCUCUCUACAUAAAGGUGAACAAAAAAAAGUAAUAUAUAUAUAUAUAUAUAUAUAUAUAUAUAGUUGUCUGCUUAUAUGUGAAAGAUUUGAUCUUCACUAAAAAAAAAUUCAACCAUGUUUGAUGAGUUCAAAGAAGUAAUGACUUAUGAGUUUAAGACCGCCAAUAUUGGUCUCAUGCUGUAUAAUAUCUUGGAAUAAAAGUCAAGCAAACUAAAAAGGUGUUUAUUUUUUCAAGAAGACUGUGCAAAAGAAAUUUUCAAGAAGUUUGACAUGAAUAUUUGUAAUUUGAUUAACAAACUAAUAAAAUCUAGAGUUAAAGUAUAAAGACAUGAAAGAGAAACUAUGGAUUUAAUAAAUAAAUAAAUAAAAAAAGCUUAGUAGGAAGCCAAUACUAUUUGACUAGUACAAGGUCAGACUCUUUUUUAGCAUAUAAACUUGCUAGUCAUUAUAUGAAAACACUAAUGGUGACUUGCAUGAAAAUUGCCAAAUGAAUUAUUCACUACAUCAAAAGUACACUUGAUUAUGGUUUAUAUUAUCCACUCUUUUCAAGUUUGUUGGAUAUGGUGAUGGUGAUUGGGAUAGAGAUUAAACGAUCGAAAGAGAAUAAUUGACUUUAUGUUUUUUUAUGUGUGGGAGAUGUUACGUUCACUUAUACAUCAAAGAAACGGCCUAUUAUGAUCCUUUUAAGCGGAAUUUAUUUUAACAACAGUGCAUAUAUAUCAUGCAAAUUGGCUUAAAAAUUUGUUGAUUGAGCUUAAUUUAUCACCACAAAAACCACAUUAAUCAAUGAUUAUUGCAUUAUCAGAAAAUCCAAUUUUUUAUGAUCCAUACAAACAUAUAGAUACAAGAUAUCAUUUUUUUUAGAUAGUUGAUUACUACCAAAAAGUGCUAUUUUGUAGACCUAAUUAUAAUGGUUUUAAGCACCUUUGAGUAGUAAUCAUAUUCAUUUAACCCAAUUAAUUCAUUAAGGUCCUUAGUAAUUGAUUUUAACCAUUUUGUGGCAAGUUUACAUGUUUUUAUCAGCUUAUAAAUCAAUUCAAGCAUGCCAAAUGAUGGAGGAGCUACUAGGACAAGUCAUGGCAAAGCUUUUGGAAGCUCAAAUUCAUGAAGAACCAAGCUUUGGAGCUCCAUAGCCCUUUGCCAAAGUCGUUCAAAGUAUGCAAGGAAAGAACAAUGGAGAAGAGGAAAACAGAGUGAAGAAAACAGAGGAUAGCAGCUGCAGUCUUCUUUCGCACUUUUGGAGCACUUCCCGAAGUCCAUUUUCUACAUGCUAUAUACCAUUUCAAAGCUCAGGAAGUCAAGAAUCCAACGCUUCAAACCGUGUAUAAUUUGGAGCUGAAAUGAGGAAGAUAUGGCCUUCGGAAGAUAACUGCUCCAGGCUUGUGCGAAAAUUUCGCACAACACCUUCCAAAUUCGCACAGCUCAUGCGUGGUGCGAAUUUUCCUCUGUUUUUGCCGACUCCACUUUAGAUAUUUUCCUAUGUAUUUUUUGAUGUAAUUUCCUUUCUUAUCCUUGUAACUAACCAAUCACAAGCUUUUGCUUUUGUAAAGACUAUACAAGGGGUGGAGAUCACCUCUUGGAACAUAUAGAACAUAGGUUACGUUUUACACUUAGAAUAUAUACAGAGCUCUCUCGUUUCUCUUUUCUCUUUACUAUUUUAUUUUCUUGGAAGCCAAACAGUCUCUGAGGGCUUUUCCUCAAAGGAUGAUUGGCUAAAACUUUUAGUUUCUCAAAGUAUGGAUGUUAUGUGAUGGGUUGGAUGCAAUCCCAUGGAAAUUUCUCGCACCCGGAAGGUAAGGUAGUCGUUUUUCAUUAAAGGUUCAUUAAUGCAAAGUUUGGUUUUUAUUUCCUUUGGACAACUUCCAAUGGUCAAUACUUGAUAAGCUUUUGAAUUUCUAUCCAUUAGUUAUCUCCUACGAGCUAUUGGAAGGUGAGGUUUUCAAUUCCAAGUUUUGCAUUAAUCCAUUAGAACCGAUUUCAAUGGCCAUUGAAAGGUGAGUUUAUCACUUGGAAUGACUUUGAGUUGCCAAUAUUUGGUAAGCUUUUGACUUUAGACCAUUAGUUAUUUCUUACGAGCCAUUCAAAGGAAGUCUAAGGUGAAUAACCAUUUAUGAAAUUCACUACCAUCUGUUUUGUCAUUUUAAAGGAUUAAAACUUGAUUUGCUAAAUCCAUACCGGUUCGGGAAGCAAGCAUCACCAUAGUUGCAACCCCAACGCGAGGAGCCUAUCCUGAGAUUUCCAAUUUGCAUAAGAGCUAGAGCAUAGUUAUCCUAUCUUUGAGGAACUUGUUUUUACACCCUUUCAUUUUAGUCUUUAAUGUUAGUUUAGAUUAGUUUAAAUCUUUCUAAAACAUUUACAUCUUCUUUUAAAGCUAACAUCCUUAAGAAAAUCACCUAUUUGCCUAAUUUGAAUAUCACUUGUGUUUGCGAAAACCCUUCCCAGUGAACGAUCCUAGAACCACUAUGCUAUAGUAGCUUGGCUACUUUAGUAAUAGUAUUCAAGGUAUAAAUUUUGUUGAUACGCCUUUAAAGCUAAGCUACCAUGAGUCGAAUCAAUAGUCAUUAAGAAAAAAAAGUACAAUUAAAAUUUGCAAGUCCCAUGAUCAAAUUGCGAAUAUUUUACAAAAGUUUGAAGAUUUUAGAACAUUAUGGAUGUUAUUUGAAGUUAUAAAUCAAGUUUAAGAGGAUAUAUUGAAAUCUUAAACUUAAUUUAAGAAGUUUUUUUUAAAAAAAAAAAAAUUGAAUUAGAUCUGGUUUUUAAAAUUCAAAGAGUAUUUUAUGUGAAAGGUUCAUUGAGGUUUUAUAUUGUUGUUGUUAGGAGUUUCUAUUUUGUUAGGUAUUAAUAUCUAUUCAUAAGAUAUUAUGUACUUUGAUAUUUGAACAAGAGUAGUAAAAAAUAAUUUUUUAAUUCUUCUUAAUUAUUUAUCUUCCUUUAUAUAAUUGCUUGUGUUUCUUUCAAACUAAUUACUCUAAAAUACAACCACAAUUCUACCAUCCUAUACAAUAAAUAGAUCCAUAUACAUUCAAACAAAAGCUUGAAAUGAUUUUAACAUUAAGAAAGCAAGCUUUGUAAAUAAUUCUCCACAUUGUCCAAUCCACAGAGCUUCUUCACAACAGGCAUUGUUGCUGGGACCUCCAAUUGGAAUGUUGAAUCGGACUUGUUUAGCCCUGUCCAACGAAGAAGCUGUUGUCGGGCUUCUCUAAUAGCUGCCCUUGUAGCACAGUGGACUGAAACUGCUAGAAGUAAUGGUGGUUCACCAGAAGCUGCACAACACACAUUCACCUUGCUGAUUAUGAUUCAUCAAUCUAUAUAAAGCAGUGCGCUGGAAUUAUUACAAUGGAGGUUUUCUAGUCAAUUGUACUACCAGCAAAUAAAGCAAGUUUUUUCAGGUAGUUACAACAAUAGCAGUACAAACCAGCUGCUACUGCAGCUACUUCUCAUGCUAUUGUAACGAGUUACUAAUUAUUCAUGUUACUCUAACACAGGACAGUUAAUGCUACCCCAGCAGUGAGCUAUUUCACUUCUACCUUUAUUUUUGCUUAUAUUUUCCUACAUUCCCAUUUAGGCUGAAUUAAUAUGCUUUUCUUGGUUUAAAACGAGGUCAACAACACUUCCUAUCAAAACCUUCCCUAAGGGGCCACCUGCUGACGUUCUAUAACCCUUAAAUUACUUAACCUUGACAUGGUAUCUUGACGUUGAAACACCUAGUAGAGUUGGAAUCAUGGCUGUGGGGAUCCAAUACUGGUCUUAAUCACCUUGGUUGUAGAGCUUUCUCUCAUAACAUUAGAUACAUUGCAAGUGGAUUAAAGAUUGUGGUUCAAUGGCUAGGGUUAGAGGUCCACCAUUAUGGGCAUUAACAUGAAUCAAACACAUUAGCCAUAAUGAAAGGAAGGGUAUCUAUCCCUGCCUCACAUGCUAUGAAUUAGAGAAUGCAGAAGGAAGAGAGAUCCUACCAAGAUUUAUAAGAAAACAGUCUGCCUCACAUUGUGAUUAAUUAGAAUUACUUUUUAUGAGCAUUAUAAAACAUUAGACUUGCAUAACAAGGCAAAAAAAAACAUUAGAGCUUAACUAGCAUAUCAUUUCAUUGAGAUCAGUAAGAGUUACUUCUAAUGAAUACUGCAAAUUACUUCAUUUGUAUAAAAUUCAAGAAAAAGAAAAGGCAAAGCCUCCUGGAUUGUCAAUAUUCAAAGAGAAUUUAGCAUUUUUCAAUAGAUAUAUAUUCUCUUCAACAACCUCCCACCUUUGGCUUCUCGCCCUUACCUUUACUCCACCACCCCCAUCUCUCCCAACUUAUACCCUUUCUCAUUUUUCGCAACAGGAGAGCUCCUCAUAUGAGAUCUUCCUUGAAUAUUUCCUUAUUCUACUGGGAAAUCUACUAACAUAAAGAAAUAAGGAAACGAGAAUUUUGUUUUACAAUAUUCUAUUUUGAAAGGAAUUAUCAUAAAUUUAGUAUUGGAACCAAAUUUAGAUAUUGAUACUUUUCAAUAAAACUCCCCAAGCAAUCAUACCAGUGCAUUCGUCAUGUUUUUCCAUUUUCUUUUUCCUAUUGUAUGGUAAUCAACCAAAUCAUUUUUUAAAAUUUUGUACAACUCGUCUUGAAAAUGAAUUAAAUUAUGUAUAUUUUAUGCAAUUUGGAUGAGAAAUUUAUUUACUAUAAAUUAGAAAAAUUGUUAUUAAGAAAAACAAAAUAUGACUUAAGUAGAUUAUGUUUUUAUCUAUUUUUCCUCUUGUUUCUCAAAAUAAAUUAGAUCUAAAUUUUUUUUGAGUUGUCAUGUUACUCGAGCAAAACUAGCCACAUAAAAAUUGCUAAAUUUGGAUGAAAAAUUAAUCUAAAUUAAAUCAACAGAAUUUGAAAACUAAAACUGAAAUUCUACUACAUACAACUACUAUUUUUACCCCACAAUUCAUUCAAUUCUCAGUGAAAUUACCUCAUUCAAAUUUAAAAAUAGCACCAUUAAAAUCAUAUAAUUUGGAAUAGAAAUACAUUUACUACAAAUUUCAAAAUUCUGCCUUCUAUCGUACAAUUUCAAUGAACAACCAUCAAUUCCAGUUAAAUAUCCAAUGAACAUAACCAAAAUAUACCAUCAUUUAUACUAAUCAAAUUUUUUUUAUUAGAUUUCUAAAACAUUCACAUUCAUUUAAAUAUCAACUUGAAUAAAAAUUCCUAGUUAUUUUUCUAAAAAGAAAAAGCUAGGAUUUCAUACUCUUUCCCAAAUGAAAUUUCCUAAUAUUAAUGAAUUAAUUUUAAUAAUGAAACACCUAUUUCCAUCACAAAAUCAUAAAUUCAAAAAAGCAUCUCACAGAAACAAGUGCUAAUUAAUAAGUUAAAUUACUACUUUUUCAUUAGAUUUCAAAUUAAAAUAAGAAAUAUAAUAAUUAAUUUUAUAGAUGUUUUAAACAUGCAAAAAUAAAUAGGUUUAAGGCUUAACAAUAUUAAGAUGAAAAAAAAUCAAAAAUAGAAAAGUCAAUAUGACAACCACCCUCCAACUUCUUCAAUAAUAAAUGGUUGUGAUGAAGAUGAUUCUUUUGAAUGUUAAACAUCAUGCAUGAGUAAUCCUAAGUUUUGAUGAUUAUAAAACAAGGAUUAUGGGACAAAUAGUUGAAUUUUAUUUAGGAGAAUAGGUUAUCAAGAUCAUAUUAAAGGCAAUGCCAUUAUUUAAAGAAAUUCAAGAGAAGGCCUUAAAGUUGAAGACCAUGGAAAGCUCCCAGGAUGGGUUUGUUUUUAGUCUUUUCCUCCUAUAAACUAGUACUUAUGAAUUAUUUAGGAUGAAAAAUCUUAACCUAGCUUAGGACGCCACCAAUGACCCUUCAUCUUCAUGAAAAAUCAUUAAAGAAUACUUAAAAGUCCUCUUGCCAAAACUGAGCUUUAAACUUUAAAAAAUCUCCUUGAAAUUCAGGCAUUGUAGCUUAAAGACAUGGUCAAAUAGAUGGAAUCAAUUUUGGACCAUUGUGGAACCUUUUUAGACUAUCCAAGCAUGAAAUGCCUCAUUAGGCUGACAGAUCAACAUAAUCAGCAAAAGAAAUGAUAGAUUUGCAAGUUCAGCUGCAAAAAAGUUGUGGUUGAGGAAACUCUUAAUAUGGUGGAUAUACCUCCACGCUUGGGAAGAAGCAGGAAAAAGUAGAUAUAGGCGGUUGUCAAACUACCAUAAAUCAUUGUUUGCAAUCUCUCAUACCCUCUAUCUCCUUUUAUUUUGCAGAAAUUUGCAUUUACGCUUUAUUAUUAUUAUUAUUAUUAUUAUUAUUUUAUAGAUAAAAAAGACGUAUAUAAAGCAAAAAGGAAGUACCAAAAGCAGUGCCCUCGGAGUAUACAGGGAGCAUACAAAAGAUGCCUCAAGGCUCAAACCGAAGGGGAAGGGAAAGAAACAAAAAAUAUCACCUACCUUUAUUUAUAGCCUAAUCAAUCAAUGAAACUUACAAGUGAAGAAGAGCUCAAAACUAUAGACACUCUAACCCAAGACCAAAGAUUACAUACAAAAGGAUUUUUCAAUCUUUGGAGCCAAAGUUCCUCAUUACCAAAUGCUAACAUAUUCCUUUCCUUCCAGACUGUCCAAAAUAUACAUAAAUCAUUUGCCAACCCUUUUUACGAGCUUUCCCCACAAAAGCCCCAUGUCACCCAAGAAGAGUUUCCUUCACUAAACAAGAGAGAAUCCAGGCCACACCAAAGAGGGAGAAAAGAAGAUUUCACUGAAUCCGAGUCUUUGCACAAUGAAGUAAAAGGUGAUCCAUUGUCUUUACUUCAAAGAUGCAUAGAAAACACCUAUUUGCCAACAAGUGCCCCCUUCUUUGAAGUUGGUCCAAAGUUAAAACUUUACCCCAAGAAGCCUCCUAAGCAAAGAAAGCCACCUUAGGAGGCACACUCGUCCUCCAAAUACUACCACUAGGGAACAAAGAAGAAUCUCUCGACUCCAAAAUAAAAUAAAUAGACUUGACUGUAAAGGUGUCACACCUCGAAACUGUCCAAAUCACUCUAUCUUUCACCUCCCUUUGCACCCUAAAUGCUUGGAUCUUUUGCAAAAAAACGCUCCACCAACUCUACCUCUCAAUCAUUAAACGCCCAUGAGAAAAGAGGGGUCCAACCACCCCCAUCACCAUCAGGGUUCCAAACAUCCAAUACCCAAGCUUCCUUAGACAAAGAAAUGGAAAAUAAGGAAGGGAAUGACUCACAAAGUGGCUCAUCACCACACCACUUGUCUAUCCAGAAACUCACUCUCUACCCAUUACCCACUUGGUAGGCUAACACAAUCCCACACCAUACCUCUCACUCACUGCACAGGAGCUCCACCCCCCAUCCUCUUCACCAUACUUGCGACUGAUGACUUGCUUCCAAAAAGCCUCUCUUUCAUUGGCAAACUACCAAUUCCACUUACUUAAGAGAGCUAUAUUCAUUAGAGCAAGAUUUCUCACACCUAAACCACAUUUCCUUUUUACCAAGCAAACCAUGUUCCACCUAACAAGGUGCGGUUUUUGCACAAGAGCUCCACCACCCCAAAGAAAAUCCCUCUAAAUCUUCUCCAAUCUAAACCUCACUUUUCUUGGUAUGUAAAAUAGGGACACAAAAUAGAUAGGCAUGCUAGAUAAAGUGUUUCGAAUUAGAGUGAGUAUCCUUUCUUUUGAGAUAUACUAUCUCUUCCACAUUGCUAGGCUUUUUCGAAAUCUCUCUUCAACUCCAUCCCACACAACCAUUGAUUUGAAGGGAUCCCCCAAAGGCAAACCCAAAUAGCAGGAAGGAAGACCACCCACUUUACACCUCAACUCCAAGGCCAAGUCCUCUAUAUCAUGCACCCUACCCAUCAGAAUUAACUCGCUCUUCUCCAAAUUGAUUCUCAAACCUGAGCAAGCAUCAAACCACAUGAGAAGUCAUCUUAGAUAAGUCAUCUGGUCUUGAGACGCCUCACAAAACACCAAUGUAUCAUCAGCAAAUAACAAGUGCGAGAUUAGAAUCCUCUCACCACUCCUAUCUCUCACCCUCCAACUAGAUAAGUAGCUCCCACUAAUAGCCCUCCUCAAUAAACAACUAAACACCUCCAUGGUUAUCACAAACAAAUAAGGGGAGAGGGGAUCUCCUUGUCUCAAUCCCCUCGAACUUUAGAAAAAAUCGGAAGGAGAACCAUUUACUAAAACAAAAAAUUUCACAGUAGAAAUGCACCAUUCUAUCCAAUUUAUCCAUUUCUCCCCAAAGCUCAUCUUUCUAAGCAUUGCAAUCAAGAACUUCCAAUUGACAUGAUUAUAUGCCUUCUUUGUAUCCAACUUACACAACACACCACCUUCAUUGCUUUUCAACCUUGAGUCCACAACCUCAUUUGCAAUCAAUACUGUGUCCAAAAUCUGUCUACCCUCCACAAAGGCAUUUUGAGACUCCGAAAUCACUUUGCCCAUUACCUUUUUAAUUCUAUUAGCCAACAACUUGGUCAGCAACUUAUAAAAGCUACCCACAAGGCUAAUUGGCCUAAAAUCUUUCAGGUCUUCUGCACCUCCCUUCUUAGGGACUAAAACCAGGAAAGUAGCAUUCAAAGACUUUACAAAUCUGCCACUCUCAUGAAAGUCUAUAAAAAAACCCAUAACCUCUACCUUCACAACAACCCAACAAAAAAGCCAAAAAUCCAUGGCGAAGCCGUCCAAACUUGGGGCUUUGUCCUUACUUAGAUCUGAGAGUGUUGCAAACACCUCUUCUUCCGAAAAAAGAAUCUCCAACCUCUCAGCCUCGCUGCUAACUAGUCCCAUAAAAGUCAGCCCAUCGAUACAAGGACACCACCCCCCUUCUUUUUAAUACAGGUUAUGAAACACCCCCACCAUACUAUCUCUUAAAUCAAUAUCCUCGGUAUGCUAGUAGCCAUUCACUUUCAACUUGGACAAUCAGUUUCUUGUACUAAGAGCAUUCGCCAUCCUAUGGAAGAAUCUAGUGUUAUUACCUCCCUCCUUCAAUCACACUUCCCUAGACUUCUGUCUCCGAGAGAUUUCAUCUCUCAGCACCCAAGUCUUAUAAGACUCCCUAGCCUCCUUUUUGGCUUCACAAUCUUCCAGAUUCAGAGCUAAACAUUUCUCCUUUUCGUCCCAAUACACAACCUGGCUAAAAGCUUCUCCCUUUUUAGCCUCAAUGAGACUGAACACUUCUUUAUUCAAAGUCUUCAAAAUAGCUUUUAAGGCUCUCAAUUUUGCAUCUAAAACAAAGUUGAAGGUCCCAGUAAAAUUGAAGCUCCCCCACCACAUCUUCAUCUGAUCUUUGAACCCCUCUUCAUACCUCCUUCUAGCAAAAUGGAAAAGUGAUCAGAAACUGGUCUAGGUAAAACAACCUGCAUAGACCCAUUAAACAAAUUGCCCCAAUUAUCUAUCACUAAAAACCGGCCAAGCCUAGAUUGGGAUUGGUUAUUAAACUAACCCCUCUAAUUAAAAGGACCCCCCUGCAAAGGAAAGUCCCUCAGCUCCAAAUCCUCUAACACUUUUGAAAAUCUCCUCAUUGAUGCAGAAAGCCCUCCUCCCCUACUACGUUCCUCUAGAAAUCUGAUCAUAUUGAAAUCCCCACCUACACACCAAGGGUCACUCCAUAAACCUCUUAUUGACCCAAGCUCCUCCCAAAAGUCCUCUCUAUCCCUACUGCACACCGGACCAUACACACCAGUAAACACCCACACAACCCCAUCCACAUAGUUCUUAAAGCAACAUGAAAUUGAGCUUUCCCCUUCUUCCAAGUCAACCAACUCAAACACUCUAUUAUCGCAAAACACUAGAAUGCCUCCAACUGCACCCCUUGAAUUGACUGCACUCUAGUCUAGAUGUCUUCCCACCCUAAGACUACGAACAAGCCCCGUAGUCAUUUCUUUAAUUUUGGUUUCCUGCAAACAAACCACGUCCACCCUUUGAGAUUUUAUCACUAUCUUAAUUAUCUUUUAUCUUUGUCAUUUUCCCCUCUCACAUUCCAGGAUAAAAUUCUUAUCUUCAUUUGCACCCCGACACUGAAGCCCCUUCAGAAAUACCCAGACUUGUAUCAACCCUAGUUUUUUUAUAGCUCACUGUCCACUCCAACUUCUUAAGUUCCCUACUAGAUUUAGAAGGCAGUGAUUUCAUCUUUCUAGACACCUCAUCUUGCCCCUUUUGGUCAAUUUUCCCCUUCAUCCUCCUCAAGAGAUACAAAAUAUCCUCUUCGAACCCUUCCGUCGGCAUACCAAGGCAACGAAUGAACUUUGCAAGACAGCUAAAGUUCCACUCUUCAUCUUGUCCCCCCUCUUCCAGUUGAAAGUCAAUCCUCUCCACUAUUGGACUCGCAAAACCUGAUCCAACUGGGACAAUCGCUAGCUCAAUUGCACCAACACUGCCAACCAAACCCCAAGAAGGCUCUUUCUGGUCAUUGAGGACCAAGAAAUCUUCAAUUGGCACUACUCAUAGAGGAUCCCAGUCCAUCGCCACUACCACUGAGCCUUCCGACCCACUAGAAGCCCCUUCCGACACCAACAAAGCUUUGUCAGGCCCUAAGAAAGGAGUAGAAGAAGAAUUGCCCGAAGCCCCAAAGAAAAAAGAGAGCAGUUGUGAGAAAUGGGAUACCUGGAUGUUUCGUCCAUCAAUACCUUGUCGGUGAGCGUCGAUCAACUAGGAAGCAACCCCCCGGCAUUGAAGUCUUUGUCGGCCAGCACCACCUGCUCUAGCCCUAAUGCUCCCACAACGGACUCAAGGGGAGCCUUAGAGGAAAAGAGCCGCCCAAAAAGAAACACAAGGGGAUGGGCCUCUUUUAAAUUGGGCCCAAAAGGCCCCUUAGAGCUCUUAACCAAGCCCACACCCAUAGGGCUAAAGGGGUUAGAGCCCACAACCCAGCCCACUCCACCCGUGGGUUUUUCAUGAACCCACUCACUUGAGUCCAACGUUUCUUUUCCUUUAAACUACUCCCAGCCUACUGUCAUAAGCCCAAGCCCACUUAAAACUAAGUCCAAAUCAAUGCCCUUAGCCGGCCUACCCACUACACCAACUGCACCCCUAUUCCUUCUACCACACUCAACCUGCUCCUCUGACCCUCAGCUCUGAUCACCAAGUUGAGUCUCCCGCACGCUUUCACCAGCAUGUGCACAACCCACACCUUCAUUCCUAACCUCACGCCCUGCACUUUUGUAAAAUUCAGACCUAGGCAUUACCUGAGAAACCCAUGGAGGUGUUUCCCACCAAAGAUGAACCGCACAAUAAGUAUGCCUGGUCACCACCUGCAAUGACCGUGGUAGAUCCUUCCCAGUGGCUCUCACCAAGAAUAAUAAUAUUUAUCUUUGUUCAAAUUUUUACUAAAAAGUUAAGAAUUGGUCAAUUCCCAAUUCAUAACCCACCAUGUAUCUCUAGGUUAGGUCAAGUAGAUUUCACCUUUAAACCUAAGGAGCCUAAUCCUAAUAUUAAGUCCACAAAGAAUGAUAUGGUCCCAAUUUUUCCUAAGUGAUUUUUAUUGUUUUAUGUCAACAAUCUUGUCUCAUCUUAAAUCAAAGUCUUUUUAUUGAAUGUGAUCUUUAUCAACAUUGGUAAAAAGCAAGUCAUACGAAAUAGGAAGUCUUAAGAUCUUAUCAACCUGCACCCUAGACACUUAAAAGUGGUUGGAAAUGGGUGUAUAAGGUGAAAAGCUAAUUUCGUUUACCAAAUGCCCCCUAAUUCAAAAUUCUAAAAACGACAAAAAUUACUAGUCUUGCCACAAUGUUCCAUAUUCAAACAAAUUUUUUCUCAUUAGAAUAAUAGGAAUUCUACCAAGAAAAUUAGAAGGGUGCUUAAGGUUUUGAUUUUUAUUAAUAGAGUAAAAAUAAAAUGGUGGAAUUUGGAGAGCCCAAGCUAAAUGAUGCAAUGUCAUUCAUAAUUUUAUUUUACUUAUGAUUUAUGCAAGGAAUGUUAUAUUUGUUCCAGUCGAAGAAAAUCAGAAAUUAAUUAUUCAGUUUUUUUCUCUACAACUAGGAUGCAUUUUCAAUGAAGAGCUGAAGAGAAAUACCUUUAGAAGAAAGAACACGUUUUUUAUGCUGUCCGCUGUUCAUUAUCUCAACAUUGAACUGCUUGGGUAUGGUGUCAACUGUUGGGAUCUUGUAUGUCCAUGUGCCUUUAGUGACCACCAGUCCAUCUGCAUUAGUUGUGUAUUCCUCAAGCAUAAAAAACCCAAUUCCUUGAACAAAAGCUCCUUCUAUCUGUAAAGCAACUCAGAAAGAAUGUUAGAGCCACAUGGAUCAAAUAAACCAAUAAUCAAUUAAAUAAACACAAGUUUUAAGAAUAGGGAAACAUUGAACAGUUAUAAACAUCCUAUAGUAUUCUCAAAUAAAUAAAAAAUUGACAGGUGGACCCAUGGACAAGACACACCUAUCCAGAUAAAUUUGAUUUUCAUUGCAUUAAUAUGUGGAUGUGGAGACCAAAAUCAGAGAAGAGGUUAAAUGCCAAGGCUUAGGGGAUGGAAAAGAAAAGGAAAUGGAAGUAAAAAUUGAAUUCAAGUUGUGAUUAAUCAAAGCUUAGGAAUAGAAAAGCAGAGAAGGAAACAGAAUAUUUUAAGAUUGUAGUUGGGCUGACCUGUCCUAAAUCCACAGCAGGGUUGAGGCUUUGCCCACAGUCAUAUAUAAUAUCAGAUUGCAAAAUUGUGGUUUCUCCAGUGAGAAGAUUUACUUCCACCUGUGACACCCAAAGUUAAAUUAGUAUAGUAAAACUUGGAGCAUGUUUAAGCAUGGAAGCUAUAGUCUCCUCCAAGUUUACCUGAAGAAUACUAAUUUAAUUUUAACAAAAGCACUAAUGAAAGCGAUUAAGGUAAUCUUGAAAAACUUGCCUCACUCACUGCAGCACCAUAGUUUAGGUAUCGCAUGGAAGAAAAGUCAGGGACAUAGUAAGAACUUGCUGAUAAGUUCACAGCUUGACUUUGUGCCUGGAUUUUGAUAAAGUAAAAGAAUCAAAUGGAAAAGGUCUUCAACAUUUAAUUUUGAGCAAGUACGAAAAAAAUGAAAUAUAUAUAUAUAUGUAUAUGAAAUUCUGCUACACAUUGUUGAAAAAUAUCAACGAGAAUACUUUGCCAUAAGCUCAAUGCCUAGGAAUACCUCUCACAAAUUAUAUGAUCUUGUAGUCAACUCAACCCCAAUUUAGUUCAUCAACUGUGAAUGCAAGAUGAUCAAUGUUGUCCUAUAGUAUCACUAUAGGAGUCAUAGUUCUGAAUAUGGUCACUGUAACUUGAUGCCUUUUUUCCUCUUUGAGAUAUUACUACUGAUGACUUGCAAAAUAAAUAUCACAUAAAUCAGUGGUAUAUAUCCAGAAAAACGCUUCUCUAAAGUGCAAGACUCUCCCAAUAGUAUCAUAGAAGGCCAACUUAGAUAUGAGAAGCACAUGCAACGGUUAUAUGCUUUCAGUCAAAGCAAAAGCACCUUCAUUUCCAGUUGUAGGAUUGCAAAAAAUCUAAUAUCCAACAAAUAAUCAAAGGAGUUAAGGAAAAAAAAUUGUAUUGACACCAGUUUAACCCAAAUAAGGUGGAUUAGGAGUUGAGAAAAUAAUUAUGAUAUCAAGAUAUAUUGACACCAUUUAGAUCAAGUAUACAUACGCCUACAUCUAUUUCUUUCCAAAAUGGAUUGAAUAAAGCAAGUCAUUUCAGUAUUAGAACCCCACUCAAAUGCAUUUCUACCAUCAUUAUUAACUAAUAAUUUUAAGUACUAGAGACAAACUUAUGUUUGCUUUUCUUUGCAUUUUGGACCAAGCACUAUUAUAUAUCUCCACAUUAACAUCUCCUUUCAAUUCUUUGGGGUCAUUGCAUAUCUCCUACCUUUUGAAAGAGUUUAAGAUGUCAAAUAGUUUAUGAUGAACCAAAUCCAAGGCCAUUUAUAAGUUUAUCUAAUCCAUAAUCACAUACAUACUCAUCCAUGACUCUAAAUUUUGAAAGCUGUUGUGCUAUCUCUUUGUUUUCAUGCUGAAAAGCUAAAUACUUAUAUGCCCAUAGAUGGGACACAUUCAAAAUGGGAUUUUUCAACCAUUUUGGAAGUUUACACUCUCCAUAGUUGAAGAGCAUGAUGAAAAGUCACUGACUCAACAAAGAUUGGAGGAUAUUCUCUCCGUUGAUAUGAAGCAGCAUGCAUCUGCACCAUAACUUAAUAAAGGGAGCAUGACUUUAUCAAGUCAUUCAGCACUGAAAGGCAAGGCAGCAAAGAAAAUGUAAAAUAUUCCAAAACUGCACAUAACAACCUGAAGAAUUAGUGUGCUCCAUUUAACAGAACCCAUUUGCUCCUGCAAUUUUUCCUUGAUAGGAAUUAGUCUUUCAACCAACAUAUUGCAGCAGAGUCUAAUAGCUUCACAUGUGGACUCUGAUGUCGUGCUUCCAGCAGUAAGUCCUCCUUGUAUUAAGCUUAAGGUAUCUGAUUGUAUGACCCUUACUUUCUCCAAGAAGUCUCCCAUUCCAUCACACUGAAUUGAACUGAGAGCAAAUGCAGCCAUCUGUUUCACCUUUGUCCACAGCCCCUGGCCCAAUUCAAUGCCUCCAACUUCAACAGCAACAGAUCCAUCACUAAGAAUGCUUACUUUCCCUGGAGUCGGUCUUAAUGAAACUUCAUGCACAAUUGGUACUCGAGAAAUACCCCUUUUCCGCCAUUUAUUGCACAUAUUAAACUGCUUUAUCUUUUCAGUCCUUUCUUUAAAGCUUGAAGAUGUAGCCAACUUAUCCCAGAUUGAAGGUAAAGUGUACUCAAAAGGUUCACCUGCACUGCCCUCAAAGAAAAAAAUGAGGCUGUUGAAAGUGUGGAGGUUUUUGAUUCUCACAGAGUCCACAUCCACAGAAAGAGUAGAUGCAAUGUGUUCAAUUACAGCUUCAGAAAUAAAUAUAGCUUGUGCCUCCCCAGGGGCACGCAUUGCUGAUUUAGACGAAUGGUUUGUUUUGCACAACUUUAUAUCAAAAGAUAAAGCACCCCAAUCAUAAUUUUUAAGGGCUCCCAGCAUGUGCUGAGGCAUAACUGGGCUUACGUCUACAGCUAUUCCAGCAUUGAUUAAUAUAUCAAGGUGUAAGGCAGUAAUUUUGCCAUCAGAUUUGAAUCCUACACUGUAGGUUACUUUCAUUGGAUGUCUUCCUCCUGCUAUUAUCAUAUCAGUUUUGUGAUUCAUAUAUAUCCGGACAGGGCGGUGUAAUUUGUAUGCUGCAAGUGCACAUGCUGUAGCAACCUAAGACAUCAUGAGUGUUUUCACUUAGAAGCCAUUGUUAAGGGAAAGAAACAGUACAAAAGAUAGGCCAUCAGAAGAAACAGAAUCAGAUCAAGGACGAACUAUGUGUGCAUAUGUGUGUGUGUGUGUGUGUGUGUUUUCCUUUGUAUUUUCCUUCAAAUGUCCUUGCUCUUAUGGCCACAUGGACACAAACAUGCAAAGUAAUCAUCAAUUAUACUCACAGGCAUUGCUCUUAUGGCCUUUCCACCAAAACCACCUCCAACCCUUCUUGUGAUCACACGUACAUUAUGUUCAGGAAUACCAAGACAUCUUGCAAUCGCACCAUGUGCAUAUUCAGGGCAUUGUAUUGCACUGUAAACCACAAUGCAGUUAUCUUCAUCUGGAACUGCAAGGGCAGUUUGGGUCUCCAUAUAGAAGUAAUAUUGUGACCCAAGUUUGAUCUGGAUGUGACAAUUUAGAAAGUAUUUAUCAUAAAACCAAAAAGAGAAAGGAAAAAAAUAAUAUAAAUAGGAAAAAAAUUGCAUAACAAGUAAAUGAGAAGUACUUCAGCAGAGAGAAUCUUGUGAUCAGCUUCAGCCAUUCCUUUCGAGAAAUCACCAACCUGUUUUGGUUUAAGGAUAGAAGGAACCUCAAAAAAGCUUGACUUCCUAACAGCCUCUUCAACAGAUAAAAUGGGUGGUUCCAGAUUUUCCAUGUCAUAAUCAACCACUGCAAGGUUUGCUGCCAUAUCUGCAUGUUUCUGUGUGUCUGCAACCUAUACACAUAUAUCAGUGACCAAGUUGGGAAUCUUAGUUCAUAAAGUAAUCAAAUAUCUUUGUAUGCUAUGCCUAUUAAAAGCAAAUUUAUAAUCAACCAAACAGAACAUAUAUAUAUAUAUAUAUAUAUAUAUAUCUAUCUGUUUGUGGACAAGAAAGACAGAAUCAUGGUAUUACCACAAAAGCAAUAUACUGUCCGGCACAUCGAGUGAAAUCAUCAGCAAAUAAAAAGGUUCAGUACCAAAUCUAUUCUUAGUGCCUAUGUUCUCCCCUGGGAUAUCUUUAAAAGAAAUAAGUGCACUGACUCCAUCCCCCACUGAUUUAGGCCUAAGUUUGAUACCCUUUACUUGAGCGAAAGGCUUCGUACUAUAAAUGAAAGCCCCAUGAAGGCAAUUAGUUGGAGAGGGAAUAUCGUCCACAUAAACAGCCUCACCUACAUUAUUGGUUAACUCAUGUAAGUUGUCUAAAAACAGAAAAAAACUAGUAGGUUUAUCAUCAGUAGCCUGCAGUAAUGGAUAGAUAUCUGUAAAAGGAAAUUUGGGGAAAAAACAAAAAAAGAAAAGUAGGAAAAAUAAAGGCUCUUUUUGGAUCUUGGAAAGUUCGGGAGAAAGUAGGAAGGAAAGAAAAUAGAAGGGGAAAUGGAAGGCAAGAAAAAAUGAAGGAAAAUAAAUAAUAAAUUUGAAUUUAAUAAAUUUUUCCAACAUGUUUAUCAGAAUUUAUUUUUCUUCUUUCCUCUUCUAUGUAAAGAAUGGCGAAUUUUAAAAUGUAUAAAUUCUUCAUAAUUUUUCAUGAUAUUUGAUAUUCCUUCAUAUGUUCUAUAACCCAAAUGGUGCCAAUAGGAAUUUGUGACCAACACUAAUCAUUAUCAUGGAUUAUAAAAUAACACAUGGCCUUUUCCAGCCAUAAAUGUCCUAGCAGAGUGGUAAUCAGUGAAUUGUACCAUGACAAAAAGCACAAACAGAAAGUCAAAGAAAGGUCAUCCACAAGGCAGGAAAGAAAGCAUCAAUUUUAUGAAUAUAAAGCUCGGAUUACAAGUAAAUUCCCUCAAAAGAAACAUCAGAGACCAUAAUAUCACCAAUAUGAUCUUGAUCAUAAAAAUGAACAGAAAAAUAAACUUAAGCAUAUAGCCAAACAUUCACUACUAGAAAUUAAAUUGCUCCAUACUUCUAGGCCAUCAAUAAAAUCAAUUAUCUUUAACUAGUUUCAUGUCUCCUGCCAUGUCAACCACCAGCAGAAAGGUAAUUGUAAAAGUAAAAUAAAAAUUAAAUAGAAAAUUAACUUAUGAAUGUCAUAAUAUGAAACCAAGUUACAUAUAACAAACCAGAAGCUUGGAUCGCAGCUCCAGACUUUUCAAUUGGAUCACCAACUGGAUGAUACUGUCUAUUCAAUUCCACUCCCUGCUUUGCAGAAGAUGGCAAGGUUGGGAUUUUACCAUGAUCUAACUGCUUUGCAGGAGACAGCAAAGUACUAUAUCCAUUCAUACAACCAUCAGGGGAUUCAGCAUUAGCCUCAAGCAAAUGGCUAAAGAACUCGAAAAGAAAACUGACAGCCAAGCUUGACCUAUAAGCUGGACUUGAAGUGCCAUCAUCGGGUACCACAAUGCCUUUAAGUAAUUUAACAGCUUCACAAAGGACACCAACACUUAGCACUUUUCCAGUUAAAAAUUCUUCAACUUUUGUAGCUCUCAUUGGAUGUUUUGUCCCAUAAGCACCAAAAGCAAACCGGCAGUUACUUACAAUAAUUCCAUUAGAAGUUGUACAGCGAGAAACUUUAGCCAUUAAAGCAGCAUUUAAAUAGGGCAAUGCAUUUCCUAAGGGUCGUGGUGCAGCUCGAUACGUUUCAAACAGUAAAUUCAUCUUAGUCCCUGAAGAAAUGCCCAUGAUCCUAUCCCAAUCUGGGAUUUUGAUACUUAUGAGUAUACUUUUUGAAUCUAACUCUGGCCUUCUCAAGAACUCCUCCAAUGUAAGCUCUUCACUUUUGAGACCAGUAAUUAUAUUUACAGUUGAACCUACUGCAAGCAGUACUGUAGCAAUGUCAGAGGGGAAAUGAUUCCUUUGUGCCAUCACCAGAUUUCCACCUAAACUAGCUGAGUUCUGGAUGAACCCUGAAGCAACUUUUUCCAUAUGGUCAGCAAUUUUUUUAUAGACCAUGUCUUCUUCUGUGUGAAAUCCACUUUGGUUGCAUUCCUUUAGCGCUUCAAUAGCUUUAGAGAUGGUUACAGCUGCUCCAAUGCUUAUCCCAGUAUUAUCCCUUCUAAUCACUGACAGUUCAGGGAUGUAUCUUAGAUCGAUAUAUUUGUCAUAGUUUUCCACUUCCUUGUAAUAACCCAUACCAGUGUUACCAACAACUACUUUAACCCGAGUCCCAUUUCCAUCCUCAACAAAACCCAAUAAGCUUCGAAGUUGCUCAAUGGUAACAGGAUUAUACCAGGAAUAUCUACUAGAGUCUAAAAGCAAUGUAGACCUAGUUUCAUUUUUCAAGAACUGAGGAAAUGUACAAAUCUCAUCACUAUGGUUAUACAAGGGUAAGCUGAUUAGUUUCACUUCUUUACUAUCACCCUUUCUCCAAAAGGAAUUAAACCCCAAAUCCUCCAUAUCAACAUCUGCUGCAAAACUUUUACAGGCAUCAGCAAUGGGGCAAUACCCAGUACAGCGGCAGAGAUUUCCUGCAAUAGCCCUUUCCCCGCUUCAGAAACUUUCAAUUUGGAGAAUCCCAGUGGGGGCUCUGGCCUGAGGAUUUUCUCAGCAUUGACAAGAGCAGAGAAGAGUGACAUGCACAUUCCAGGAGUACAAAAGCCACACUGAGAAGCAUGGAAUCCAGAGAACCUUUCAUGAAUUGGGUGGAACCCAUCUUUCGUGUUCCCAAGGCCUUCAGUUGUUGUAAUUGAACAUCCAUUUAUACUACAAAGCAGGGUAAGACAUGAACUCACGGUAAAAUCAUCCACCUGGUCAAGCACAGGAUUAUACUUGGAAAGUAGGACAACGCAAGCACCACAACCACCUGAAACAAUAAAGUUAGAAAACAUAUCAAGAUAUCAGCAACCUUCUUUUUUUUUUUAGGGUUUUGAUGGGCUAUACAGAAUCAUAAUCUUGAAUGUGUAAAAAAUUUUAGGAAACAAUUGAAUAAUGAGACUAUUCAAAUCUGUAAUACUUGAACCACAUAAUCAUCAGCAUAACCAGUAGUGAGCAUAAGAAAAUGAAAUUUUCUUAUAGCAAGGAAUCAAACCUAAAUAUAGCAAGGAAUCAUAAAAUCAAAUCCUACAACCAAAUACAGAAAAAAUAAAUCGCAGGCAAUACAAUCAAAAUCAAGCAAUAGAGAGAACCAGAUAAAGAAUAUUAUACAUGCAGAAGAAGAAAAUACAUCUAUCAUUGACGAAAAAGAAACCUAGAUUGGGAAUCGAAGAACUAUUAAGAAAGAGAGAGUGAUAUGACUGCAGCUCAUGUGUGUAUAUAUAGAAAAUAAACAACACAAUUAAAAACGAGCAAUAAAGCUUUAAAGCAAGCAAUAAAGAGAAGAUGAUAAAGGAAAUUCAACACAAAGAAAAACCCCUAUAUACCCAUCAAAGAAAAAGAAAAAACCAAAUUGGGAAAAGAGAGAAGCAUAUGACCAAAGCAAUAUAUGCAUGUACAGUGAAGCAAAAACAAGCAAGAGUGCAGAGGUGAAAGAAAGAGAGAGACCUUCACCGCAGCUGAGCUUGGCACCUUUGAAAGGAGUGUGAGAACGCAAGAAUUCAAGCAAAGUAGUGGAAGGGUGGAUGGUGGAGACCUCAAACCUUUUCCCAUUAACAGCAAAAACCAAACUGUUGUUUACAGUUGAUUCAGACUGCUCCAUUUCUCCACUGCAAGUCUGCAACUCAACUCACUGCUUUCUUCAUAUCAACAGCAACUCACAGUCAAAGACUGUCAGAGCACAGAAAUGAAUAUCUCCUUACGCCACUCACCUUCUGAAAUAAAAAAUAAAAAAAUUUAGCCAGUAAAAAACUACCCUUUAAAUAUUCAAUCUCGCCAUGUUCACUUUUUUCCUUUUAAAUAAAAAUUUUCAUGUAAACGAGUCUUCAACCUCCUAAUACCACUCCUUCCAAAAACCCAAUCUCAUUUUUCUCCUUCUUUUCUUAAUUUUCUUCUUUCCCCUUUCAUGUAAAUUUAAGUUGUUUAAGGGUUUAAGAUAAAUACACUUAACCAUCAUAAGUUUAAACUUUUAAUAAAUACUUAAAAAUAUAAAUAUAAAUAACAAAUAAAAAAUCUGAAUAUUUGAUAAUACUUCAAAUUAUUAGUAAUUAUUAAUGUUUUUAUAACCAAAUCGAUUAUUAAACUAAAAAAGUUAUCGAUUUAUUGUUUAGACUAACAAUUGAAUUACAAUCAAAUUGAUGACAUCAUGUUUAUAUUAUCAUAUAUUAUUAAAUUUUAAAAUAUAUAUAUAAAUAAAUUAAAAAUCAAUAGUAUUUCAUUUGUGUAGUAUGUAUAACUAUAAAUAUAUUAAUAUUUUAAAUUUUAUUAAAUAAAAUAUUUAAAUGUAAAUAUAUUGAAAAUGAAAAAUAAAUCAAUUAUUUAAUUUUAAUUAAUUUUAUAGUUUUGAAAAUAUAUUAAAUUAUUUUUAUUUAAUAUUACAAUUUUUUUAGCAAAAAAUAUAUUUCUUUUGUUUGUUAUAUGAAAUAGUAAAUAUAGCCUAGUGGUUUAGUAAUUACCUAUAUUUAGUUAAAACUUUGACGUGUGAAAUUAACUCUAAAAAUUAUUUUUAAAAAUAAAUAAUUUUUUUUGUUAUAAGGGUUUUAGAAGGUGUUAUGCAAUGAUCCGUUCUUUGGGUUUAAAAAGGUUUUGUGGAGGGAAGGAAUCCCUAUAUUUUUCGUUUUCUAUUUUUUAUUUUUAUUAAUAAAAAUUUUAUAUAAAAAAUAUAAAAAAUCUUAUACAAAAAUACAAAUUUAUUUUAUAUCUUUAAAAAAUUACUUUAAAUUUUAAAAAUUUAUAGUAAAAAUAUUUUAAUAUCUAAAUAUUUAUAUUAAUUUUUAAAAAUCAUUACAUUUUUAAUGUAAAUCUUUAAAAGAUUUUAUAUUUUUUAUAGAAAUUAUUACAUAAUUUAAUUGGUUACCUUGUUUAUAAAUACAUUAUUAAAUUAAAUAUUUCAUUCUUCAGAUUUUAAAAAAAAAAAAGAUAAUUCAAAAAAAAUAAAAAACAUUUAAAAAAGAAAAAAGUAUUCUAUAAAAAAUGCCCUUAGAUUUAGAAAUAGUUUUAAAAGUGUUAAUUUUAAUAAAUAUUUUUACAAAAAUUUCUUAAGACGCAUUCUUCUCAGUGAAGCCGAAGAACUUCAACAAAAUAAUAAAUUUAAAAAAAUGGACAAUCAUUUCCCACUUGUCCAUUUCUGCCUCACACUCUCGAAGAGACACUUUGGGAUAAGGAGUCAAUCUCUGCCUGCCACUAACCCUCUUUGGCAGUUGAGUAUAAGAAUUCUUAAAUAAAAUUAUUUUGAUACCUUGUGUACUUAAAAACAUUUUUUAAAAUUUAAAAAAAAAAAAAAUCAUCUCCUCAAAUUUUUAAAACUUGGAAAAGAUUUAUUGAGAACAAAAAUUAAAUUUUCAUUUUUGAAUAAGAGUGCUUAUAUUUUAUGUAGGAGUUUCUAUUUUUAAAAAUAAAAAAUAGAAAAUUUAUCCAUAUACUACCUUAAUUCAUUAUGACAAUUAUAAUAGUGUUUUUUUUUCUCACUAUUUCAAAUUUAAUAUAUGAAACUAAAAGAAAAAAGGCAAUUUUUUAAUUUUUCUUUUUGUUUCGAAAUCAAAUUCAAUUUUAUGUUGAAUAAAGUAAGAAUUUAGUACCAUUAGUGAUUUUACCAUUUGUUUUGUCUUUUUUCUACAUUUGUCACCAUUUUGUUGGUCUUUUCCAUUAUUCUACAAGAGCCAUCUCCAUAAUCAACUUAACUAUGAUUCUAAACUUAAAGAACUUACAUAUAAAAGAAUGAUCCUUCACUUACCUCACUCCGGGACUUUUCUCCUUUCUUCUUAUUGGUUUUUAAUGAAAAAUAUUUACCCUUUUAGGAGCAUGUAUCACAAGAGGGAGAGUAAUGGCAAAGCCAUUAGAUUAUUAAAGUGGCAUUUGUUAAACCUUGGAGAUAUUCAUUAACCAUUAAUUAAUUCAAUUUGUUUGUUACUAAUUAAUGAGAGGUUGACAAUUGGUGAGGGUUUUGAUCAUGGGUCUUUCUUCUAUUAGGAUAACAUUUGCUAUCGCUUAGGUGGAGGUGUACUACAAUUUGUAGUGGGGAAUGUCUCAUUAAUGUAAUGAUGAAGGUGAUCAACUCAUAUUCAAUAUGCUAUGAUAGGAGGCUAUGACUUAUUAAAACGGCAAGUGGGCAUCUCAAAUUAAUAUGUCAUCCUAGAUUAUUCCACAUGUUAGUAGAUUAUCUUACCCUUACAUUUGCCCCCUAUUUUUCUAGAGAAUUUUUAAUAGAUGAGUUGGGAAAUAUAAUUUUAGGCAACACGUUUUUGAGCUAAGUAGGCUUUUUGGCGUUCCCAAAUGUCACAACCAAAUCAAUUGUCAUCAGUUUCUUAUGAAAGACCUUUUUUCUUCUAACAUCACUUUUUCAUUUUUUUUUUCUUUUUAUGUAGCUCCUUUUCUUAAUCUUUCUCAACCUUCUUUACAAGGCAUAAUAGUGGAUAGUAAAGCUAUCAUAGACAUAAGAUUGCAUUUGGACUUUAAAAUCAUUACAUACCUUUAAUGAAACCACAAGUUUCUUCUUUAAACUUAUUCACUUAAAAGACAUGUUAUUAAUCUUUUGCAGUUUAUCCAAGCAAAUCAAAAUAGUAAGAGACUUAAUAUCAUGCUCAUCAAUCAACUCAUGUAAAUGAUUACAUCUUAGAGCUUUUGAGAUUGUAAUGAAUCAAUCUAACUCUUAUAAAAUGACAAGCAAAUCACUCACUCGAACUAUCAAUUAUGAUUAAAAAAACAAAUUAAUAAUAGGAACAAAAAAAAGAAACAUCACCAUAGUAACACUUUGGAAAUUGGGAAGACACUUAGGACUCAAGGAUAUUCAUGAUGUCUUAGAAAAGUUCUAAUGGCAAUAAAUUGAAAGUACACAAGCCAAUGGUGCUCCUAAGUUACUUAAACCUAGAAAGCUCCAAAGGUUUAGUAAAAAUGUUAACAAUUUAUAGGAACAUACAUUGAUGAUAUUACAUUGUCUUCUACCAAGUUUUGAAUAAAAUAAUGUUUGAUGCUGAUUGAUGCUAUAAAUUGCAUGGUAAUGAGGGCAAAAAUAAUAUCUUUAAGCUUGAUUAUAGCAUUAAAUACAAUCUCAAAUUAGUUAAUUGUAUGUUAUCUUUCAUAUGCUUGAUUUUCUCAUAUUUUUCAUUAGUUUUUUAUCUUUACUGCCUCUUAUGAAUAAUGAUGGUCUUGGAUCCUCUUUGGGAUAUCUUAGAGGCAAGGCAAGAUGAGAGUACAAGUAGAGAUAAUGGGUUAAAGUUGAAUGAAGAUCAAUGACACAAUUUUAUUUUAACCAAUCAACAAUUUAAAGAUCGUUGAGGAGAUAUUCAUAUGCUAAAUAUUUUUAUAUGCACCAUUCAGGUUUAACAAAAACUGUUUUUCUAUUACUUAGAGCAGCACUUCCAUCAACAAAUCCUAAGUCCUUCUUAUCAAAAUUUAUUUAUUUAUUUAUUUAAGAAGCUAUGUAGUUGAGUGGUGAAAGCAAUAGACAUACAGUUUUCAAAAUAUGUAUGAAAAGUUUAUCAUGAUAUGAUUUUAUUUUAUUUAUAAAUCCAAGUGCCUAUAAAAUAAUGUUGUCCAUGAGAAGGAAUAUUAGGAAGAGUAAAUAAAAGAGGUUGUUCAAAGGUGGUAUUUGUUUUUUAGUUAAUUUUUUAUUAAGAUAAAAAUAACCUAUUAAUAUCAACUAAUAUAAUUAAAUUGAACUUAUUGAUAAUAAGUUCAAUUUAAUUAUUUACGAUGAUAUCAAAGUAAAAUAUUUUGGCUUUUUUUAUUCAACCAAAAAACAAAUACCAUUAAAGUGUUAGGCAAAUUCAUUGAAAUUAGGUAACUAACUAGGUCCGAGUGAAAGAAGGUUGGUUAUGACAUGGAGGAUUUAAAGUUCAAUCUAAAUCAUUAUAGGUAAUGGCGAAAUAUACUUGUUAGUCUAAUAGUUAAGUUGAAGUGUAAUUAUGUUGGUAUCAUGGCAAUGGGAAAGUGCAGGCAGAAGCCUAAGCUAAUGGGUUACACCAUUGUCGUGUUUUAAACAGAGUUAGAGAAAGACAAAGGGAAGUGGAAGAUCUAAAGUUUUCUAAAUAAUUCCAAGCAAUUAACGCAAUGACACAACUUAAACAACUGAGUUAAACAUGUAAAAAUAACAUCACAAAAAAGACUUCCCUUUUCACGACACGCUCCAAGUCUUCAUGGGAUCUUCCACUGUGGGAAAUUUGACGCUUAAGGAGCGAGAUACCUAGAUGCCAUGCCAAGUAGCCCACCUUCCAUCUAUAACUUGCUAAAACGGUUUCCAUAGACAACACCAGAUUGUUGUGGUGCUUUUUAACAGGUCGUGCAACCAACCCACAAGGUGCAAAUGAGGUGGAAUUUAAGCAUUUGGUUCUUGGCAUUUGAGUAUCCUACUUUGCUCAUCCUUCAAAAAUGGAAGAGAAACUAGGGAACAAGAGGUCCCAAGUUUGGUUCAAUACCUUAAUGUAAAGACGAUAACAGAGAAAGAAAGAGGAAAACACCUUUUCGUUUGAUGAAGUUUGAACCCUAACCCCAACACCACCUAAAGCUAACGUUAAUUUUCUAGCAAUACAUCUUCAUCCGUGAAGCUUGUAAAGAAGACAUAAAUAAGUCAGACAUGCUUUGUUUGAAGGAUUUCUUGAUUUUAUUUUUCCAUAAUAGACAAGUGAUAAAUAUUAAGAUAUUUAAAUCUUUUAAACUUUUAUAUUUAAUUAAAUAAUAGUGAAUUAAUAAUAAAACUUGUUAUAUUAUAGAAAAUUAUUGAAUAAAAAGUUUUAUCACUCAUUUACAUUAUUUAUUUAAACAAAUUUAAAUUUUAUUAUGAAAAUUACAACAUUAUUUUAAAAACAUUAAGCUUUUGAUAUAAAAUUUAUCAAAAUGAUAAAAAAAAAAAAUUCUGUUGAGAUUUUAAUUAUUUUGAAUUUUUUUAAAAAUAUUUUUAGAACAAAACUUAUUUUUCCUUUACUUUUUUUUAUUAACAUAAAAAAUUGUAAGGACAAGAUUUGAAAUAUUGGUAAAUACAAAUAUAUCAAUAUUUGGAUUUUAUAGAUAUAUUGAAAAUAUCAAUAACAUGAAAAUUAUUAAAAAUUUAUGAAAAUACUUAAAAAAAAUUACAAAAUAAGCAAAAAUAAUUAUUUUGUAAUGGUAAUUAACAUAGGUAUGAUCAAAUAUAAUGUUUAUCAAACUUUUUAAGAAAAUAUUAAUUUAAAUUCCUUUAAUAUAUUUGUAUUAAUUUAUUUUAAAAAUUAAAAACUAUUUUUAUUAAAACAUGUUUUAUUACAUUUUAAAUGAAAAAAAUAUAAUUUAUUUAUAUAAAAUAUUUUAUUUGAGUUUUCAUUUCUAAAAUUUUGUUACAAAUUUGUGGUGAUAAUUUUUUUCUAUUAACAUUAAUUUAUUUAAAUAAUUAAAAGUAUCAAAAGUUAUACUAAUAAUUUAUUUUAUCAAAUUAAUUUUAAUUUUAAUUUAUAAAAUAUAAGAACUCAUUAUUUUUUUAUUUUAGCAAAUUUUGAAUAAAUUUAUAUUUUUAAUAUUUUAAAAUAAAAACAUUUAAAAUUAAAUAAAAUUAGAAGGAUAAAUAUAAAAAAAAUUAAAAUAUGGUAAUUUUUUAAAAUAUGAUUAAUGAGAUAAAUAUGAAAAAUAAUUAAAAAUAAAAUGAUAAUAUAAAUUGUGGAACGUGUUGGGUAGUAAGUAACAGUAGCACAAUCAAUUGUGCGGAACUUCAACUGGUUUAGGCACUAGUAGAUUGGUUGCUCAAGUGGUUGAUGUUCUACCUCCAACAGUGACCUUUAAUUCUCUAACAUGUAGUCGAGAGUUCUUGAACUUCAUAUAAAUGUUUACAACUGUCGAAAAUCAUUCAUCUCUUUAGAGAAAAGGGCUUUUACUUUGUUCUUUGAGUGCAUUUCUUCAAAGGGUUUAAUUUAUUUAUAUGAUCAUCCGUGCCUGUGAGCUAGGAGCAUUCUUUAGACCAAUGCAUAUAUACAACCACAACUUCUACCAUCAUAUACAUACUAUUAUAAACUAGAAACAUAUGGAUUCAAUCAAAGGCAGGAAAUGGUUUCCAGCAUUAAGAGAGCAAGCUUUGCAAGUAACUCUCCACAUUCUCCAGUCCACAGAGCUCCUUCACAACAGGCAUUGUUGCCGGGACCUCCAACUGGAAUGUUGAAUCACACUUGGUUAGCCCAGUCCAGGAAAGAAGCUGUUGCCGGGCUUCUCUAAUAGCUGCCCUUGUAGCACAAUGAACUGAAACAGCUAGGAGUAACGGUGGUUCACCAGAAGCUGCGCAAAACAUAUUUACCUUGCUGAUUAUGAUUCAUUGAUCUACAUAAAGCAGUGUGUUGGAAACUUGGAAUUAUUACAGAGGAGGUUUACUAGUGAAUUUUAUUCAAAAUGAAUUGCAUAGUGAAUUGCACUAGUAGCAAAUAAAGCAAGUUUUUGCUGAUAGUUAGCCAGUACUAAGCUGUUACUACUACUGGUAUGUCUCAUGCUAUUGUAACGAGUUACUAACCAUUCACCUUUUUGGUUUAAAACCAUAUCAACAACACUUCUUAUCUAGUUGGCUGCCGACCUUCCGCAGGGUAUAAACCCCUAAAUUUACCUAACCUUGACAUGGUAUCUUAUGUUGAAACAGCUUGGAAUAUUUGCUGUGGGGAUCCAAUACCGGUCUUAAUCCCCUUAAUUGUAGAGCUUGCCCUCAUAAUAUCAGGUAAAUUGAAGUGGGUUAAAGAUCUUGGUCUAAUGGUUAAGAGUUAGAUAGAGGUUCACCACUAUGGGCAUUAACAUGAAUGAAACACUAACCAUAAUGAAAAGGAAAGGUGUCUAGCCUUGCCUCACAUGCUAUGAAUAUCAUUCCAUUGAUCUCAACAAGAGUUACUUCUAAUGAAUACUGCAAAUUACUCCAUUUCUAUAGAAAACCCAAGAAAAAGAAAAAGCAAACUCUUCUAGAUUCUCAAAGAUUCAAAGACAAUUUGGCAUUUCCCAACAGGUGUGCUUUUGAUCUGAAUUAUUCUCUCCAACACCCUCUUACCUCUAACUCCUCACCCACACCUUUGCUCUACCCUUUCUUGUUUUCCAACAAGAGAGCUUCUCAAAUUAAUAAUGAAACAUCUAUUUUGGUCACAAAUUCAUAAAUUCGUAACAUCUCAUAGAAACAAGUGUUAAUUAUGCAUUAUUGCAAGCAGGUCUAUUGCUUUAUGUAUUCGAUACAAUUUUGUAACAUUUUCUUAGCAACCAUGUAAAAUUAGAAAACAAAUUAUCCAGUUUCUUCUCCAUAACUAGGAUGCAUUUUCAAUGAAGAGUUGAAGAGAAAUACCUUUAGAAGAAAGAACACGAUUUUUAUGAUGUCCGCUGUUCAGUACCUCAACAUUGAACUGCUUGGGUAUUGUGUCGAUUGUUGGGAUCUUGUAAGUCCAUGUGCCUUCGGUGACCACCAGUCCAUCUGAAUUAGUUGUGUACUCCUCGAGCAUAAAAAACCCAAUUCCUUGAACAAAAGCUCCUUCUAUCUGUAAAGCAACUCAGAAAGAAUAUUAGAGGCAUAUGGAUCUAAUAAGCACAAGUUUUAAGGAUAAGGAAACAUUGAACAGUUAUAAACAUCCUUUAGUAUUAUCAAUGAAAAAGUUCCAUUGCAUUAAUAUGUGGAUGUGGAGAAUAAAAUCAGGGAAGAGGUUGAAUGCCAAAGCUUAGGGAUAGAAAAGUAGAGAAGGAGAUGAAAUAGUUUAACAUUGUAGUUGGGCUAACCUGUCCUAAAUCCACAGCAGGGUUGAGACUCUGACCACAGUCAUAUAUAAUAUCAGAUUGCAAAAUUGUGGUUUGUCCAGUGAGAAGAUUUACCUCCACCUGUGACACCCAAUGUUUCAUUAUUAUAGUAAAAAUUGAAGCAUGGUUAAGCAUGAAAGCCUAGUCUCCUCCAAGUUUACCUGAAGAAUACUAACUUAAUUUCAAUAAAAACUCUAUGGAGAGGAAUUAAAGGGAUCUUGAAAAACUUGCCUCACUCACUGCUGCACCAUAGUUUAGGUAUUGAAAGGAAGAAAAGUCAGGGACAUAGUAAGAACUUGCUGAUAAGUUCACAGCUUGACUUUGUGCCUGCAGUUUGAUGAAGUAAAUUGCUAAAUGGUAAGAGAUAUUCAACAUCUAACUUUGAGCAAGUCUGAAGAAAGUAAAAUGAAAAAAAAAAAAAAAUUCUUUGGAAAAGAUGGCAAAUGUCUUUAAUAUUUAAUUUGGAUUUAAACAUAUGAAGUUCUGUUACAUAUUGCUUUCCCAUAAAUCUAGUUUAAGAACUCUUUUAGUGGGAAAAAUAUCAAAAAGAAUACCAUAAGGUCUAUGCCUUAAGUACCACUCAGAAUUUAUAUAAUCAUGGAUGGAAUCAACUCAACCCCAGUUUAGUAUGAUCAAUGUUGUCAUAUUCUUCGAUCAGUACUUUUAACUAUAGGAGUCAUAGUUUUGAGUAGUUAUUGUUUCUGAAGUAAUGCUUUUUUUUUCUUUGGAGAUACUAAUACUGAUGGUUUGAUUUUGAUUGUUUCUGAAUUCCUACAUAAUGCUCUUUCAAUACCCAAAAAAUGAUGACCAACAUGAAUACAAGAAGAAUUAAUUGUAAAACAAUAAAUAUCAUAUGAAUUGGUGGUUUACAUCUAGAAAAAGGUUUCUCCCAAUAGUAUCAUAGGAGGCCUUUUAUGGAAUUAGACCAUUAUUAUUUUGGUGACUCAUCCUUAAGCUUCUAAUUUGUAGAGAAAACAAAAGAGGGUUAGAUCACUUCGAUUUUCUAUUCCCGUACAUGAACCUAAAAGUUUUGAAAGAGCAAUUCAAAACAAAUUAAUGAUACAAAGAUGUUAUGGAUGAGGAAAUAAAAGUAAUAAGGAAGAAUGACAUAUGAGAACUAGAAUCUCUUCCAAAAGGAAAAGAGGUAAUCAGAGCAAGACGGGCAUACAAGGCAAAGAAGGAUGUGAAAGGAGAAAUAGAGAUAUACAAAGCAAGGUUCAUGACUAAGGGUUACAUGCAACAAUAAGGUAUACACCAUGUGAAUACGAAAUCAACAAUUGCAUCAUAAAAAAAAUCUUGUUUUUCAUGAUUGAAGCAAGUACAUUGAUAUAAGAAAUCAUUUUAUUACAAAGUGCGUUAUGAAGAAGGAAGUGCAAUUACAAUUUGCAAAAUCUCAAGAUCAAAUUGCUGAUAUUUUUACCAAGCUCUUAAGUUUGAAGAUUUUAGACAAUUAAGGAUGCUACUUGGAGUUACAAAUCAAAUUUAUAAGGGGGUAUGUUAGAAAGUUAAACUUUAUUUAAAAAGUUUCUAAAGAUUAGAAUUAGAUUUGGUCAAGUUAAAGAAAAAAAAAAUUAUUUUGAGUGCUGCUUUAUUUUCUAUAUUUGAGUAGUUAAGUCCUAGAAAGUUUUUAAAUUUUAUGAUUGAAAGUUAUUGAUUUUAUUAUCUAUAAAUAAGAGACGUGAUAUUUUAAUAAGAGUGAUAGGAGAUAGUAAAUUUUUAAUUCUACCCAAUUGUAUGUUCAUUUAUUUAAUUAUUUAUACUUCUCUUUCAACCCUAUAAUUCCAACAAAGGCAGCAAAAGAAAAAAAAUGUAAAAUAUACCAAAUGUGCACAUAAUUACCUGAAGAAUCAAUGUGCCCCAUUCAACAGAACCCAUUUGCUCCUGCAAUCUCUCCUUGAUAGGAGUCAGUCUUUUAACCAACAUAUUGCAGCAGAGUCUAAUAGCUUCACAGCUGCACUCUGAUGUAGUGCUUGCAGUAGUCAACCCCCCCUGUAUUAAACUUAGGGUAUCUGAUUGUAUGACCCUUACUUUCUCCAAGAAGUCUCCCAUUCCAUCACAUCCAAUUGAACUGAGGGCAAAUGCAGUCAUCUGUUUCACCUUUGUCCACAGUCCCUGCCCCAACUCAAUCCCCCCAACUUCCACAGCAACAGAUCCAUCGCUAAGAAUGCUUACUUUCCCUGGAGUUGCUUUUAAUGAAAUUUCAUGCACAAUUGGUACUCGAGAAAUACCCCUUUUCUGCCAUUUAUUGCACAUAUUAAACUGCUUUACCAUAUCAGUCCUUUCUUUAAAACUUGAAGAAGUAGCCAACUUAUCCCAGAUUAAAGGUAAAGUGUACUCCACAGGUUCACCAGCACAGCCCUCAAAGAAAAAAUUGAGGCUGUUGAAAGUGUGGAGGUUUCCGCUUCUCACAGAGUCCACAUCCAUGGAAAGAGUAGAUGCGACAUGUUCAAUUACAGCUUCAGAUAUAAAUGUAGCUUGUACCUCCCCAGGAGCACGCAUUGCUGAUUUAGACAAAUGGUUUGUUUUGCAAACCUUUAUAUCAAAAGAAAAAGCACCCCAAUCAUAUUUUUUAAGGGCACCAACCAUGAGCAUAGGCAUAGCUGGGCUUAUAUCUACACCCAUUCCUGCGUUGAUUAAUAUAUCAACGUGUAAGGCAGUAAUCUUUCCAUUCGAUUUGAACCCUACACUGUAGGUUACUUUCAUUGGAUGUCUUCCUCCAGCUAUUUUCAUGUCAGUUUUGCGAUUCAUAUAUAUCCGGACAGGGCGUUGUAAUUUGUAUGCUGCAAGUGCACAUGCUGUAGCUACCUGAGGCACCAUAGAUUGAGUGAUUUCACUUAGAAGCCAUUGUUAAGGGAAAGGAACAGUACAAAAGAUAGGCCAUCAGAGGAAACAGAGUCAGAUAAAGGAAGAACUAUGUGUGCAUUUGUGUGUAUGUGUGUUUUCCUCGUAUUCUCCUUCAAAUGGCCGUACUCUUUUGGCCAUAUGGACACAAACACACAAUGUAACCAUCAAUUAUAUACUCACAGCAAUUGCUUUCAUGGCCUUUCCACCAAAACCACCUCCAACCCUUCUUGUGAUCACACGGACAUUGUGUUCAGGAAUACCAAGACAUCUCGAAAUCGUAGUAUGUGCAUUUUCAGGGCAUUGUAUUGAACUGUAAACCACAAUGCAGUUGUCUUCAUCGGGAACUGCAAGGGCAGUUUGUGUCUCCAUAUAGAAAUAAUACUGUGACCCAAGUCUGAUCUGGAUGUGACAAUUCAGAAAGCAUUUAUCAUAAAACCAAAACAAGAAAGAAAAACAUUAAUAGGAAUAGAAAAAAAUUGUAUAACAAGUAAAUGAGAAGUACCUCAGCAGAGAGAAUCUUGUGAUCUGCUUCAGCCAUUCCUCUAGAGAAAUCACCAACCUGUUUUGGGCUAAUGAUGGAAGGAACCUCAAAAAAGCUAGAUCUCCUAACAGCCUCUUCUACCGAUAAAAUGGGUGGUUCCAGAUUUUCCAUGUCAUAAUCGAUCACUGCAAGGUUUGCAGCCAUAUUUGCAUGUUUCUGUGUGUCUGCAACCUAUACACAUAUACGACCAGUGACUGAACUGGGCUUCUCAGUUCAUAAACUAAUCAAAUGUGUUUGUAUGCUACGCCCAUUAAAAGAAAAUUUAUAAUAAACCCAACAGAAAGCAAAAUAUGCAUAUAUAUAUUGGUGGACGAGAAAGACAGAAUCAUCGAAUUACCACAAAAGCAAUAUACUCUCCAGCACAUCGGGUAAAAUCAUCUGCAAAUAAAGGUUCAGUACCAAACAUAGUUUUACAGCCUAUGUUCUCCCCUGGGAUAUCUUUAAAAGAAAUAAGUGCACUGACUCCAGCUGCCACUGAUUUGGGGUUAAGUUUGAUACCCUUUACUCGAGCCAAAGGCUUUGUACCAUAAAUGAAAGCCCCAUGUAGGCAAUUUGUUGGAGAGGGAAUGUCAUCCACAUAAACAGCCUCCCCUACGAAAUCGUUUAACUCAUGUCAGUUGUCUAGAAAAAGGAAAUAUCAGGAGCCUAUGGUAAUGGAUAAGCAUGUCUAAAAGGACAUGUGGGGAGAAAAACAAACAUAAAAAGUAGGAAAAAUCAAGGCUCCUUCUGAAACUUGAAAAGUUUGGGAGUAGGUAGGAAGAAAAGAAAAUAUAAGGAAAGAAAAAUGAAGAAAAAAAAAAACGGAUGGGUUUAAAUUGGAUAGAUUUUUCAUUUAUGUUUAUCCACAUUUUUUUUCUUCUCUUUUAUAUGAAGAGUGAAGAAUUUGAAAAUGUAAAAAUUUUAAUUAUACUUGAUAUUUAUUCAUACUUUUCCGCAAUAAACCAAACAAGAAAAUUUAGAUACCUUCCUAUUUCUUUCCUUUCCCUAGAACUUUAUAUACUCCAAAUGGUGCUAAAGAUAUAUGUGACCAAAGGUAGUCAUUAUCAUGGAUUAUAUAGUAACACAUGGCCUUAUUGAGCUACAAAUGCCCCGCCAGAGUGGUAAUUGGUGAAUAAAAUAGAGUAAGUGAGAUAAAUUGAAUCUAGCGUGGUUGUAACAUGACAAAAAGCACAAACAAAAAGUCAAAGAAAGAUCAUUCACAAGGCUGGAAAGAAAGUAUUGAUUUUUUGAAUAUAAAGUUUUGAUGACAAUAAAUUCCCUUAAAAAAGAAACAUCACACACCAUAAUAUAACCAAUAUAAACUUCACCAUAUAAAUGAACAGAAAAUUAAAUUUAAGAAUGUAGCCAAAUAUUUUACUAUUUGAAAAAUAAAUUGCUCUAAAGUUCUAGGCCAUCAAUAAAAUCAAUUAUCUUUAACUAGUUUCAUGUCUCCUAUUGUUAGCCCCUUGACUCAAGUGACACAGUGCCAAGGGUCUCAUGGGUAGGCACCUUGCACCCAUAAAGACCCUAGGAGAGUGAGGCAAAUUGAAACCAAGGUUCAAUGCAUCAUAUGCGCGAGCUUGGUGGUACAACACAUGAGCUGGCACGAUGAGGUGGCAAGUAGCACGUGACACAACAGGUGUCGCAAGCUAGAUAGUAGGUACUGACACAACAGGUAUCACACUUGACAUAGCAAGUGCCACACACAACAUAACAGGUGCCACAGGCAACAUAGCAAGUACCACACGCUACUUAGGCCACUACCACAUGCAAUGUAGUGGGGUGUUGCAUGCGAUGUAGCAGUUGUAGCCCAUGGCUUAGCACACAUGCACUAGGUGGCAUGACCUAACUCGGGUAAAAUUCAAGUGUUGAAUUUUGACAUGCUUAUAUUUUUCCUUUGAAGAGGAACCUUCAAAAGGGAGUCUCCAAGUGGAAUUGUGGCUGUUUGGAUUUUCAUGAAUUAAUGAAAAAUCAUUAUGCCUCCUUAAGACCCUUGGUGUCUUAUAUUGGCACUUUGGGAAUGGCCUAAAAUGAUUGUUAAGGAGGGUGGAUGCAUGAUUUAAGGCAACGUGGCUUAAUCUUGGCCACACAAAGGGGGUAUGAUGCAAAGCCUCGGACAUGGGCAAGACACUUAGGUGGGCCUUGCUAGAACCGACACAUGGACUCAAUAACAUGUGGUGGUGUGCAACCUAUGACCACAAUUCCUUCUGCUACAUAUUUUUUUUCCAAAAUUUCAGGGGGGAUGUUUGCCCCUCCUAGGCACAAGGUGGCUCCACCCCUGCAUUGUUGCAUUGAAGUGAGAAUUGGGCAUGGCAGGGUGCUUCUGCAACAACAAAAGGCUGCCUCAGACAUGGUGGUGCAUGGUUGAUGGGAGGCAAGAGUAAGGGUAUGGCAUGCUGACUCGUGGCCUGUAAGGCAAGACCUUGCAGGGGGCUGUCCCAUGGGCGCCUAAGACAUGGGCAACAACUCCAAUGUUCCAAGGGCAUAAGUAGACAACCUGAUGCAUGGACAUCACAUGGUGGGCUAAGGCACACAGAUGCACAGAUGGGCUGAACAUGCAUUGACGAGCUAGCAUGCAUGGGUGGGCAGACUUGCACACAUGGACCACAUUGAUGUGGGCUGACAUGCAACUUGGGAAAUAACUCCAAUGCUCCAAAGGCAUAAGGAGACAAACCUGAUGCAUGGACAUCACAUGGUGGGCUAAGGCACACAGAUGCAAUCAGAUGGGCUGAACAUGCAUUGACGAGCUAGCAUGCAUGGGUGGGCAGACUUGCGCACAUGGACCACAUUGAUGUGGGCUAACAUGCAACUUAGUGGGCUGGACAUGGCAUAAGGGCUGAUUCCAUCAGAGGGUAGGUUUGAUUGGUUUCAUGGGUGGUUACUUGGCACCUUUUAGGAAGAGAAGGCAUCAGAAGGCUUGUGAGUGAUUGUGUGGCAUAAAGAGGCACCUCAAGGGAAGAUGGUCUCGUCAGUUGGGUGGUUUUGUAACUACCCCCUACCAACUUGAAUUCAAAUGAAUUGGAAUUCAAAUUAAAUAUGAGAAUGUAGCCUCUGGGUAUAAAUGGUGGUAGGGGGUUGUGGGGCUCUUCUAUUGCCUAAACAGAGACACACGGUGAGGUGUAUGAGAUUGGGGGGUGGGGGUUGGGGGUGGUGCCGCUCAUUUCAGAAAACAGGAAAAAAAAGAGCCUUGUUGCAAAUUUGUGCAUGUGACACCUACCAUAUCCAUGAAACCAACAACAGAAUGGUACUUGUAAGAGUAAAAUAAAAAUUAAAUAGAAAAUCAACUCUUGUUUUUCAUAAUAUAAAACCAAGUUAGUGUAACGAACCAGAAGCUUGGAUGGCAGCCCCAGACUUUGCAAUUGGCUCACCAACUGGACGAUACUGUCUGUUCAAUUCCACUUCCUGCUUUGCAGAAGAUAGCAAGGUUGAGAUUUUACCAUGAUCUAACUGCUUUGCAGGAGACAGCAAAGUACUAUAUCCAUCCACACAGCCAUCAGGUGAUUCAGCAUUAGACUCAACCAAAUGGCUAAAGAACUCAAAAAGAAAACUGACAGCCAAGCUUGACCUAUAAGCUGGACUUGAAGUGCCAUCAUCAGGUACCACAAUGCCUCUAAGUAAUUUAACAGCCUCACAUAGAACACCAACACUUAGCACUUUUCCAGUUAAAAAUUCUUCAACUUUUGUCGCUCUUAUUGGAUGUUUUGUCCCAUAAGCACCAAAAGCAAACUGACAGUUACUUACAAUAAUGCCAAUAGAAGUUGUACAGCGAGAAACUUUAGCCAUUAAAGCAGCAUUUAAAUAGGGCAAUGCAUUUCCUAACGGCCGUGGUGCAGCUCGAUAAGUUUCAAACAGUAACUUCAUCUCGGUCCCUGAAGAAAUGCCCAUAAUCCGAUCCCAAUCUGGGAUUUUGACGCCUACAAGUAUACUUUUCGAAUCUAACUCUGGCCUUCUUAAGAACUCCUCCAAUGUAAGCUCUUCGCUUUUGAGACUAUUCAUUAUAUUUACAGUUGAACCUACUGCAAGAAGUACUGUAGCAAUGUCGGAGGGGAAAUGAUUCCUUUGUGCCAUCACCAGAUUUCCACCUAAACUAGCUGAGUUCCGGAUGAACCCUGAAGCAACUUUUUCCAUAUGGUCAGCAAUUUUUUUAUAGACCAUGUCUCCUUCUGAGUAAAAUCCACUUUGGUUGUAUUCCCUUAGAGCUUCAAUAGCUUUAGAUAUUGUUAUAGUUGCUCCAAUGCUUAUCCCGGUAUUAUCCCUUCUAAUCGUUGAGAAUUCAGGGAUAUGUCUUAGAUCAAUAUAUUUGUCGUAGCUUUCCACUUCCUUGUAAUAACCCAUACCAGUGUUACCAACCACUAAUUUAACCCGAGUCCCAUUUCCAUCCUCAACAAAACCCAAUAAGCUUUGAAGUUCCUCAAUGGUAACAGGAUUAUACCAGGAAUAUCUACUAGAGUCUAAAAGCAAUGUAGACCUAGUUUCAUUUUUCAAGAACUGAGGAAAUGUACAGAUCUCAUCAUUAUGGUUAUACAGGGGUAAGCUGCUUAGUUUCACUUCUUUACUAUCUCCCUUUCUCCAAAAGGAAUUAAACCCCAAAUCCUCCAUAUCAACAUCUGCUGCAAAACUUUUACAGGCAUCAGCAAUGGGCCGGUAUCCAGUACAGCGGCAGAGAUUUCCUGCAAUAGCCGUUUCAGCUUCAGAAACUUUCAGCUUGGAGAAUCCCCUAGGGGGCUCUGGCCGGGGGGUUUUCUCAGCAUUGACAAGAGCCGAGAAGAGUGACAUGCACAUUCCAGGAGUACAAAAGCCACACUGAGAAGCAUGGAAUCCAGAGAACCUUUCAUGAAUUGGGUGGAAUCCAUCUUUCGUGUUCCCAAGGCCUUCAGUUGUUGUAAUUGAACAUCCAUUUACACUACAAAGCAGGGUAAGACAUGAACUCACCGUACAAUCAUCCACCUGGUCAUGCACAGGGUUAUACUUGGACAGUAGAACAACACAAGCACCACAACCACCUGAAACAAUGAAGUUAGCAAACAUUUCAAUGUAUCAGCUGCCUGAUUUUUGAGAUUUUGAUAGGCUAUACAAAAUCAUAAUCUUCAAUGGCUAAACUAUAUUAGGAACUAAUUGAAUAAUGGGACAAUUAUUUAAUAAUUGAACGGCAUAAUCAUCAGCAUAGGCAUUAGUCAAAUAGUUAAAUUUUCAAUCUUAUGUUUCUUGCCGUUCAUCCUCCCAAAAAACAAAGAGAAAGCCUACACCACUACAAGAGCAAUGGACCCCAUUACCCCCAUCGAUUUAAAUAUAGGUAGGAACCAAAAAAUAAAAUCCGACAACAAAAUACAGAAAAAUGGAAUCACAGGACAAUACAAUUGACAACAAGCAAUAAAGAGAACCAGGAAACAAAAAUUAGACACGCUGAAGAAGAAAAUACAUCUAUCAUUGAAGAAAAGGAAACCUGGAUUGGGAAUCCAAGAACCAGAGGAAAGACAGAGUGAUAUGACAGGGUGAUGUAGAAAAUAAAGAAAAAUUAAAAGGAGCAUUAAAGGGAACAUGAUGGAGAAAAACCCAACAUGAAGGAAAAAGGAAUAUCCAACUUUAUCCGUCAAAGAAAAAAGUAGCUCAGAUUGGGCAUCCAAGAGUGCAGAGAAACAGAGGUUCAUACGAUUACAGGUAUGUGUGUACAAAUAUAUACAAAAACAUGGACAACAAAAUUAAAAGCAGAACAUGAUAAAGGAAAGUCAACACACAGAGAAGAAAAACCCGUAUACCCAUCAAAGAAAAAGAAAACCCAAAUUGGGAAACCAACAAGCAGAGAGAAAGAGAGAAGCAUAUGACCAAAGCAAACAUAUAUAUGUACACUGAAUAAAGUACAAAAAAACGCGAGUACAGAGGAGAAGAAAGAUAGAUACCUUCACCGCAGCUGAGCUUGGGACCUUUGAAAGGAGUGUGAGAACGCAAGAACUCAAGCACGGUAGUGGAAGGGUGGAUGGUGGAGACCUCAAACCUCUUUCCAUUAACAGCAAAAACCAGACAGUUGUUUACAGUUGAUUCAGACUGCUCCAUUUCUCCACUGCAAGUCUGCAACUCAAAUCACAGUCAAGAUUAUGUACAGAUAUUAUUCUAUCCUGUAUUUGGGGACGGGGGAAACUAGGAAACUCACUCACAACUAUACGAUUUCCGACGUGUCCAUUUUUGACUUAACACUCAACCAGACAAACAGAAGAAAGAAAUCAAUCUCUGCACGCCAUUGACCGAUUUGGUGCGUCUUUGCUAAUACGUAAAAACGUUGUCUUUAAAUAUUUUGUCCUGUAAAAUUAAGAAUUAAUUAGUUAAAAGGGGGGGUAUUCCUUGUAAUUGUGAAUCUAACACUUUCGAUAUUUUUAUUCGAAGAGUAGUUCACAUUACUUGGAAUCCCGAGGAAUAGAAGAAUCAUACAGGGAUUUGAUGUAAAUGUUUUUUUUAAUAUUUUAAGUAUAUACAUAUAUAUUUUUAAAAAAUAAAUUAUUUUUAUAAGAAAGAAAUAAAAUAUUUUUAUCAAAAUAAAAUAAAAAAAUGAUAAAAAUUUUAAAUUUUAAAAUAGAGUUUUUAAUGAUCCUUUUAAUCGGAAAAACCUUAAAAUUAAUGUACUCUUCGAGUACAAAUUAUUAAGUUAAAAUAAAUUUUUAAUGAAGGUUUAGAUGCAUUUUUUAUUUUUUUAAAAAUAAAAAAUUUUAUAUAUAAUCUUUUAUGACAUUUCCCUUUUUUUUAUAUAUAUAUAUACAAUAUCAAAUUUCUUAGAUAAAAAUGGGUAGAUACCUUGUGUAUUUAAAAUUGUUUUUUAAAAUUUAAAAAAGUAAAAUAUUGUAAGUUGUUCAAAUUUUGUAAUUUUGAAAAGAAUUUUUUAGAAGGUUAGGAUACUUUUUUUAAGAAGAGCUAGUUUUUAUUAAGAUAAUUUUUUUAGCUACUUUUUAUACAAAGUGUUUCUACACCUUAUUUCUUAAAUUAUGAUAGUUAUAAUAAUGUUUUUUUCCUUAUUAUUUUAAAUUCAAUGUGCAUGACAGCAAAAGAAAAAGUGAUUGUGUUUGAUUUUUAUUCACAGUUAAGUGAUGUAGCUGACUUUUAACCUUGGGAAAAAAAAUUCCCAAAUCAAAAGUAGUUAGAAAAUUCGAAUCCAAGGCUACAACUAUUGAAAAAGUAAGGAAAAUGACUCUUUAAGUAAUGACAAACUUGUAGCAUCCUUUCAAACAUAUUAAAUGUCCCACUUGAUUCUCAAAAGCCAUAGGGACUUGCCUUCAAAGAUUCUAAGAAACUUAAAUAUACUAUUAGAGAUCACCAAAGGUAAAAAAAAGUUGAAUACUUUACAACUGUGGUAGGUUAUGACACAUAGUUAGUGAUUGUCUUGAUCAUCAUGAUAGGUUUCUUAUGGUGAGUGCACAAGUAUAUAUGGUUACAUAUUAAAUAAGACUUAUAGUGAAUCAUGACAUUGGCUAUUGAAUAGUCAUAUUAACCAAGCUACUAUGCCAUAUGAGAUCUCAAUCUUGAGAGUAUUGAGGUAGUGUUAAGGUCUUCAAUGUCUUUAGCCUAUGGGUCAGACUCUAAGGCAGUUAUAUAUUCCCUUAGGAUUAUGUCACUUUUGAUUAUGGUAAAUGACAACAAGUAUUCUUAAGAUAGGCAUCGUGAUAUCUCAUUGGUUUGAGGUAACAUGUUUCCUUAGGUAAUCCUAAGGGCAUAUGAUCAUGAAACCUAUGUCACUUUUUGUCAGUUUACUUGUUUUAUUCAUGUUGAUUAUAACCUAUUGUGUUUCUACAUGUUUAGAAUAUAUAUAUAUUUGUGAUCUAAUUUAAAUGAUUCAAUUUAUAGAUUUACUUAUUUCAUUAGAUCAUGUUGUACUCUAAGAUAACUUAACAUUCAUUUAAUUAUAUAUAUAUAUAUAUAUAUAUAUAUUUGGGAUUUUUGCAUCAUCGGUUUACUUCUCAAAUACAAAUAAGAUAGAGUGUUUUAUCCUCUAGGAGUUAAAACCCAGGGAACCCAACAAGACUUCUUAAAAAUGAUAAAUUCUAAACAUGUAGAAACACAAUAGGUUAUAAUCAACAUGAAUAAAACAAGUAAACUGACAAAAAAUUCAUAUAUAUUGAGUAUAGUGUCCAAAAUACCAAGUCUAAAAUCAAUCGCUUUAAAAAGAACACUCUUGAGUAGUUGUGUUACUAUUCAUGGUUGGAUACUUGGAUCACCAUUGUUGACUUUACUAAGAUAUUAUCUCAAAAAGGAUUACAUUUGUAACGACUUGCACCUAGUUGUGUAGAUAUUGUUUGUUUUGAACCCAAAGGAGCCCUCAUGACUUUAAAACAUGUCUAUAUGAUUAAAAAGAGCUUAUACUUAUAUAGUGUUAAUAACUUUUUCUACUACAUCACAAACACCCCCCCCCCCCCCCCUCCCCCCUCCCCAUGCAAACAGAACAAAGACAGUAUGUCUUAUGAGAUUACGAGGCCAAAUAGACAAACAUCCCUCAUAGGCCCAAAGAAAUCCCCACACCAAGGUCGGGAAUUGGGUUUGAUACCAUUUAUAAUGAUCAACACCCAACCGUGUAAAUAUUGUCUAUUCUGGAUCUAAAGAAGUUCUCAUGACUUUAAAAUGUGUUUACAUAAGAGAAUUUCAUACUUAUAUAACACCAUAAACUUUCUCCUCUAUUCGAUGUGGGACAUCUUACGAGGUCAAAUAAACCCAUCCACACCAAGGUCAAGGAUCAACUUUAAUACCAUUUGUAACGAUCCGCACUCAAUCAUAAAAAUAUUGUCUACUCUACACCUAAAAGGGGACUCUCACGACUUUAAAAUGUGUUUACAUAAGAGAAUUUCAUACUUAUAUAACACCAGAAACUUUCUCCUCUAUUCGAUGUGGGACAUCUUACGAGGUCAAAUAUACUCGUCCACACCAAGGUCAAGGAUCAACUUUAAUACCAUUUGUAAUGACCCGCACCCAAUUGUAAAAAUAUUGUCUGCUCUACACCUAAAGGGACUCUCACAACUUUAAAACACUUCUACAUGAUUAAGAGAAGUUCAUACUUAUAUAGCGUUAGAAACUUUCUUCCUUAUCCAAUGUGGGACAUCACAACAUCUGCUCCAAGGAAAGUGAUUAUAAACCUCAACCAAUCAUGAUAAGUUUUAUUUUUCAUAUUUUAAUUUUCAUUUCUUCAUUGUUCAAAUUUUGUCUUUUACAUUUAUAUUCUGGUUUGCUUGUUUAGUGGGGUGACCUUAGUUAAAGGAUAAUUUUCAAUAAUUAUAUUCCAAUAAUUUAGAGUUGCUAGAUCUCAAAUUUCUUCAGAAUAACUACAUUUCAUUUUUUAUUGAUUCACAGAUGAAAUAAAAUUGUUUAGUUUCAUCUUUUCCACCACUAAUAGUUACUUAUACAAUUUUAUACUAAUACAACGAGCUAGGGUGUUAGGUAAAUCAACUUAAUAACUUAAUAUGACUUAAUAAUUUAAUUUAAGAUAUCAAAUAGAAUAAACAUAUUUGAUGAAAUAAUUUAAUAUCACAACUUAGCGGGUAUUUGAUAAAACUUAAUAUUUAUUACUUAAUGAUUUAAGUUGACUUUAAAUUGAAUUAUUCUUAAGUCAUUAGCUAAAAAAUUAUUACUUAGUUUUUACUUUAAAUAUUAAGAUUGUUCGGUAAAGUGAAUAUAAAUUUAAAUAAUCAAAUUGGUAUAUUUACCUUCGUUAAUUUUAAGAAAUAUUUUAUCCUUAUGUAGUUUAAUUCAUAUUUAUUUUUUUAAAAAUACAUGUACGUAUAAAAUAUUUAUAUUUAAAUUAUUAUAGAUAUAUAAAAUAACAAUAAAAUAUUUAUUAUAAAAAAAAUGAGUCAUGGGUGUGGAAUUUAAUUUUAAAAUAUACUUUUACUAAUAUGGGAAAAUGAAUCAAAAAAGAUUUGAGAUUAAGAAUAAACUAAUCAUUUUAACUUAAUACUUAAAGUUAAAAAUAACUUUAAGUUAUAACAUUAAAUUAUUUUAUCAAACAAGGUUAAUCUAUUUAAUAAUUUAAAUGAAGUUCUUAAGUCAUUAAGUUGAUUUAUCAGAUACUCUCUUAAAAUCAAAAAUAAUUUUAAGUAUAAAAUCAAAAUAGUGAAUUUAUUUUUAAUCUCAAAUCUCAUUUUCCUUAUUUGUUUAUGUCCAAUGAGAAUAUAUUUUAUAGUGAUUACUCCAUAUUCAACCGCCACUUUUAAUAGUAAAUAUUUUGUAGUUAAUUAUCUUAUAUAUUUAUAAUUCUUUAAAUAUAGAUAUGUAACAAAUAAGUUUAUUCCUUAAGAUUAGUGAAAAUAUAAAUAUUAAUAAAAAUUAACGAGGGAAAAUAUGUUAAUUUUGAUUAUUUAGAAUAUAUUUUGAGUUCACUUUAUCAAACAACCUUAAUAAUUAAAGUAAAAAUUAAGUAAUUAAGUAAUAAAUAUUAAGUUUUAUCUUAAAACUUAUUAUUUGAAUUUUACUUUAAAGUUAUUUAAUAAAGUUAAGUUAUAAUUUUUUUAAAUCAUCAAAUUGACAUAUUUACCCUCAUUAAUUUUAACUAAUAUUUAUACUUCUUAAACAAUGAAUUUAUUUAUUAAACAUCCAUAUUUAAAGGAUUAUAUAUGUAUAAGUGUUGUAAAUACAAUGGCGAAUGACCACAUUGAUGGUUAUUUAUGAACUCCAUUUACUCAUCUUUAAGAUGAGUAAUGAGAGUUCAUAUUGUGAAGCCUAUAAAAGGCUUCUUACACCCCAUGUCAGAAGCAUCCCAAGCAAAAAAAAGAUAUUCUCUUAUUCUCAUUCCCUCUCUCUUUUUUUCAUUCUCUCAACAUUUCUCUUCUUUGAUUUCUUUCUCCCCUAUAUAUAUAUAUUAUUAAAGUAAUACAAAGUCAUCUCUACUUUUAUUUGAGUCACAUUUAUUCUCAUUUUACAACACGUUACCAGCAUGAAUUACUCUAAAGGUAAUUCUUAUAUCUUAAACUUAAAGUUAUUUAUAUAGAAUAAAAUUUUACAUAUUUAUAUCAUUGUUGAUUUGUUUUGUUACAAAUUGUUAAAAGUUAUAAACAAAUUAUUUGAUUUUGUUUAUAAUCAAAGUUAUACCAAUUCUAUCAAGUUAUUAUAAUUGAUUCUAAUAAUAUUGUUUUGUCACAUAUAUGAAGUUAUUUGACAAUGUCGAAUAUCACAAAACUCGAAUUUGUGGCACUUGACAUUUCAGGAAAAAACGAUCUAUCUUGGAUCCUUGAUACUGAAAUACAUCUUGAUGCAAUGAACCUUGAAGCUACGAUCAAAGAAGGAAAUCAAGCAUCCCUGUAGGAUCGCGCAAAAGCAUCGAUUUUCCUCCUCCAUCACCUCCAUGAAGGUUUAAAAAAUGAGUAUUUUAUGGUAAAAGACCCUUUUACUCUAUGGAGUAAUUUGAAGGAAAGAUAUGACCAUUAGAAAACUAUAAUUCUCCCAAAAGCUCAAUAUGAUUGGAUGUACUUCAGGUUUCACAAGAUUUUAAAUCUGUUAGUGAAUACAAUUCCGCACUUUUCAAAAUCAACUUUCAAUUAAAGUUGUGUGGAGAAAAAAAUCACAGAAGAAGACAUGUUAGAGAAAACUUUUACUACGUUUCAUGCCUCAAAUGUGCUUCUACAGCAGCAAUAUCGAGAGCGUAGAUUUACAAAAUAUUCUGAAUUAAUAUCAUGUCUUCUUGAUGCUAAACAAAAUAAUGAACUUUUGAUGAAAAAUCACCAGUCUCAUCCAACUGCAUCUGAACCAUUCCCUGAAGUGAAUGCAAUAUCGUCCUAAACUCGUGGACGAGGACGAGGACGAGGACGAGGACGUGGUCGUGGUUGUGGAAGAAAUCCAUGAUACCAUGAUUCUUAUAGUAAUAAUUCUAAGAAAAUGAAAGCCUCAUUGCACCACUAGAAGUAGAACAAUACUGAGACAAAACAAGAAAAUGGGAAGCGUUUACAAGAUAAACCUCCUAAGAACCAUGAAAAUAAUUGUUAUAUAUGUGGUAUGAAGGGGCAUUGGUCGCAUACCUGUCAUAGGCCCAAACAUUUGGUCGACCUUUACUAAGCAUCAAUAAAAACCAAUAUUUUAAAAACCGGACAUGACCGGCCUGUUCGACCGUCGACCAGUCACCAUUCCAGUCCGGUCCGACCAUUUGGCCCGUAAAGAAGUUGAGCCGGAAUCGAACCAGCUGAACCGACGAUCGAACCGCCGAACUAGCCGGUUCCCUCCAUCGCCGACCACUCAACUCCCCCCUCCCCCGCGGUUGUUCCCAUUGUCGCCGACAGUGUUUGAAAUAUCGAAAAAAUUUGGCGAUAUUUCUCAAAAAUCAUGGAGUUAGGGUUUGUGAAAUUUAAAUCCAUUGGCAUAAAAGCAAAGAGACCCCUAGAACAGAUCCGGAAAACACAAGGAGCAAAAAAAAUAGCAAUUUUGUUGGUUUUCCUUGGGGGUUUUGAACGGAUUUUCUCAGAAAUCAAACGAGGAUGAAUUUUCCUGGAAAUCAAAUGGGGGAUGGAUUUUCUUGGGAAUCAAACAGGGGUUGCAAAGAAAAAAAAUCAAAAACAUGAUUAGAUUAGUAACUGCGAGGAUUGAGAGUGGCAGAGGAAAGUAGGGCUUUUUACCUUUUACUUUUAGGGAUUGUGUCGUCUGGAGGGCACCUUCAGAGAAAACUGAAAAGGGCUUCUUUGCCUCGAGUGCGAGAAUUCCUCUGUAUAAAUAAUUAUUAAUUAUUAAUAAUUCAUCUUAAUUUUUAUUAAAUCAAAACCGUGCUUGAGUUCAAUGCAUGCUACCAUUGGACUAGUCUUUGAUAAUAUAUAUUUAAUUUAAAUUUGUUAAGGUUCAUCAUUAAAAAAAAAUUUUAAUUUUAAUUAUUUUAUUUUAAAUUAUUUUUAAUCUAUUAAUAAAAAUAUAAAAAAUAAUAUUAUAAAUUAUAUUUUAAUUUUUUUUUAAUAAUAUAUAAAAAUAUAUAUUUAUGACGUCACCGAUUCAACCGCAGUUCGACCACUGGUCCGACCAGUGAACCGUGAACCGAUAACUUUUCCGGUUCAAUGACCAGUCCGGUUCUGAAAACAUUGAUAAAAACAAAAGAAAAAGAGAUAGAAAUGAACUUUACCGAUGGUGAUAGAUUGGACCUAACCUACUAUGACAUUGAUUUUUUUUGGAGGUCCCAAUGAAAAAACAGACCAUUUGAUAAAUGAUGAGAAAAUUAACAUUAAUUGAUGUUACUUUAUAUAUGAAAUAAUAUAUUAUUAUGUCUUAUAUUUACAUAUGAUUUUCUUUUGUUAUUUACAUUAUGCCUUGUUUUUUUUUUUUUAGUUAUAUCUGAAAUCCAUGUGUUAUUUGAUCUUAAGAUGAAUGAGCAUGAUGUAUGUCUCACAGAUUAUGCGACUACGCACACAAUUCUUUGAGAUAAAAGAUAUUUCAUCGAAUUGACAUUAAAAAAGCUAAUGUAAGUACCAUAUCUGGUACUACAAACUUAGUUGAAGGCUUUAGAAGAGCAAACAUAAUGUUGUCAAAUGGAAUUAGAUUCCAUAUAAAUGACGCUUUAUAUUCUAGCAAAUCUAGAAGAAAUUUGUUCAGUUUUAAAGAUAUCCGUAGAAAUGGAUAUCAUAUUGAAACUAUGAAUGAAGAUAAUAUAGAAUAUAUUUACAUUACUUCCAUUAUAUUUGGCUAGAAACUUAUAAUGGAAAAACUCUGGACUUUCUCCUCUGGGUUGUAUUAUGCAACUAUAAAGCCUAUUGAAUCAUAUGUUGUUGUGAACCAGAAGUUCAACGACCUAAAAGUUUUUGUCAUUUGGCAUGAUAGGCUAGGUCACCUAGGGUCUUCAAUGAUGCAUCGAAUAAUUGAACACUCAUAUGGGCAUCCACUAAAGAACCAGAAGAUUCUUUCACCCAAUGAAUACUCAUGUGUUGUCUGCUCACAAGGUAAAUUAAUAGUCAGAUCAUCUUUUACUAAAGUCAUAUCUGAGUCACCAGUAUUUUUAGAAAGAAUAUAUGGGGACAUAUGUGAGUCUAUCCAUCCAUCAUGUGGACCAUUCCAUUAUUUUAUGUUCUUAAUAGAUGCUUCUACUAGGUGGUUAUAUGUUUGUCUCCUUUCUACACGUAAUGUUGCAUUUGCUAGACUCCUUGCACAAAUAAUCAGAUUACGAGCACAAUUUCCAGAUUAUCCAAUUAAAACAAUACAUCUUGAUAAUGCUGGCGAAUUUACUUCUCAAAAAUUCAUUGACAAUUGCAUGUCAGUAGAGAUAAAUAUUGAGCAUCCUGUUGCUCAUACUCAUGCCCAAAAUCGUUUAGUAAAAUCAUUCAUCAAAUGUCUCUAAUUAAUAGCUUGACCAUUACUAAUGAAAACCAAAUUACCUACUUCUGCCUGGGGACAUGCUAUUAUGCAUGCUGCUACUUUAGUCCGUAUUCGACCUAUAACUUACCAUGAAUACUCUUCUUCACAACUUGUUCUUGGAAAACAACCAAAUAUCUCUCACUUACGAAUCUUUGGUUGUGCAGUAUAUGUACCAAUUGCACCUACACAACACACUAAAAUGGGUUCCCAACAAAGACUUGAGAUUGUAAGUUUUGAUUCUCCAUCUAUUAUAAGAUAUCUUGAACCUUUGAUAGGCGAUGCUUUUAUAGCCCGCUUUGUGGAUUGUCAUUUUAAUGAGAGUGUUUCCCGUCAUUAGGGAGGAGAAAAGUCGAUUCCUGAAGAACGAUGAGAAAUUAAUUAGAAGACAUCUACUAUGACCCAUCUUGAUCCUCAUACAAAUCAAUGUGAACUAGAAGUUCAAAUGAUCAUUCAUUUGCAAAAUCUUGCAAAUCAAUUACCAGAUGCAUUCAUUGAUACAAAGAAAGUGACAAAGUCAUAUAUCUCGACUACAAAUACUCUAGCACAGAUUGAUGUCUUGAUGUCCCUAUAGGACAAUUAACAAAUGAAUCUAAGAUACGCUUGAAGCAUGGUAGACCUGUCAGCUCAAAUGAUGUAAUUCCCUAGAAGAUGAGAACCCAAGAAAAACUUGGCACUCUAGAAGAGGCCAUCAAAAUGACUGAUUAGUUUAAAAUUGAUAAAUAUAUAACCCUAGAAGAGGCACAAAUAAUGCCGAAAGCCCCUGAAGACGCACAUAUUGAACAAAUGACGCUUUAUAUUCUAGCAAAUCCAAAAGAAAUUUGCUCAACUUUAAAGAUAUUCGCAGAAAUGGAUAUCAUAUUGAAACUAUGAAUGAAGAUAAUAUAGAAUAUAUUUACAUUACUUCCAUUAUAUUUGGCCAGAAGCUUAUCACGGAAAAACUCUCGGCUUUCUCCUCUAGGUUGUAUCAUGCAACUAUAAAGCCUAUUGAAUCAUAUGUUGUUGUGAACCAGAAGUUCAACGACCCAAAAGCUUUUGUCAUUUGGCAUGACAAACUAGGUCACCUAAGGUCUUCAAUGAUGCAUCGAAUAAUUGAACACUCACAUGGGCAUCCACUAAAGAACCAGAAGAUUCUUUUGCCCAAUGAAUACUCAUGUACUGCCUGCUCACAAGGUAAAUUGAUAAUCAGAUCAUCUUUUACCAAAGUCAUAUCCGAGUCACCAGUCUUUUUGGAAAGAUUACAUGGGGACAUAUGUGGGCCUAUCCAUCCACCAUAUGGACCAUUUCAUUAUUUUAUGAUCUUAAUAGAUGUUUUUACUAGGUGGUCACAUGUUUGUCUUCUUUCUACACGUAACGUUGCCUUUGCUAGACUCCUUGCACAAAUAAUCAAAUUACGAACACAAUUUCCAGAUUAUCCAAUUAAGACAAUACGUCUUAAUAAUGCUGACGAAUUUACUUCUCAAACAUUCAUUGACUAUUGCAUGUCAGUAGGGAUAAAUAUUGAGCAUUUUAUUGCUCAUACUCAUACCUAAAAUGGUUUAGCAGAAUCCUUCAUCAAAUGUCUCUAAUUAAUAGCUCGACCAUUACAAAUGAAAACCAAAUUACAUACUUCCGCAUGGGGACAUGCUAUUAUGCAUGCUGCAACUUUAGUCCUUAUUUGACCUACAACUUACCAUGAAUACUCUCCUUCACAACUUGUGCUUGAAAAACAACCAAAUAUCUCUCACUUACGAAUCUUUGGUUGUGCAGUAUAUGUACCAAUUGCACCUACACAACACACUAAAAUGGGUCCCUAACGAAGACUUGGGAUUUAUGUAAGUUUUGAUUCUCCAUCUAUCAUAAGAUAUCUUGAACCUUUGACAAGCGAUGUUUUUACAGCCUGUUUUGUGGAUUGUCAUUUUAAUGAGAGUGUUUUCUCGUCAUUAGGAGGAGAAAAGUUGAUUCCUAAAGAACAACGAGAAAUUAGUUGGAAGACAUCUACUAUGACCCAUCUUAAUCCUCGUACAAAUCAAUGUGAACUAGAAGUUCAAAUGAUCAUUCAUUUGCAAAAUCUUGCAAAUCAAUUACCAGAUGCAUUCAUUGAUACAAAGAAAGUGACAAAGUCACAUAUCCCGAUUGCAAAUACUCCAGCACGGAUUGAUGUCCCUGUAUGACAGUUAACAAAUGAAUCUAAGAUAUGUCUGAAAUGUGGUAGACUUGUCGGCUCAAAGGAUGUAACUCCCCAGAAAAGGAGAACCCGAGAAAAACUUGGCACUCUAAAAGAGGCCAUCAAAAUGACUGAUCAAUUUAAAAUUGAUAAAUCUAUAGCCUUAGAAGAGGCACAAAUAAUGCAGAAAGCCCUUGAAGAGCCACAUAUUGAACAAAAAGCCUCUCAAGAGAUACAUAUUAAACAAGAAACCCCUGAAGAGCCACAUAUUGAAUGAGAAGUUCCUGAUGAGGCACAGGUACUUGAAAAUUGUGAGAUCUCAAUAAGUUAUGUACACACGGGAGAAAAAUGGGAUCAAAAUAAUAUUAUUAUUAACAAUAUUUUUCCUUUCCAAGUGGCCUUUGAUAUCAUAAGAAAUGAUGAAGAUCCCAAACCACGAAAUGUGGAAGAAUGUUGACAUAGAAAUGAUUGGCCAAAAUGAAAAGAAGCUAUACAGACAGAGUUAAACCCAUUAAUAAAACGAGAAGUUUUUGGACUUGUAGUCUAAAUACUUGAAGAUGUAAAGUUUGUUGGGUACAAAUGGGUAUUUGUAUGAAAGCGCAAUGAGAAUAAUGAGAUCAUAAGAUAUAAAAUGCGAUCAGUAGCACAAGGUUUCUCGUAGAGACCUGGUAUUGAUUACGAGGAAACAUAUUUUCCCAUCGUGGACGCAAUCACAUUUCGUUUCUUAAUUAGUUUGGCAAUCUCAGAAGAACUGGAUAUGCAUUUCAUGGAUGUUAUUACAAAAUAUUUAUACAGAUCCAUGGAAAAUGAUAUAUACAUGAAAAUCCCUGAAGGAUUUAAAUUUCCAAAAUAUUUAUACAGCCUCGUAGCAUGUACUUAAUCAAGUUACAAUGAUCUUUGUAUGUAUUAAAGUAAUCUGGACGCAUGUGGUACAAUCACCUUAGCAAAUUCUUGCUAAAAGAAGGGUAUGUGAAUAACCCUAUAUGCCCAUGCAUCUUCAUUAAGAAAUCAAAAACCGAAUUUGCAAUUAUUGCAGUGUAUGUUGAUGACUUAAAUCUUGUUGGAACUCUUGAAGAGCUCAUAAGAACAACAAAUUACUUGAAAAAUGAAUUUGAGAUGAAAGGUUUUGGAAAAACAAAAUUUUGUCUCAACCUACAGAUCAAGCAUUUUCCAAAUGGAGUUUAAUAUAUCAAUCAACAUACAUUAAGAAAGUUUUGAAGCGUUUUUAUAUGGAUAAAAAGCAUCAUUUAAGUUCUCCAAUGGUUGUUCGAUCACUUGAUGUGAAAAAUGACCCAUUUCGUCAUUGUGAAAAAGAUGAACAGUUACUUGGUCCUGAAGUACCAUAUCUUAAUGCAAUUGGUACACUUAUAUAUCUUGCCAAUUAUACACGUCCAAACAUUCCUUUUUAUGUCAAUUUAUUAGCAAGAUACAACUCUGCUCCAACUCGAAGACAUUGGAAUGGUAUCAAACAUAUAUUGCGUUAUCUUCGUGGAAUCACUGAUAUGAGUUUAUUUUACUCAAGGGAAUCAAAACAACAAUUGCUUGAACAUACAGAUGCAGGAUAUCUUUCAGAUCCACAUAAAGGUAGGUCACAAAUAGGGUAUGUGUUUAAUUGCAAUGGUAUUGCUAUUUCAUGGAGAUCUGUCAAACAAACAAUGGUGGUCACAUCAUCAAAUCAUUUAGAAAUACUGACAAUUCAUGAAGCAAGUUAUAAAUGUAUAUGGCUAAGAUCUAUGAUCCAGCAUAUUCGGGAAUCAUGUGGACUUUUCUUUAUCAAAUGUGACCCGACAAUAUUAUUUGAAGAUAAUGUUGCAUUCAUUACACAAAUAACAGGGGGUUAUAUUAAAGGAGAUAGAACUAAUCACAUUUCACCAAAAUUCUUUUAUGCACAUGAACUCCAAAAGAGUGGUGAAAUUGAUGUGCAACAAAUAUGCUCAAGUGAUAAUCUAUGAGAUUUAUUUACAAAAUCAUUGUCAAUCUCAACAUUCAAGAAGUUAAUACACAAGAUUAAAAUGCGUCAACUCAAUGAUAUCAACACGAGGGGGAGUAUGCUUGUAAAAAGGUGUUAGUGUACUGUACUUUUUUUUUCUUUUAUCCAGGUUUUGUCCUACUGGGUUUUACUGGCGAGGUUUUUAACAAGGUAGUCCUAACAUACCAAGAAAAGAAUAUUGUACUAUUUUCUUUCGCUAGGUUUUUCUAUUAGGGUUUUUUACUAGCAAGGUUUUAAUGAGACAUAUUCUUUUAAUAUGGUGAUCAUCCAAGGGGGAGUGUUGUAAAUAUAAUGGUGAAUGACUACAUUGAUGGUUAUUUAUGAACUCCAUUUACUCAUCUUUAAGAUGAGUAAUGGGAGUUUAUAUUGUUAAGCCUAUAAAAGGCUUUUUACACCCCAUGUAAGAAGCAUCCCGAGCAGAAGAAAGAUAUUCUCUUCCUCUCAUUCUCUCUCUCUUUCUUUCAUUCUCUCAACAUUUCUUUUCUUUGAUUUCUUUCUUUUCUCUAUAUAUAUUAUUAAAGUAAUACAUAGCCAUCUCUACUUUUAUUUGAGUCACAUUUAUUCUCAUUUUACAACAAUAAGAUAACUAUCAAAGUAUUUACUACAAAAAAUGAAUUGUAAAUGUAAAGUCAAGGUCAUAAAAUAUGCUCUCAUUAAACAUGAACAAAUGAGGGAAAAAAUAUUUAAAAUUAAUAAUAAGUUAAUUAUUUCGACUUAAUAUUAGAGGCUAUUUUUAUUUUAAGAUAUCGUAUUAAAUUAUUUAGGGGUUCUUUGAUUAAAAGAGUAAUUGAAAACCCAGAUUUUGAAAUUUAAUUGAUACCGUUUUUUGUUCAUAAAAAUAUCCUUACUUUUUUUUUUUUUGGUAAAAAUAAUCAUUUUUUAACUACAUGUAAAUACUUGAAAUUGUAAAAAAUAUUUCUAUUAAAAAUAUGUUACUUUUCAAAUAAAAAUAUAAAAAGGGUUAGAUUUAUAAAUAUAAGACUUAUUUCAUAUUUUAAUCAAUUAAUUCUUAUUUUAGCAUGCUUAUUAAUAAGGGGAGUAAGUUGACCCACCAAAUAUCCUCUUAAAAAUAAUUUAAUUAACUUAUGUUCGCUCUACCGCAUCACUUUUAUUUGGUUUUUAUUUUCUUUCCUUUUAUCCAUCCACUUCAACUUCGACAAUUCUAGAAUUCCUAUCAUUUAAAGUUAAAUGUAUCCUCUUUUCAUUUCCUUAAUAAUUCAAAGAAUUAAUUUUGGUUUUUUAUAUUUUAUAAAUUUUAUUUAUUAUUUUUUUCCAUUUUUUUUUCAUGAAUUCUUCCUAAUAUUCAUAAUUAUGUACCUUCCUUUUUCAUCUCUCCAUUGCUUCCAUCGCUUAAAAUUACAAUAUUGAUCAUUGACUCGAAGAAGUUCCAAGACAUAUUGGAAUCUUGAUUUGAUAACAAAUUGAUAUACAAAAUAAAAUAAUUAUAAAUUUGAAAAAAUUAUAAAAAUAUUAUAUAAAUUAUAAAAACGUAGAUAUAAUUAAAUAAACUUAAAAUAUUAAUAAGACAAUUUUUUUUGGAUUCAAUUCUCAAUAUGCCAUAUAAAUACAUUUAAUUUAUCAUUAAAUCUCGUCCCAAACCGUCCAUAUCAUUUUGGUACUCAAUCAUUUAAUUUAAUUUAAUUUAAUAUGCUACCAUCAAUGUAAAUUUUUUCACUUUACCAGUUUGAGCUCCCAAUCUUCCACCCUUGCACACCGCCGUUGCCGUCAAGACCCACAACACGACACCACCUGCAAUUGCAAUUUGCAACUAUGCAAGACCCAACACUGAAGGGGAGCAAUCUGACUGUGAGGGGUUGCUUGGCCGACGUCAACGUUGUAAGAUUCAGUCCACUGGACGAGUUACCACCGCCGACACCAAAGCUUCACUCUACGGUAAUACUCAAUUUUUAGGAAAAUCAGGUAAGUAAAUCCUAAAUCAUGCCCUCAAUGGUUUCUCAUCUUAUUUCCGAACAGGUCAGGGGUUUUGGGUUUUUUCUUCUUCGCCUUCUUUGAUCUUCUGGGUUAAAAGCUCCAAUUUCAGAAUCAUGGGUGUCUGCUUUUGAAUGGGGAAUCUCUAAUUUUUAUUUUAUUUUUGAAAAUGUUAUGAUAUUUUAUUGUGAUGGGAAAGAAAAAGAGAAUGUUUGAAAAUUUUUCUGUAAUCUAACCGAGUUAACUCGGAAACUCAGACGAGUCAGCCGAGUCUUAACAAUUUCGUGCCAAGUUUGUGCAUUAUAUCGUAUCUGGUGUCGGUCUCGUCGCGUCAGGUGUUUAGGCGGAUACGACUCGACCGAUUUGAACCAGACCCUGCUGAUACUUUGAACCCUGACUUCUUCAAAAUGGAUGCUUCUUCUUCUUCUCAACAUUGGAGGUAUGAUGCCUUCUUCAGCUUUAGAGGAGAAGACACCCGCAAAAGCUUCAUUGCCCAUCUCUAUAAGGAGUUGUGUACCAAAUGAAUCAACACUUUUAUCGACGAUGACAAACUUAGGCGAGGCGAAGUCAUAUCUCCAGCACUUCUUACUACUAUUGAAAACUCAAUGUUUUCUAUCAUUGUUUUAUUGGAAAAUUAUGCCUCUUCUAGCUGGUGCUUAGAGGAGUUGGUGAAGAUACUAGAGUGUAUGAAAACCAGGGGACAGAGAGUUGUCCCCAUUUUCUAUAAUGUGGAUCCAUCUGAUGUGCGGAAACAAAGGGGAAAUUUUGGAAAAGCCUUGACUGAACAUGAAGAAAAUUUGAAGGAAAAUAAGAAAAGGGUAUAGAUCUAGAAGGAUGCUCUUGUUGAAGUUGCAAAUUUAUCUGGCUGGGAUUCGAGGAAUAAGUACUUUUCUAAAUCAUUAUUGUUAUGUUAACAUUAACAAUGUUGCCCACUUUAAUGCUCUUUGCCAAAUUCUCCCAUUAAUUAUUAAGAAAAAAAGGUUAUACAGAUACCAUGUUAAUAUUGUGUUAUGAGAGGAGUAGGUUUGUAGAAUACUGCUUUUUCAGUUUCUUAUUAAGAUGUCAUAAACUUGAAUAUAGGCAUCCUUUCUAAGGAAUUUAAUUUCUGUUUACAUACAAGACCUCCAUACAUGGAAUUCCCCAUUCUCUUUUUCAAUGCAUAUAGUUGAUCAUUUGAAAGAAGUUUGUCAUAUUGGAACUAUAUUUAUUAGAGAAAUUGGAUUAAUUAUACUACGAUGAUCACUGUGUUAAUUUAUACUUAUUUCCUCGUCUACCUAUUUUUUUGAAAUGCACAAACCUAGGUAUCAUAUCUUAUUCACUUUAUUUUAGUUUCCUUUUAUGUUGCCAUGGACUUAUUAUAUGUUUUUCAAAUGUGGCAGGUAUGAGCCUAUGCUCAUCUAGGAAAUUGUCAUAGAUAUUUUGAAUAGAUUAUUUCAUAUAUCCUCAAGUGAUGCCAAGAACCUGGUUGGAAUAAAUUCUAGCUUACAAGAAAUGGAAUUGCUAUUAUGUAUUGAGUCUAGAGAAGUUCGAAUGGUAGGAAUUUGGGGUAUGGCAGGCAUAGGUAAAACAACUCUUGCCAAAGCUAUUUGUCAGCAUAUCUCUGGUCAUUUUGAAGCUUGCUCCUUUCUUGAAAAUGUAGGAGAUGAUUUGGAGAAACGAGGGUUCCUUGGAUUAGAGGAAAAAUUUCUUUCUCAACUAUUGGAGGAUAGAAAUCUAAACAUUAAAGGACUCAGUUCUAUAAAAGCGAGGCUUCAUUUCAAAAAGGUUCUCAUUGUCAUUGAUGAUGUGAACAGUUCAAAAAUAUUGAAAGUAUUAGUCGGAAAGCAUGAUUGGUUUGGUCAAGGAAGCCGAAUCAUUGUAACAACAAGAAAUAAGCACUUGCUAGUUAUGCAUGGAGUAGAUGAGGUAUAUGAGGUUAGGAAAUUAAAUAAUGAUGAUGCUCUUGAGCUCUUCAGUCAUUAUGCCUUUAAACAAGUCCAUCCCCAAGAAGAUUAUGUGGAGCUGUCCAAGUGUGUAAUGGUUUAUGCUCAAGGGCUUCCAUUGGCUCUUAAAGUUUUAGGUUCAUUUUUAUUUAGCAAGAGCAAGCAUGAAUGGGAAAGUGAACUGGCUAAACUAAGAAGAAUUCCUAAUAUGGAAAUUCAAGAUGUGCUACAAGUGAGUUUUUAUGGGUUGGAUGACAAAGAGAGGGAUAUAUUUCUAGACAUUGCAAGUUUUUUUAAAGGAGAGGACAAAGAUUAUGUUAUGAAAAUCCUAAAUGGUUGUGGUUUCUUCCCAGAUAUUGGAAUAAGAGUUCUCAUUGAGAAGUCCCUCAUUACUAUUUUAGACAAUAGGUUGAUGAUGCAUGAUUUGUUACAAGAAAUGGGCAGAGAAAUUGUUCGUCAAACAUCCCUUAAAGAACCUGGAAAACACAGCAGGUUGUGGUUUCAUGAAGAUGUUUAUCAUGUAUUGACAAAAAAAGGGUAAGAGCCAAAUACAUUAAAUUCCUUUUUCGUGGGUAAGGUGUAGUUGAAAGAUAUGUAAGGUUGGGAAUAUAGUUUUUGUUUAAGUAAUAAUACAUCUAUAUAACUUUAAUAAGUUUUUAUGCAUUUUGCAUGCUUCACUUAUCCAUUGGCUUUUAUCAAUGUUAAUUAGGCAACUGAAGAAGUUGAAGCAAUAUUCCUUGACUUGUCUAAUUUAGAAGAAAUACUCUUUACUACUGAAGCAUUUGCACGAAUGAAUAGACUUAGAUUGCUCAAAGUCUAUAAAUCUCAAGAUCCCAGAGAUGAAGUAUGUACUUCACAAAAGGAAGAGUGCAAGGUUAUGUUUUCAAGGGACUUUAAAUUCCAUUAUGAUGACUUGAGAUAUUUGUAUUGACAUGGAUACCCUUUCAGAUCAUUGUCAUUUGAUUUUAACUCAAAGUGUCUUGUUGAUCUCAGCAUGCCUUAUAGCCACAUUAAACAACUUUGGAAAGGGGUGAAGGUAUGAUUAUGAUUUGUUUUUGUUGUUUUUUAGACAAGUCAUUGAAAACUUAUUUGUUCUAUCCACUUUCUUUGUUACAGGUUCUUGACAAGUUAAAAUUCAUGGAACUCAGCUCCAAGCAGCUAACUGAGACACCGGAUUUCUCAGGGAUCACCAAUCUUGAACGGUUGGUUUUUGAAGAUUGCACACAUUUGCAUAAGAUCCACCCAUCUCUGGGAGGUUUAAGCAAGCUCAUUUUCUUGAGUUUGAGAAAUUGCAUAAACCUUAGGUAUUUUCCGAGCAGUGGUAAGUUGGAAUCUCUUCAAAUCCUUAUUCUCUCAGGCUGCUCAAAACUUGAGAAGUUUCCAGAGAUCCGAGGGUACAUGGAACAUCUAUCAGAGCUCUAUUUAGAUGGGACUGCUAUAAAGGAAUUACCUUCCUCUAUUGAGUAUGCCAGUGGGCUUGUUCUAUUGGAUCUUAAAAACUGCAAAAAGUUCAGGAGUUUUCCAACAUGUAUUCAUAAUUUGAAAUCUCUUGAAACCCUGAUUUUUUCUGGUAGCUUGGAAUCUGAAGAUGUUCAAGAGAACUUUGGGAACCUAGAAUGGUUCAAGAAGCUUUAUUCAAAUGGAACUGCUAUAAGAGGAAUGCCUUCUUCUAUUUCCCUCUUUAGAAACCUUGUAGUAUUAUCCUUUGGUGGAUGUAGUGGACCACCAUCUCUUUCAUGGUCAUUGCCUAGAAGAAGUUCACAUUCCAUUGAUUUCCUCCUGCUGUCAGACUUAUGCUCCUAACAGCACUUAGAUCUAAGUCACUGCAAUCUAUCUGAGGAAGCAGACCUUAGUAAACUUGGUCUCUUAUCUUCACUGAAAAAACUAAAUUUAAGUGGGAACAACUUUGUUAGUUUGCCUUCAAAUGUGUUGAGUCGACUUUCUCAGCUGACAAGACUUGACCUACAUAAUUGCAGAAGCCUGCAAGCAUUGUUAGAGCUCCCAUCAAGUAUACAAUCAAUAGAUGCACAUAAUUGCACAUCAUUAGAAAUCAUCCCAAACCAAUCAAUUUACAAGUCGCUCUACCAUGCCUCAUUUAUGAAUUGUUUCAAACUGAUGGAGUAUCAAAGCAGCCUUGAAACUUUGUUCCUAACAGUGGCAAUGGAUGCUACCCAGACAGAUUUUCAUGUGAGUUUGUUCUCUUCUAUUGUCUAUCAUUUUCAUUUAUCAACUGUUACCUAGUUUUUAGAACUAUUUUCCCCCCUUCUCCUUAGUGGCACCAUAUUGUAAGUAAAGAGUGAUAAUAUGAAGUUCUAUAUCGUAUAAUGCCAAGUAUUCAUUAAAGUAGAGAAUAAAAUUAAGGAACUAGAGUUUCAUCGCUCUCAACAUCAUCAUGAUUUUCAUUGUACAACUUUCCUUAUCCCAGCCAGUUCCAUUCAACACUAUUCUCCCUGGAAGUGGAAUACCAGAUUGGAUUGGACAUCAGAGCACAGGGUGUGAAGUAAAUAUUAAGCUAUCUCCAAAUUGGUUUAAUUCUAACUUCCUGGGUUUUGCUCUUUCCGCUGUCAUUGAUUUCAAUGAUAUGCCUCAUGCCAACCAUGCUGAUUUGUCCUUCCAAAUUUGUACCUCCCUGAUUUCCAAGUCUGGACUGGUAUUUUUUUAUGAUGCUUUCUGUGAUCAUACUCUUGGACAUGCAUUAAUUGAGCCAGACCAUGUGUGGCUGGCCUAUGCACCAGUUUCUAGCUCCAUCAAGUGGCAUGAAGUGAACCACAUUCAGGCUUCAUUUCUUAUGAUCACCCACAUGCUCCCUGUGAUUAAGAGGUGUGGGGUUGGUCUAAUGUAUAGUAGGGAAGAUGUGAAAUAUGACAGUCUAAAAAUUAUCCAACACAUCUCUACUCUCUCUCAAAUUUCAACUCUCCUUCAUGAAAUUGAUGAGGGGGAACCCAGUGCAAGUGGUUUCUCUAAGCAGGAAUCAGAAUCUAGUGAUUACUACACUGAUGAGGGGGAAUCUUAGUGGAAGUGCCCUCUUUGAAGUUAUGGGUGUAGAUUCACUCCUGAAGAUUUGAAGACACUGAGAGAAGAUUCACUUCCGCAGAUACUGAGAGAAUCCACAGAUACCGCCAUUCAACUUAAGGGCAAUUCCAGUCAAAAUGACAUCUAUUCCUUGGCACCUGGUUCAUUUGCUGCAUUGAGGUCCAUUUUGGAUCUUUCUUCUUGGUAUGCCACUCUUGUUUCUUAACAUAAGCCUUCAGUAGGAAUUGAAAUUUAAUUUAGCUAAUGGAUGACGUAUGUAUAUAGGUCAUUAGUCUUAUGUUUGCUUGAGAUUUUAACUGAUGAAUUGAAUCACAAUAUUUUGGAGAAUCUAGAAUGUUUUCUAUAUUGUUGUGAGGUGGGUAGAAUUCAUGUGCUUUUCUAAUCAUCUGUAUAAUAUCUUGGAAUAAAAGUCAAGCAAACUAAAAAGGUGUUUAUUUUUUCAAGAAGACUGUGCAAAAGAAAUUUUCAAGAAGUUUGACAUAAAUAUUUGUAAUUUGAUUAACAAACUAAUAAAAUCUAGAGUUAAAGUAUAAAGACAUGAAAGAGAAACCAUGGAUUUAAUAAAUAAAUAAAUAAAUAAAAGCUUAGUAGGAAGCCAAUGCUAUUUGACUAGUACAAGGUCAGACUCUUUUUUAGCAUAUAAACUUGCUAGUCAUUAUAUGAAAACACUAAUGGUGACUUGCAUGAAAACUGCCAAAUGAAUUAUUCACUACAUCAAAAGUACACUUGAUUAUGGUUUAUAUUAUCCACUCUUUAACAAUUUCAAGUUUGUUGGAUAUGGUGAUGGUGAUUGGGAUAGAGAUUAAACGAUCGAAAGAGAAUAAUUGACUCUAUGUUUUUUUAUGUGUGGGAGAUGUUACGUUCACUUAUACAUCAAAGAAACAGCCUAUUAUGAUCCUUUUAAGCGGAAUUUAUUUUAACAACAGUGCAUAUAUAUCAUGCAAAUUGGCUUAAAAAUUUGUUGAUUGAGCUUAAUUUAUCACCACAAAAACCAAAUUAAUCAAUGAUUAUUGCAUUAUCAGAAAAUCCAAUUUUUUAUGAUCCAUACAAACAUAUAGAUACAAGAUAUCAUUUUUUUUUUAGAUAGUCAUGAAGAAAAAAAAAGUACAAUUAAAAUUUGCAAGUCCCAUGAUCAAAUUGCGAAUAUUUUACAAAAGUUUGAAGAUUUUAGAACAUUAUGGAUGUUAUUUGAAAUUAUAAAUCAAGUUUAAGAGGAUAUAUUGAAAUCUUAAACUUAAUUUAAGAAGUUUUUUUUUUUUUAAAAAAAAUUGAAUUAGAUCUGGUUUUUAAAAUUCAAAGAGUAUUUUAUGUGAACGGUUCAUUGAGGUUUUAUAUUGUUGUUGUUAGGAGUUUCUAUUUUGUUAGGUAUGAAUAUCUAUUCAUAAGAAAUUAUCAACUCUAAUUUAUAUAACAAUCUGUUUUUUAGUAACUUUAUAGAUAGGGGCUCUGGGCAAAUUUCUUUGAAAAGGUUGAGCAAGUAGAGACAGUAUCAAUCCUAGAUGAGCUUCAUGUAGAUUUAAUAUCAUUCCUAUCAUAUUCAAUUUCACACUUAGUGAUUUAAUUUGUGUAAUUAAUUGGAUGAUAGAGAUCAUCAAUAUGUUGAUUUACUUCAAAAUGGAUUCAAGAUGGAUGCAAGUUUUUAUGAAUGGAUUUUUCAUGCUUUUCACUUAUUCUCUGAUCUUGAUUAAUAGGGAAAAAAGAGUUGAAGGCAUGUUCCUUGGCUUUUCUAAUUUAGGAGAGAUACAUUUACUGUUGAAGCCUUUUCAAAGAUGAAAAAAAAAAAAUUAGAUUGCUCAUUUUUCUUUGUAUUAGGAAAGACAAACCCACUCUCACAAUCAAGUUCCACAAACUGAAUCAAGUAUGCAUGCAAUAACACUUUCCUAACAAUUUGUAAAUGCAUUCACAUGCAAAUGCUUCAACACUCCUCAAAAUGAAUUCAAAAGAACAAUUAUCUUUUUAACUAAUUUCAUUUUACUACAAGAUAUCAUUAAUCGAAAUGAACAGAAAAAUUAUUGAAAAUAUUCAAUGGAGAAUCACACUUAUUUCAGCUCAUAUUUCUUCCAUUCACCAUAUAUGCCCAAGUAACUAAUGAUAUAAAAAACUAAAAAUAAAUCAAAGAGUAUAGUGAGAGAAAGAGACAAUUGACACCGAAUUUUAAUGUGGAAAACCUCCGAAAAGAUAAAAAACCACGAGCCUAUAAUCGAUUGAAAACAUCUACUAUGAAGAAUAAAAACUGAAUACAAGGUUUUACCUAACUCAAACCUACUAAUCCUUCUCGGACCACUUGACUAGUACCUUUCACUUUUAGCUUCUUACUUUUUUCUUUUGGAGCACACUUAGAUUCCACACUAAGCUCGAUCUCGGCCUCUUCUUGAUUGAAUCCACACAAGAAGUGAAAGAAUUUUUACCCGAACCCAAAUAGAUUAGAAAUUGAGAUAUGAAUGAAUGAAGAAUCAACCCAUUUUUUUUCAAGAAAAUCCAUUAUAAAUCAGUUUGAAAAACACUAGGAAAAUUGGAUUUUCUUGGCAACCAAAAAACCUAAAUUAAGAAAGGAGAGGAGAAAAAAAAAACAAAGGGAAUGAUUGUUGCUCUAGCUCUCUAUAUUGAACAGGAAGUAAGUUUUGGGUUUUUAAAUGAAGGAAACCUUUGAUCAAACGGAUGAGAUUUCAUCAAAAAAGUAUAAGUUGGAUCAAUCUUGGAACAAGACAUUUUGAACACCUAGUAAAAGAAGGCUUCCUAAACCUUCCUAACUCCUCAAAAAAAAAAAAAAAAACAUUUAAAUACAAUGGUUGAUUCAAAUUCAUCCAACUCCAACCUCAACUACAAACCUUGGUCUCUUGAAAAAUUCAACAAAUUGAUCUCCAUUAGCCAAGUAGUCCAUAAAAGGAUUGGAAAAAUUAAGUUAGGAUGCACUUAGGAAUUUUGUCUGGAAUUGCCAACCUAGCUAAACACACACAUUUCCCAUCCAAGUCUCCUUCUAGUCUUGAAACUUUCCAUGUUGCUGACAUCCUAGUGGUUAUGGAUCUCAACUUGGCAACUUCCUACUCUCCCAAUCAAGUUCUACAACACCGAAUUAUCACCUUGAUUUACUGCUUGAGUAUACCAAAUAAUUUAUUUCAUUCUUUAUCCUUAGGAUCUAUAUAUUUGAUUCUUCUUUUCUCGUUUGUAUUUUUCUACAUAAAUUUUUGUACAUAAUAUCAAUGAUGAACUUACAAAUGUUGUUUCAAGAGUCAAAUAAUCAUAGAAAAUGACCUAGCCCAAAACCAAACAGACAAGAAACAAAAAACCAGAAUAGAAUACUUAUUGGAAUAAGUUGGUUGAGAUGUGACAAGACACUAUCCUUAAAGUAGAGCCGCCCUCCUCGGGUGUCAACCUCGGUGUAGUAGGAAACCAGUGUCCUAUCUCCAAAAUUCAACAGCCAGAGAAACCUCGACUUCAUGUGCACACCAUGGACAAGGAAUGCUACAGCUCAUAACUAUAAGAAGAUAAUUCCUCCAGUUAAAGGAUGAGAGUGGUGCGGUGUAAGAUGGCUGCAGUAUGGUUGUGAGGCUGCACUAGGGCUGUUGUAAGGGAGUCUCUGGUUACAACAGGUGCAGCAGGAAGCAAUGGGGGAACCGGGUUGCAGCAGAAAUAAAUGGAGACUGUGGUUGCUGCAAGAGAGACCACAAUAUGAGAGCAAGAGAGAAUCGAAUAAAAAACUCUUAAGGGAGCACGACCUUAGAGUUUCCUUAGACUAGGGUUGCACAUGAAUAAAGUUUCAAUUUUAAGGAAUUUUGUACUAGCAACUAAAAAAUUCUUUGGUUUUCUCAAGUCAAUAUAGAACUGGUUUUCUUUCAUACUCUUCCAAUGCAUUUUGUAGCGGUUUUCAUCCCAUAACCAGUUAUUUUAGAGCUAGCCUAACAAUCCUUGACUGUUUGAUGUUUUCCCUUAUUUUUUAUAUGUUUUUGUAGAUGUUACUUUUAUUCUUAAAUGAAAAGUAUGACCUUAAGUCUAGCCAUAUCAUAUUGGAAUAAAUAAAGCAAUGGAAAAAGUUCAAAGGUAUAUGGAUUUUCCAUCCUUUGUCCGCAUUUUUCUUGAAGAGUUGAAGGGUGAUAUAGUGCAUCAAGUUAUUUGCAAGGGCUGGCUUGAUCCUCUUUCACAGGGAUCCUAGAUGAGGAAACCCUAGGAGAGGUAUCGAUUCCAUCCAUGUAUGAUCCAUACUAGAUAUAAUGAUCAACUGACUGCCUAUUCUACCUCCUUUACAUUCUUGACAACCUAUCUUUUCCUCACUAGAGUUUUUCAGUGGCAUAUUUUGGUCCUUUUCCCUACUACUUUAGAAAAAAAUGAGCCACUGGUUCAAGUACAAGAUACUAUCAUUCCUCUUAGAGCUAUAUCCUCUCCCACAACGUAAGUGGAGCAUGCAUAGAGAAGUUAGAUUUUUCUAUUCCAUUGUUUUGACCAAUUUCAAAUUUGAGGUUGGUUGAGGGGACUAAAAAUGUCAUAUUUGGCCUAAAUUAGAGUUGAACCUCAAGGUAUGGACGCCUCAUUUUGUAGUCGAAGACUUGGCGUCUCUUUCCCAUUAGAAAGAUGCCCAUUUUGUUCAUUCUCAUAGUUUUAGAUUUCCAUGUUAUUUUUAUGUUUUAACUUACAGAUUAGCUUAGAAUUUCAUUUUCUAUUGAAGUAAGCUUGUUGCAACUAUGUUUGGCUACACUUUAAUUCUCUCCAUCAUAAGUACUCUUUUUCUUGAUAUCUACUCGAUGUGUUUUUGUUGUUGGUUUUCAUAUCUACAAGCUUUUAUAAUUUCGUUAUUCAGCUAGAUCUCUUGUGCUAUGGAGAGGGGUCCUUAAAGGGUAAACUACUAUGGUUAUCUUGUAACAAACAUGUAGUUGUCAAUGCAUGGAAGCUUAAAUUUUUGGUUUGUAGAUUUUGAUAGGUCCCAUGUCACAUUACUGUUUUAAAUUUUGGAAUUAUUAUGAUGCAAUUUAGGUGCUAGGGUUUUAAUUCGUUCAUCCAUGUGUGGUUACUUCAUUUUAUGAAUCAAAGAUUUGAGUUGAAGAUAGAGAGAUUUUUCAAGGCAAAAUUAUUAUGCAAAACAAAAAUAUAAAAUUUGUACAUUAAGCCCACAAUGUUUGUGGAGCUACAACUGUAGGUGUCCAUCCAUCAUAAAACCAUCUCCUAAUUCAAGAAACUAAAUAAGUACUUACACGUAAAUUCAUCCACAAAUGAAGUAAAUGAAGAUAAAAAAAGCUUACAAAUAGAGUUAAAAGAUGAAGGAAAACAUCCUAAGCAAGACUACGUUGAAAGGAAGUAAAACCUAAUCUAAGCUAAAAUAGGAAGAAAAAUAAAAAAGCCUACCCCUUACUUGAGCUACAAAAUGACUUAACAUUUCUUGCACCCGGCCCUCACAAUACUCCUACCCUCCCUAUUCAUAGUUUUUUGGACCUCUAAAUUUUUUGAAAUUUUUAAUUUUUAAUUUAUCUUUUACUUCACUCGCUAAUAAUUUUGUGUAAAAAGGAUCGGUGGACUCUUUUUUUUUUCGUUUUUAAUAUCCUCACAUUUCUUGUUCCUCUUCACGUUCCUUAUACUCUCCUCAAAUUUUUUGUAUCCCUAAAUUUUUUCAAAAUUUUAAUUAAAUUUUUUAUUUUCACUUCAUUAGAUGAUAAUAUUCGAUAAAAAGAACCUGAAAUUGAAACAAAUAAUGUUUUAAAAAAUUACAAGAUUAAACUAUUAAGAAAUUCGUGGUAUACAAAAAAUAUGAUGAGGGUAUGAGAAAUGUAAAGGUAAGAGAUUUUUUUUUUCAUUUAUUCUAUACUCACAUUUCUUGUACCACCCUCCUCACAUUUUUGUAUCUUCUAAAUUUUUUGAAGUUUCUAAGUUUUUUUAAUUUUGAAUUUUUUUUUUCACUUCCCUUGCCGAUAAUAGUGUGUAAAAACACUAAUUACACUUGCAAUUGAAGUAAAUAAUGUUUGAAAAAAAAAAUUAAAAGAUUAAAAUAUUAAAAAAUGGGUUGAGGUACAAAGAAUGUGAGAAGAAUACAAAAAAUGUGAGGAUCUUCAUAUUUUUCGUAUCUUCCUCAUAUUCUUUGUAUAUUAUAAAUUUUUUGAAAAUUUUAUUUUUUAUAUUUUUUUCUCAUUUUAAUUGACAAAAAUACGUGUGAUGAUUUCAGUUGUUUUUGGAAUUUAUGAAAAUAAUCUCCAAAAAAUUCAAAGAUUAAAAUAAUUAAAGGUUAUUAUACAAUUAUGAAUUUUCUUUAUCAUAAAUUUAUCAUUUUUGUAAAAGUUUAUCAUUUCACAAAAAUAUUUCCCCCAAAUUUUCUUUAUUUUACCACUUGAUAAAAAAAUUCUAAAAAAGAUUUUAUAUAAUUGGUUAUUAUUAAAGAUCAUAGCAGUGUAUUAUGGUGCAUGAGAUUAAUUCCCUUGGCAAAGAAUUGAUGGUUUUUUUAAUUGCCUGCCAUGUGUCUUAAUCUUAUUGGCUGGAUAUGGUACGGAAAAGUAAAUUUCUGGACCUUUAUAAUAUGGUUAAAACUAUUAAAUUAAUUAUUAUUUUAAUGUUGAUGUUAGAUGUCAUCAUUUCAUAGUGAUAUGCUUUUCUUCUGGGGCAAUAGCUUUCACACGGAGUUGAUUUUCAGGUCUUUACGUUAUGUCGGCAGCGCUGAAAUUUCCGGCUCCUUUCGCAAUUUUUUGCCGAGGCGACUUCGCGUGGACUCUAGCUUUCACACGGAGUUGAUUUUCAGGUCUUUCCGUUACGGUAGCAGCGCUGAAAUUUCCGCCUCCUUUCGCAAUUUUUUGCCGAGGCGACUUGGCGUGGACUCUUCAUAUUAUUUCACUUCUCCUUGUGUCUUUCCUAUAUGUAUCUUUCUAUUUCUUAAACGACCCUUUGCCGGAGUCGACUCGUCAACUCAAUUGAAGCUUGGUUUGGAUUCUGUAAGUUUUCACUCUGAUGAGGUCUUUAGAUGGGUUUCAUUCAUGGUCAUAUUAUACUAUUUUACCUGUAACUUGUAGAGAAGACUUCAUGAUUGGUUUUGAGAGUUCUGUUUGAGUUCCGAAUAUUUCAUCAACAGCAACUAUUUGACAAGAUGGGAGUUUUGUACAAAAUUUUGGGAAGUUCUUUAUACAAAAUUUCGAUUUUUCUUUUCAGAAAAUUUUUCCUUUUUUUAAUUUUUUAAUUUUAAAGAAUUAUGUUUGGCUGUCCUAUUUUUUAGUUUCAAGAAGAAAAAAAUCAUUGCUCUUAUUGAUAUUUUUGAUCUUGCAAACACCAAAUCAUACGGGGAGCAUAAAGUAGUUUCAAUGGUUUGUGAAAAAGAGUUCGACUAAAAUAAAAUUUUAAAAUUAUGAAUAUAUAAUUACAGACUAAAAUAAAUUAAAAUCCAAAAGUCAGACCUACCUAAGGGCCUCCAAAAAGCCCACGGCCCAUGGCCCAGGCCCAAGCCCGGCCUGAGCCCAUUUCUGGAUGGGCCGGGCUAUGGGCCCCAAUUUAGGCCCGGUCUGGCCCGACGGGCUGGCCUGCCCAUAGGCCCGCCACUUAAAUAUAUAUAUAUAUAUAUAUAUAUAUAAAAUAUUCAAGAAAUAGAAAAGACUACAUUAAUAAAAAUAUUCAUUGCUAACUAUUUUAUUCAUUGAAUAUAUACAUUACAUUUGAAAAUGUGGGAAAAGUUUACAUUACUACAAAAUAAAUACAUCCCAACUAGAUUGGCAUCUACUUAUUUGUCAAUCAUUUGUACUUGUCAACCACAAAAAUAAAAAUAAAAAUAUGACAUACAUUUAGUAAAAUAUUUUAAUCAUUAUCUCUUGACGGUGAUGGCGAACUAUCGCAAAUCCAUGAAGAUCUUGAUGAUUUUAGUUUUUCCAUAUCGACAAGCAUAUUUUCUUCUUGAAAAGAAUCAAAUAUCAUUUUAUCUGCUAUUGCCCAGUCUUUCACACAUAUAUUUGCUUCAAUAGAAUCCGGCGCUAAGCUGCAUCGUUUAUCACUAACUACUCUUCCACCUGCACUAAAAGUAGCUUCUGAUGCAACUGUACUCACAGGAAUUGUUAGUACAUUACGAGCAAUGAUAGAAAGUAUAUGAUAUUUGUGUUGUUGUGAUUUCCACCAUAUUAAAAUAUCAAAAUCUUCAUCAUCUUCAAAUGAAAUUAAAUCAAUAUUGAGAUAUCUAUCUAAAUCAGUUGUGUUGUUUGGAGAACUAUUUGUUGCCUUCUUUCGACUUUUUAACAUUUCUAGAGCUCCUUUAUAAAAGGAUGAAGAGCUUGUAGAUGUAGGUGGUAAUUUAAUAGAACUAAUAUCAGUACCAUAUUUUUCUUUAUAAUAGUUAUAUAAAUUAUAUAAUAAUGAAUUUAUUUCAUUUUUAAUUUCUUCAAUUUUUAUUUGGUCAUUAAAAUAAAUAAUUGUUAACCAUUCAUCCAAAGUUUCAAAUUUCAAUCUAGGGUCCACAAUUAAACCAAGAUAAAAAAUUAAAGGUAUUUCUCCCCAAUAUUUUCUAAAUUUUUCUAUCAUUGCAAAUAUUGCAUCAUUAAAUAUAUCCAAAUUUAAAUAUUUUUGAAGUACAAUAAAAAUAUUAGUUAUUUGCAUGACAACUCGGUUUGAAGAUGGAUAAUAUACAUCACAAAUUUUUUUUGUUGAAGUAUCAAAUACUUCAAAAAGAUCUCUUAAAAGAUCUGCAAUAUGUCAAUCAUAAUCAUUUAAUACAUCAAUAUCUGUUUUACAAUCAUUGCUAAUUAAUUGUAUUUCAUAUAGUUCUACCACUUUUCUAUAUUUUAUAAUAGUUUGUAAAAGUUUAUAAGUGGAAUUCCAUCUAAUGGGCAUAUUCAAAUUUAUAUUUCUUUUUUUCAUAUUUAACAUUUUACAACAAUAAAAAAAUAAUUCAUGUUUUGCUUGAGAACUAUUAAGACCCGCAACAAUGCCUCCAAUUUUUUAUAAUGUAUCAUCAAUGUGUUUUAAUCCAUCUUUUACAAUUAAAUUUAAAAUAUGUGCACAACCACGCACAUGAAAUAUUUUACAUUGAUCUUCUUUUAUUUGUCAAUAUCGUUUUAAUCUGCUGCAUCAUUAUUAGAAGCAUUAUCUAAUGUUAUUGUAAAUAUUUUAUCACGAAUGUUAAAAUCUAUAAUUUCAUCAUUUAUUAAAGAUGCUAUAUUUUUACCAUUAUGUGGAGCAUUUAUUAUUUUAAAUGAAAUAAUUCUUUUAUUUAAUUUCCAUUCAUUAUCAAUAUAAUGAGCAGUUAUACAUAAAAAACCACUGUGAGUUAAAGAUGUCCAAAUAUCAGAUGUUAAACAAAUUCUUCCUUCAAAAUUUGCAAAAAAAAAAUUUUAAUUUUCUUUUUGUGUUUCAAAUUUUUUUAUAAGAAUUCUUUUAACUGUAUUUCUAGAGCAACCUUGAAACUGAGGAUUAACAGCUCGUUGCAUUGUUCCCGUAUAAUCAUGAUUUUCCAUGAAAUUGAAAGGUUGUUAUGCUCUUAUUAUAUAACCAAUCAUUUCUUCACGACAAUAAGAUUCAUCAUAAGAAAAUGUUUUUAAAUUUCCACUUUCAUCUUUACCUAAUUGCAUAUAAUUUCUAAUAUCUACAUUAUUUUUAGUUUUACAAUUUUCAUGAUACCUUUUUAAAUGACUUGUACCUGCAUUUGAGCCACCACUAAGAAGUUUGUUACAAAUUUUACAUUUUUUUUAUUUCUUUUUUAUUAUUUUCUAAAUUUAUUUCUAUUCUAUAAAAAAAUUCCAUAUAUUUGAAGUAAAUUUUUUGCUAUUACAUGCAUUAGAUGAAGAACAAGAACCACUCGCCAUAAUUAUAAUUAUUGAUAAAAUAUUAUGCUAAAAAUAAUAAAUGUAAAAUUAAAAUGUAACAAAUAAAUAAAAGAAAAGGUGAAGUAUGUUACUAAAUUGGAGAACCGAAGCAGAAAUUCCUUCAAAUUUGAACUCUUUGAACCACCAAUGCUUGUUUUUCACCACCAAUAAUAUUGAAUAAUUUGAGACAAAAUGCAAUAAUUGGAAAUAUUGUGGAAUGGGAGAGAGCUUAAGAGUUGAGAGAACAGAAAAAAAUUGAGGGUAUUUAAUAUUUAUAGGGAUUUAAAUAUUAGGAUUUAAUUUUUUUUUUUUUAAAUGUCAAGACCGUUCAACAAUCAUAUAUUUGAUAUUAAAUUAUGAGUGGCAUGUUCAACGGUCAUGUGACCAUUGAACAACCAACUCACUUUUAUUUUUUAAAAAAAAUCAUACAACAUUUCUAAUAUAUAUAUAUAUAACUAAUGCAAAAUAGUUACACAAAAGAGGGUUAGCUCAGUUGGUGGCUAGCUCUCCUUAUGGAUCCAUAAGGGAAGGGGUUCGAAACUCAAAAUAUUUUAAUUUUUACCCAAGCCCGCCCGCCAGCCCGCCCGCCUAGCCCGCCCAGCUUGAGGGCCCACAGGCUGGGCCACGGACCUUAGAUAUACCAAGGGCCUGGCCCGGCCAGCCCGUUGACCAAUCAACGGGCUUAGUGGCCCACCCCGGGCUGGGCCAUGGGCCUUUCUCCUCAAGGCCGGGCGGCCCGGCCCGGCCCGUUGGAGACCCUUAGACCUACCACCCAUGUCAUAUGUUUUCUGAUUUUAUUUAUUUCUUUAUUUGUUUCCUGUGCAAAUUAGUAAACAUAUUUAGAUUUAGAUGUAGUAUUCAAUUUCAUGAUUGCUAUGUGGUAUUGGGAACUAUAUAAACCAACCCUAGCAUUUGUAUUUGCAGACAUCAAUUUAGAGUUGAGAUCUCAAACCUAGGACUUCAUCUGCCUGCUGUCUCUCUCUCCUCUCUGCUUCCAUGGCGGCUCCUUCUUUUGCCUCUUCUCAAUGGAUUUAUGAUGUGUUCCUCAGUUUUAGAGGAGAAGACACCCGCUUAGGCUUUGCUGCUCAUCUCUAUGAGGCCUUGUGCAGGAGAGGAGUCAACACUUUCUUUGAUGACUACGAGAUUAGGAGAGGCGAAUCCAUAUCUCCUACACUUGUAAAAGCAAUUGAAGGAUCAAGGUGUUCUAUCAUAAUUCUCUCUCAAAACUAUGCGAGUUCAACUUGGUGCUUAGAGGAGCUUGUCAAGAUACUAGAAUGCAGCAAUACCAUGAGACAACUGGUUCUGCCCAUUUUCUACAAUGUGGAUCCAUCAGUUGUGCGAAAACAUGAAAGGACCUUUGGAGAGGCCUUGGUUAAGCAUGAAAAGACUUUGAAGCAGGAUAUGAAUAAGGUGAAGAAUUGGAGCAAGGCCCUUAGUGAAGUUGCCAAUUUAGCGGGCUGGAAUUCACACAAGAAGUAAUCUUUCAAAGUUCCUUUUUUUCCCCUUUCCUUUUGGUUCUUACUUCUAUUGUCAUAGUUAUUUUUGAGAUCGCUAAUUUAGGCCUGUCAAGUAACCGUUCUAGAAAAAGUUCUCUUAUAACAUCUUGUAGUUUUCAAGUGUUUUCACUUGUUUUCUAAGACUAUUUUAAAAGCUAAUUAUAUAAACACGAAAAAUGGUUAAAAAUAUAACAUUUCAAAUAUAUACUUUUUUUUUUUUUUUUGUAAAAACAUAGAAAAUAAAUUAAGAACAUUUUAAGUUUUUAAACAAAAUUUUAUUCUAUAAAACAUUAAAAAAUAAUUUUCAAAUAAAUUUUUGUUUCAUAAAAUAUUUAAGAUCAAUUUUCAAAAACUGUUUAUUAAGUCUUAUACUCUAUUUAAAAAGUGUGUUUUAUUUUUAUUUUUAUUUUUAUUAUUGUUAAACAAGUUUUCCUAUAUUUUUGUUUGAAAGAACAUAAAACUAUUUUUGAAAAUAGUUAUAAAACAAAACCUUAUUUUCCGAUUUUGUUUAAACAUGGUAUUUAAAAUCUUCCACAAACAAUGAAACAAGCUCAAAAUAGAAAUUUGACCCAUUAUACCUUGAUCACCUUGUUAAUUUAUACUUAAGUUUCCUAUUUACAUUUCAACUGCAUGGAGAAGAACUACGGAAAAUCCUAUGUUCUUUAUUUUCAUUGACUUUGGAUUGCUGCACGACUUACUACGUGCAUGUGCAUAUUACAUGGCAGGCCUGAGCCUAAGUUUAUCAGGGAAAUAGUCAUUGAAGUUUUGAAAAAGCUCUUCGGAUUAUACCCAGGUGAUGCUAAGUGCCUGGUAGAGGAAGAUUCUCCUAUACAAAAUACGGAAGUGGUACCAAGUCCACACUCAAGCACUCUUCACAUUGCGCCAGGACAUUUUGACUACACUGAAGUUGAUGACAUUAUUUCCCAACAUUAUUCCCAACUUGUUUCGGAGAUGUUGGAUUCAUUUUAUAUCUGAGUCUGAGUGAGAUGAUGACUUAAACUUCAAAGGGUGUCAAAUCUAUGUUAACAAAAGUAUGGAAAAAUUUGUGAUCAGUUCAUUUAUCAGAACAAGAGAGUGCAGUUUAUGUUUUCCCUUCCCAUUCCGUUUAGAAUUUUAUUCUUUGAUCAUGAUUGAAAUAUAUUUAAUGGGUCCAACCCACUAUUUACAUUUGAUAAAAAUAUGCCAUGCCAAUCCUACUAGAUAAUAUUAAAGUUAAAAAGAAAAAAAAAAUUAAACUAAUCUAAAAAGAAAAUUUAGAAAAUAAAUAUUUAACGAAUUCAUAUUUUCUCUAUUUAAUUACAUCUCUAUUUUUCUUUCUUAUUUUAAUAAAUUUUCCAUAAAGGAAACCUUUGAAAAAGAAUUUAUGAUGCUGUCUUUGUAAGUAUGUAACAUUUUCUAAGAUGUAUUUGUCCUAAUAGAGGUUUUUACAAGAUUUGUAUUUUGAUUUUUUUUCCAUAAUUUUAUUUUAUCUUUCAUAUGAUACUAUGCAUAAAAUGAAAUGAUUAAAAAUUUUUACUGAAAAUUUUUAAGUUAAAAUAUUAUUUCUAUAUGAAAAAAGAAAAAAAAAGAAAGAAAAAGAAUAUGAUAAACUUGAUUUUAAACAUAAUCAAGGACAUGAGCUCUUAACAUUUUUAUUUAGUAGAUAAUUUUAUAGUUUUUCCAAAUCCAAAAGGGAUAAUUCAAAUAGCAUACUAAUUUGGUAUAAUGGAUGCUAGUACUCUUAAUUUGAAUUUAUUGAUAUCACGUUGAUAGUAAAUUUUUUAGUUAAAUAAAUUCAUAUAAUAUAAUAAUUUAUGUUUAUCCAUCAAUCAUUUUACAUGCAAUUUGAGUCAACUUUAACUAUCGUGCAUCUGCAUUUCAUGUGUAUCCUAUUCAAUGUUAAGACUCAUUUUUAUUUUUAAAAAGAAAAAUGAAUUAGUCAUAAUUAAUAUUUAUUUUUGUUUAUUUUUAAAAAAGAAAAAAAAAUUCAUAAAUAAAACCCUAAAGUAACUCCUUUUAUAUAUAUAUAUAUAUCUACGAAAAAUCAAGUGUAUAUCAAGGGUGAGAUUACUUAUUGGGAAUGUAGCAAUCGAUAGGACUAUUUUAAACCCCAAAAGGUCUCUACCAACCAUGUGGAGGAAACUAUGACAUAUAACUAAUAGAUCAUAGGUACCAAAAGACGACAAGAGUGGAAAUAUAUUAUAAGGUAUGGUGAUAAAGAAUAAGAAUAAGAUGAUGAAUAUAUGAGCUACAUACACCAAAAAAUCCUAAGAUCAAAGCCAAACAAAUAAAGAUUACUCAAGAGCACAACAUGCCUAGUAAAGGAAUCAAACAAUCAAAGGGGGAAAGGAACAUAUCUCAAUAAUACCCAAAAGAGGGGAAUGAGCUUACAUAACAAAGAAUGAGUUAAUUUACAAACAAAAAAAGAGAUCUAUCAACAAAUAAAAGAUCACCAAACAGUACAAGAUGUCUAUGAUUUAAAUCAAAGGUCAAAAGUUGCUAAGUUAGGAUCAAAUGGAACUUAUUCAUACAAACAUGUAAACAAGGGCAAAUCAGGAUAACAUACAUGAAUUUAAAAAAUAACUUUCUUUCAAAGAGUUAAAAAGGGUUAUGUUAUAGAGGAGAGCUUAUUUAACAUGUAUAAGAUGUAUAUUACACGAAUCAAGAGCCAAAGAAGGCUAAAAGUGCACCAAAUAGGACUAAUUCAACAAGUUAUACAAAGGGUGCAAAAAUAGGACAAAAUGUUAAUGUGAAAGAUGAAUUUAUUUAAUAAGGUUAGAGGUGAGAUAAAAAUUAGGGCAAAUAUUAUAUAACAUGUAUAAGAUGUCUCAAAUACAUAUCAAAAGUUAAAGGAGCCCAACUAAACACCAAAUGGUACAAAUUUCAAGAAAUACUCUAUAACUCAAAAAUAGGACAACAUACAAGCACACAAAAGAUUGAUUUAUUCCAUAAGCAUAGCAAUGGAUUUUUUAAUUAGACCAAAACUCUCAAGUUUAUUUAAGAUGUCUCAAUCAAACAUCAAGCCUCAAAAAUAGGUAAAAAUGAAAUAUUGAGACUGAUUUACAAAAACAUUUUAGUAUGUAAAAACAGAUUAUUCAACAAGUUUGGGAAAGAGUUUUUCAACAAGGAAAAAAAAUCUUUGAUAUAUUCAAGGUGUAUAAAAUAAAUUUCAAGUUUCAAAAAUAAUUUGAACAUGCUAAACAAUCCAAAUAUACCAAAAAGAAAAAAACUAAAAAAUAAGGCAAUAAAUAGUUGACAUUUAGCAAACAUGAUAUGUAGGUCUAAACACUAGCCUGAAUUAUUUUGCAUGGACAAUCCAACAUUCCAACCCUCUAAGAAGCAUGACAAAAAGCUCAUAAGGGCUAAGAAUAAUCUCAUUCAUCUUACACUUCAAUGAUAAUCUAUAUUUCUAGAAAAUAAGAAAAAUUGAAAAUCAAAUAUUUAAGAAAAUGAGUGAUGUUGGCUUAGGGUAUGAGCCAUAGUUCAAUUACAAGACUCUUGUACCUUAUCGCAACUCUCAAUUGAACAUGGAAUUAAAAUCACAAAAGGCAUGAAAUGCCUAAUUACACUCAUAUUUAGGGAAAAGGGGACUCAAAUGCAUAUAAAAGUAUCCAUAAGGGAGUAUACUUUCAUGUAAAUUCAAGCUAUGUAUGCCAAGACAUAUGACAAUUGUUAAUAAUUAUAAAUUAGUAAUGAAUUCAAGCUCAUAAUAAUCAUAGGAUGAUAUUCACAAGGAUUAAAAAAUGUCUCAUAAAAAUCAGUUUUGAACCUUUUUGAAAAAAGACAAAAGACUAAAAGCUAGUCAUGUUUUAAAGCAAAAUGGCAAGGUUAAAUCUCAUGGCUAUGGACAUAACCUUUUAGUCAUGAAAUAAGCUUGAAUUUCAGAUAGAAAUAAGUUGAACACAAGAUAAAGUUGGCAAUCAAUUUUGAAAAAGAAUCAAAAAAAAAAAAAAAAAAACAAAUGAACACAUGUGGCUCUUGAUACUCCUUUCCAAAAUUAGUUAAAAACACUUCCAAAAAAUUAUUGAAACAAGGGAAAAUUGAAAUCCCUAAAUGAUGAAUAAAAGAAAACCCAUGGGUCACAAGUCAAAAUAAUAGGCUCCUAAAAAAGGAAAUCAGUUCAAGAAAUGAACUAAUCAAAGUUAAGAAGGGCAUGAGGAACAUUCAAAAAUCAAUGUAAGCAAAUAAACAAACAUCUAAUAAGCACCCAAUAUGAAAAGAAUGAAGAAAAUCUUAUUAGACCCAAAGAUGAAGAGAAAUAGGUAAAAAGUCAAUGACAUUAUCUUUCAAUAUCCACAACUCAUAUAAGCAUCAUCUAAAGAAUCGACAAAUAAAUAAAAGCAAACUAAAGAAAAAAGAAAAAAAAAAGUUGGAAUUAAGGACUUAUAAAGAAACUCCUCCCAAGUAUGAUACUUGGCUUUUAGCAUGCACAAAUCUUUUUCCUCAAGCCAGGUUCACCUCCAAAUCUUCCAAUCUUCUCUUUUGCUUUUUUCACUCUCAAAAUGAGUAGAGUUUUCCCUUAAAAAGUAGAAAGUGAUCUUAAAAAUGAGCCCUAAGGCUCAUAUUUAUAAGUCAUGAGAGGGUAGAGAAUAGGACACAUGUCAUCAUCUCCACCCAAGCUCAAACUUCUCUUUAAAACUCUCUCAAAUUAAAACCUAACAAAGGAGACCCAAAGCCCUAGGUUUAGGCUCACAAAAACUCCCCCAAAACCAACCCAAGAAACCUCUAAAUAAAGAAAAAAAAACUAGGUGAGAAAAGGGACACUAAAAAGUACCUAGACAAACUUCAUCACUUCUUUUGCCUUGAAAUCAAUGUUUCCUUGGUAUGUAGACUUUACCCUCUAUUAAACCAAAUACAUUCAUGAACUUUUGGUCAAAGAAAAAAAUACAUGUUUGACUCCUCCAAAAUUAAUGUCUCAAUAACUUAAAAACCCAACCUUAUUCCAAACAACCAAGAGCCAAGAAACGUCACUAAAUAUUGCCAAUUAUGUGGCUCACCCAAAUACCCGACCUUCACAUGACCUAUUGUCAUUCAUAUUGUAACUCUCAUGUGCCAACACUUUCAAAUAAAGGGCAUUCAUUAUGUCAAAUGUAUUUUAUGUUAUAUAAAAGGAACAUUAAUGCAUGCUUCUUGUCACUUAUCUUAAAACUUUGUUUUACCUUGAACACUUUUUUUUGUGAUGUAGAUUGGGCUAAAUAUUGUUCAAUCACUAGAAAAAGCACAAUAGGAGUUUGCAUUUUUCUUAGGUCACAUUGCUUGUCUCGGGCUUUUGUGAAGUAACCUACAAUUUCAUGAUCUAGCAUUAAAGUUGAAUAUUAGUCUUUGGCUAAUACUACCACUAAAAUCAUGUGGCUUCAAUGUCUCAUAAUCUCAGCAUCAAAUUGGACCAUUGUACCCUCAUUCUUUGUGGCAAAAAAAGUGUCAUUCACUUAGCUCACAAUCUAGUUUUUCAUGCAUGCACAAAGCAUAUCAAGAUUGAAAAAUCACUACAUUAAGGAAAAAAGUCACAACCAACUCUUCACAUAUGGUAUCUCCCUACCAAAAAUCCAAUUGCUCAUAUAUUAACAAAUGAUUUACCUAAAGAAUCUUUUCAAAUUUGGCUUUUUUAAAUUGAUUUUACAAGCUUAGCCUUAUUAUCACUACUUGCCGACCUUAAAGGUGGUGAAAAGAUUCCUCAUAAUGUAUUCACAAAUCAAGCCAAACAAUUUGGAAAGAAUCAACAAUAUCUCAAGAACUCGAAAUUUCAUAAAGAAUUCAAACACUUCAUAGUUGAACUCUAUCAUUUUUCCUACUAAUUAGAAUUAAUUUUUAUCCUCCAUAAACCAAUUUAAUUGUUUCCUAAAAUAGUCCUUUGUUACAUUGAGCUCUCUUGUUACAUAAAUUUUUGUAUUUCUCUUAAAAAAAACAUAAUAUAUAGCUCCAUUAUUAUUUUUUAAAUAGCUCUAUUUCUUUUCUAUUAUUGAAAACUUUAUUCUAUUCAAAGGAAGUAACCAUUUUAUUUGGAAAAAAAAUGCAAUUUUAACGUAGUAAAUCAAAUAUUUUUAGAAAAUUGUUCAUGUGAGAGGUUUAUUUAUUUAAAUGUUUUAUCAUGAAAUUAAAGUAUUUGUACAUUAAACUGUACAAAGUAGGAUAACUGCUCAGUUCAGGUCACUCAUCCACUAAUUCCUUGUCUAUCUCCAAGCGACUCAUCAAGGUCCACAGUGAACCUAAUACAAAGCUUUUCUGGUAAUGCUUCUGCGAUUGGUUUUUCACCGCCAACCAUGUAAAGUUUGGAUUCUCUUACGAAAAAGCACAUUCCAAAGGAAACCCCUCCCCCACCAAAUUGAAGUUUUCGAAUACAGGUAGUGGCGGUAUCUCAAAUGUGGAAGACUCGUAGUGAUUGAUUUUCAAUUUGGUCACGUCGAUGGCCAGAAGACGUUGGGGAGUGGCUGCCAACAAGACGCCUGCACCUUCCAUCUUCUUCUUUCUACUCUGCACAAAAAUUUCAAUUUCUAGGUUUGAUUUGAGGGCUCGGAAGAAUUAAGAAAGAGCAUGGGGGUUUAUAUUGGGAUCUCUGGCCUCGAGCCUCUGCCUCGGGGCCUUUUAACACUAGUGGGCUUUCCAAUAUCUGAAAUGCCUCGUAAAAAUUUAGGAGUUUGUAUAUCCAUGUGUUUUAAAAAUAAAAAUAAAAUAUCAUUUUUAGAGCUGCAAGGCUUCCAAAAUUGAGUGCAUUAAUGGUAACAGAGAUCAAAUUUGUUGAACACUAUAUUAAGUGUGAAUAAUAUCUCCAUAGUAAAAUGAAGUGAGCAAUAACUCCUACAAUAGUUCAAAUAGAAAAUUAAAAUAUUUCCACGCUUAAAUGGAAUAUAUAAAAUAUAACAUGCAAAGCAAAACAACUAAUCUGUACUAAUAAAAAUACCAGUUGUUUUUCACUUUUUUAUUUUUAGAAAUACCCUUAUCAAUACUAAUAAUCAUUUUAAAGGAUGUAAUGAAAGUCAUUCCUAAAAUUAUCAUUACAAACUUAAAAGGUAGUUUAAAAUUUAACAUUUUCAAUACUAAUAAUCAACUUAAAUAUAAAUUUAAUCUUUUCAUUUAGUUAGUGUUUUAAUUAUUUAGGCGUAAUUGAAAUUAUUCCUUAAAUUAUCAUUAUAAACUUAAAAGGUACUUCAAAAUUUAAUAUUUUCUAUACUCAUAAUAAACUUAAUUGGGAAUUUAAUCUUUUUUAUUUAUAUGACUUCUAAAUUAUGAUAACAAACUAAAAAGUAAUGAAAAUUUUAAUAUUUUCUUUUGCCUUCAAUUUCUAUUAUAUCAGUUAUUAGAAUAGGGAUUUAAUUUAAGGUUUUAAUUACUUGACUUAAUGAAAAUUUUUAUGUUAAUAACUUCAUUUUGAUUUUAUAUUCAAAUUCAAUCCUGAAAGUGUUCUCAAGAAACUGUAAAAGACAAUAUUAAUGUUUGUGAGAAACCUUUCAAACUAGGCAGUUAUCUUCAACACAAUUGUCGGACAUCCUAUAUGACAUAGUCACUCCAUCUUUCAUUCUAUUUGACAAAAUGCCCCAUCAUCCACCAAUAUAAUGUUUAUUAGUCUCAACCAUUAAUUUUGGUUUAUUUAUAAUAUGUAUGAAGAGAAGACUGAUUAUGGUAGGAGAUCAUCACAAAGUGUUCUUCCAAUUUUAGAAUUGAGAUGAAAAUCAAUUAGGAUUUGUUUGGAAUCUCCUACAAAUCAAGUUUUUUUUUUCUUCUUAAUAACAAAUUUGAAAUAUUUUAAAUCAUAUUUGAGUGUGUUUUGAGAAAAUAAAUAAAGUGUAUGUAAUUUUUAUAUUUAUUAUUAAUUUUUUCUUUCUUAUCUUAUCAUAUCUUUCGUUUCUUCAAUGAAAUAAACUUUUUUAUUUUUAAAAAAAUUACAUGAAACUUUUUACCUUUUAUCACUCUAAUAGCGAUUUUCAUUCAUUUUAAGAUAUUUAAAAAUUGUAAACUUUUAUAUUUAAUUAAAUAAUAAUGAAUUAAUAAUAUCUCUUAUUAUAUUAUAGAUAAUUAUUGAAUAAAAAGUUUUAUAACUCAUUUACAUUAUUUAUUUAAGCAAAUUUAAAUUUUAUUAAGAAAAUUAUAACAUUAUUUAAAAAAUAUUAAUAUUUUAAUAUAAAAUUUACCAAAUGAUAAAAAAAAAAUUCUAUUGAGAUUUUAAUUUUUUUUAAUAUUUUUAAAACAAAACUUAUAUUUCCUUUAUAUUUUUUCUAGUAACAUAAAAAAUUGUAUUGAUAAAGUUUGAAAUAUUGAUAAAUACAAAUAUAUCAAUACUUGAAUUUUUUAGAUAUAUCGAAAAUAUCAAUAAAAUAUCGGCUAUAUUUUGACAAAAAUUUGGUAACAUGAAAAUUAUUAAAAAAUUAUGAAAAUACUUUAAAAAAAAUUAAAAAAAAGAUAGAAUAAGAAAGAAUAAUUAUUUUGUAACGGUAAUUAACAUUGGUGUGAUCAAAUAUAAUGUUUAUCAAUCUUUUUAAGAAAAUAUUAACUUAAAUUCCUUUAAUAUAUUUAUAUUUAUUUAUUUUAAAAAUUAAAAAUUAAUUUUAUUACAUUUUAAAUAAAAAUUUUAAUCAAUUUAUAUAAAAUAUUUUAUUUGAGAUUUGAUUUCUAAAAUUUUGUUGCAAAUUUGUGGUGAUAAUUUUUUGCUAUUAAUAUUAAUUUAUUUAAAUAAUUAAAAGUAUAAAAAAUUAUACUAAUAAUUUAUUUUAUGAAAUUAAUUUUAAUUUAUAAAAUAUUAGAACUCAUUAUUUUUUUAAUCAAUUUUUGAGUAAAUUUAUAUAAUUAAUAUUUUAAAAUAAAAACAUUUAAAAUUAAAUAAAAUUAGAAGGAUAAAUAUAAAAAAAUUAAAACUGAAGUGAUAGUAAUUUUAAAAAAUAGGAUUAAUGAGAUAAAUAGGAAAAAUAAUUAAACAUAAAAUGAUAAUAUAAAAUAAAAGGUAGUAUAAAUUUAAAAUAAAAGAUAAAUUGGAAAAAAUAAUUGAAAAAAAAACACAGAUGAUUUUUUUUUUUUUUAAAUUGGGUUUUCCGAAUAACUUGCCAAAAAUUCAUGAAAUUUUUUGAAAAAAUUGCUGAAAAAUUGGCGCUGAAAAAUUAGCAAUUUUUUUGGAAAAGUGCGUGGGAGACAUUUCAUAGCGAUUUUUUUUGGCGAAAUUUUGGGAUUUUCCUGAAAUAUUGACUAUAUUUUGGCCCAUUUUUUGGACUCUUUGUGGAAUAAAAGAUGACAAAAUCAUAAUUUUGGGAACAAAGGACCAGGUGGAUCAGUUGCACUAUUAAUUGAUCGGUUCAAUAGGGGGCCAGGUGGAUCAGUUACACAAUUGAUCGGUUCAAUAGGGAACGUGUUGGUUAGUAAGUAACAGUAGCACUAUCAAUUGAGGGGAACUUUAACUGGUUUAGGCACUAGUAGAUUGGUUGCUCAAGUGGUUGAUGUUCUACCUCCGACAGUGACCUUUAAUUCUCUAACAUGUAGUUGAGUAGUCAAUUAUGUAGUUGAGAGUUCUUGAACUUCAUUUAAAAUGUUUACCACUGUCGAAAAUCAUUCAUCUCUUUUGAGAAAAGGGCUUUUACUUUGUUCUUUGAGAGCAUUUCCUUCAAAGGGUUUAAUUUAUAUACAUGAUCAUCAGUGCCUGUGAGCUAGGAGCAUUCAUUAGACCAAUGCAUAUAUACAACCACAACUUCUACCAUCAUAUACAUACAAUAAUAAACUAGAAACAUAUGGAUUCAAUCAAAAGCAGGAAAUGGUUUCCAGCAUUAAGAGAGCAAGCUUUGCAAGUAACUCUCCACAUUCUCCAGUCCACAGAGCUCCUUCACAACAGGCAUUGUUGCCGGGACCUCCAACUGGAAUGUUGAAUCACACUUGGUUAGCCCAGUCCAGGAAAGAAGCUGUUGCCGGGCUUCUCUAAUAGCAGCCCUUGUAGCACAAUGAACUGAAACAGCUAGAAGUAACGGUGGUUCACCAGAAGCUGCACAAAACAUAUUUACCUUGCUGAUUAUGAUUCAUUGAUCUACAUAAAGUAGUGUGUUGGAAUUAUUACAAAGGAGGUUUACUAGUGAAUUUGAUUCAAAAUGAAUUGCAUAGUCGAUUCUACUAGUAGCAAAUAAAGCAAGUUUUUGCAGAUAGUUAGCCGGUACUAAGCUGUUACUACUACUGGUAUGUCUCAUGCUAUUGUAACGAGUUACUAACUAUUCACCUUUUUGGUUUAAAACCAUAUCAACAACACUUCUUAUCUAGAUGGCUGCCGACCUUCCGCAGGGUAUAAACCCCUAAAUUUACCUAACCUUGACAUGGUAUCUUAUGUUGAAACAGCUUGGAAUAAUUGCUGUGGGUAUCCAAUACCGGUCUUAAUCCCCUUAAUUGUAGAGCUUGCCCUCAUAAUAUCGGGUAAAUUGAAGUGGACUGAAGAUCUUUGUUUAAUGGCUAGAGUUAGAUAGAGGUUCACCAAUAUGGGCAUUAACAUGAAAGAAACACUAACCAUAAUGAAAAGGAAAGGUGUCUAGCCUUGCCUAUGAAUAUCAUUCCAUUGAUCUCAACAAGAGUUACUUCUAAUGAAUACUGCAAAUUACUCCAUUUCUAUAGAUAACCCAAGAAAAAGAAAAAGCAAACUCUUCUAGAUUCUCAAAGAUUCAAAGACAAUUUAUCAUUUACCAACAGGUGUGCUUGAUCUGAAUUAUUCUCUCCAACACCCUCUUACCUCUAACUCCUCACCCACACCUUUGCUCUACUCUUUCUCGUUUUCCAACAAGAGAGCUUCUCAUAUAAGCUGUUCCUUGAAUAUUUCCUUAUUCUACAGGAAACCUACUUGCAUAAAGAAAUAUGGUAACGAGAAUUUUGUUUUACAAGAUUAUCUUUUAGAAGAAAUUAUAAUAAAAUUAGAAUUGGAAUCAAAUUUAGAAAUUGACAUUUUCCUAUAGAACUCCUCAGGCAAUCAUACCAGUGCAUUCCUCAGAUUCUUCCAUUUUCUUUUUCCUAUCAUAUUGUAAUCAACCAAAUUCAUUUUUGAAAUUGAAUUAAAUUACUUAUACUUUAUGCUAUUUGGAUGAUAAAUUUAUUUACUAUAAAUUAUGUUAUUAAGAAGAUUUUUACUCUUUCUGAAAAUUCUUAAAAAUAAUGAAUUAAUCUUAAUAAUAAAACAUCUAUUUCGGUCACAAAUUCAUAAAUUCAUAAAAACAUCUCAUAGAAAAAAGUGCUAAUUAUGUGUUGUUGCAAGCAAGUCUAUUGCUUUAUGUAUUCGAUAAAAAUUUUGUAACAUUUUUUUAGCAACCAUGUAAAAUUAGAAAAGCAAUUAUCCAGUUUCUUCUCCACAACUAGGAUGCAUUUUCAAUGAAGAGUUGAAGAGAAAUACCUUUAGAAGAAAGAACACGAUUUUUAUGAUGUCCGCUGUUCAGUACCUCCACAUUGAACUGCUUGGGUACGGUGUCGAUUGUUGGGAUCUUGUAUGUCCAUGUGCCUUCGGUGACCACCAGUCCAUCUGAAUUAGUUGUGUACUCUUCCAGCAUAAAAAACCCAAUUCCUUGAACAAAAGCUCCUUCUAUCUGUAAAGCAACUCAGAAAGAAUAUUAGAGGCAUAUGGAUCAAAUAAGCACAAGUUUUAAGGAUAAGGAAACAUUGAACAGUUAUAAACAUCCUACAGUAUUAUCAAUGAAAAAGUUCCAUUGCAUUAAUCUGUGGAUGUGGAGAAUAAAAUCAGAGAAGAGGUUGAAUGCCAAAGCUUAGGGAUAGAAAAGCAGAGAAGGAGAUGAAAUAGUUUAAUAUUGUAGUUGGGCUAACCUGUCCUAAAUCCACAGCAGGGUUGAGACUCUGACCACAGUCAUAUAUAAUAUCAGAUUGCAAAAUUGUGGUUUGUCCAGUGAGAAGAUUUACCUCCACCUGUGACACCCAAAGUUUCAUUAUUAUAGUAAAAAUUGAAGCAUGGUUAAGCAUGAAAGCCUACUCUCCUCCAUGUUUACCUGAAGAAUACUAACUUAAUUUCAAUAAAAACUCUAUGGAGAGGAAUUAAUGGGAUCUUGAAAAACUUGCCUCACUCACUGCUGCACCAUAGUUUAGGUAUUGAAAGGAAGAAAAGUCAGGGACAUAGUAAGAACUUGCUGAUAAGUUCACAGCUUGACUUUGUGCCUGCAUUUUGAUGAAGCAAAUUGCUAAAUGGUAAGAGAUAUUCAACAUCUAACUUUGAGCAAGUCUGAAGAAAGAAAAAUGAAAAAAAAAAAAAAAAAAUCUUUGGAAAAGAUGGCAAAUGUCUUUAUAUUUAAUUUGGAUUUCAACAUAUGAAGUUCUGUUACAUAUCGCUUUCCCAUAAAUCUAGUUUAAGAACUCUUUUAGUGAGAAAAAUAUCAAAAAGAAUACUUUGCCAUAAGGUCCAUGCCUUAAGUGCCACUCAGAAUUUAUAUAAUCAUGGAUUCAACUCAACCCCAGUUUAGUAUGAUCAAUGUUGUCAUAUUCUUCAGUACUUUUAACUAUUGGAGUCAUAGUUUUGAGUAGAGAAAUUGUUUUUGAAUUAAUGUUUUUUUUUUCUUUGGAGAUAUUAAUACUGAUGGUUUGAUUUUGAUUGUUUCUGAAUCCUUACAUAAUGCUCUUUCAAUACCCAAAAAAUGUUGUGACCAACAUGAAUACAAGAAGAAUUAAUUCUAAAAAAAUAAAUAUCAUAUGAAUUGGUGAUUUACAUCCAAAAAAGGACUUCUAUACCAUGUAAGACUCUCCCAAUAGUAUCAUAGGAGGCCUUUUAUGGAAUUAGACCAUUAUUAUUUUGGUGACUCAUCCUUAAGCUUCUAAUUUGUAGAGAAAACAAAAGAGGGUUAGAUCACUUCGAUUUUCUAUUCCUGUACAUGAACCCAUAAGUUUUGAAAGAGCAAUUCAAAACAAAUUAAUGAUACAAAGAUGUUAUGGAUGGGGAAAUAAAAGUAAUAAGGAAGAAUGACAUAUGAGAACUAGAAUCUCUUCCAAAAGGAAAAGAGGUAAUUAGAGUAAGACGAACAUACAAGACAAAGAAGGAUGUGAAAGGAGAAAUAGAGAUAUACAAAUCAAGGUUGACGACUAAGGGUUACAUGCAACAAUAAGGUAACCAUUAUGUGAAUACAAAAUCAACAAUUGCAUCAUAAAAAAAAUCAUGUUUUUCAUGAUUGAAGCAAGUACAUUGAUAUAAGAAAUCAUUUUAUUACAAAGUGCAUUAUGAAGAAGAAAAUGCAAUUAAAAUUUGCAAAAUCUCAAGAUCAAAUUGCAGAUAUUUUUAUCAAGCUCCUAAGUUUGAAUAUUUAAGAUGGUUAAGGAUGUUACUUGGAGUUGCAAAUCAAGUUUAUAAGAGGGUAUGUUAGAAAGUUCAACUUUAUUUAGAAAAAUUCUAAAAAUUAGAAUUAGAUUUAGUCAUUAAAAGUAAAAGAAAAAAAAAAUUAUUUUGAGUGGUUGCUUUAUUUUCUAUAUUUGAGUAGUUAAGUCCCAAAAGGUUUUUAUAUUUUAUGAUUGAAAGUUUUCGAUUUUAUUAUCUAUAAAUAAGAGACGUGAUAUUUUAAUAAGAGUGAUAGGAGGUAAUAAAUUUUUAAUUCUGCCCAAUUGUAUGUUCCUUUAUUUAAUUAUUUAUACUUCUCUUUCAACCCUAUAAUUCCAACAAAGACAGCACCAAAAAAAAAAAAAAAAGUAAAAUAUACCAAAUGUGCACAUAAUUACCUGAAGAAUCAAUGUGCCCCAUUCAACAGAACCCAUUUGCUCCUGCAAUCUCUCCUUGAUAGGAUUCAGUCUUUCAACCAACAUAUUGCAGCAGAGUCUAAUAGCUUCACAGCUGCACUCUGAUGUAGUGCUUCCAGCAGUCAACCCCCCCUGUAUUAAACUUAAGGUAUCUGAUUGUAUGACCCUUACUUUCUCCAAGAAGUCUCCCAUUCCAUCACAUCCAAUUGAAAUGAGAGCAAAUGCAGUCAUCUGUUUCACCUUUGUCCACAGCCCCUGCCCCAACUCAAUCCCUCCAACUUCGACAGCAACAGAUCCAUCGCUAAGAAUGCUUACUUUCCCUGGAGUUGCUUUUAAUGAAACUUCAUGCACAAUUGGUACUCGAGAAAUACCCCUUUUCUGCCAUUUAUUGCACAUAUUAAACUGCUUUAUCAUAUCGGUCCUUUCUUUAAAGCUUGAAGACGUAGCCAACUUAUCCCAGAUUAAAGGUAAAGUGUACUCCACAUGUUCACCAGCACAGCCCUCAAAGAAAAAAUUGAGGCUGUUGAAAGUGUGGAGGUUUCUGCUUCUCACAGAGUCCACAUCCAUGGAAAGAGUAGAUGCAACAUGUUCAAUUACAGCUUCGGAUAUAAAUGUAGCUUGUACCUCUCCAGGAGCACGCAUUGCUGAUUUAGACAAAUGGUUUGUUUUGCAUACCUUUAUAUCAAAAGAAAAAGCACCCCAAUCAUAUUUUUUAAGGGCACCAACCAUGAGCAUGGGCAUAAUUGGGCUUAUAUCUACACCUAUUCCUGCGUUGAUUAAUAUAUCAACGUGUAAGGCAGUAAUCUUCCCAUUCGAUUUGAACCCUACACUGUAGGUUACUUUCAUUGGAUGUCUUCCUCCUGCUAUUUUCAUGUCAGUUUUGCGAUUCAUAUAUAUCCGGACAGGGCGUUGUAAUUUGUAUGCUGCAAGUGCACAUGCUGUAGCUACCUGAGGCAUUAUAGAUUGAGUGCUUUCACUUAGAAGCCAUUGUUAAGGGAAAGGAACAGUACAAAAGAUAGGCCAUCAGAGGAAACAGAAUCAGAUAAAGAAGAACUAUGUGUGCAUUUGUGUGUGUGUGUUUUCCUCGUAUUUUCCUUUAAAUGGCGGUCCUCUUAUGGCCAUAUGGACACAAACACACAAAGUAACCAUCAAUUAUAUACUCACAGCAAUUGCUUUCAUGGACUUUCCACCAAAACCACCUCCAACCCUUCUUGUGAUCACACGUACAUUGUGUUCAGGAAUACCAAGACAUCUCGAAAUUGUAGUAUGUGCAUUUUCAGGGCACUGUAUUGAACUGUAAACCACAAUGCAGUUGUCUUCAUCCGGAAUUGCAAGGGCAGUUUGUGUCUCCAUAUAGAAAUAAUACUGUGACCCAAGUCUGAUCUGGAUGUGACAAUUCAGAAAGCAUUUAUCAUAAAACCAAAACAGGAAAGAAAAACAUUAAUAGGAAUAGAAAAAAAAUUGUAUAACAAGUAAAUGAGAAGUACCUCAGCAGAAAGAAUCUUGUGAUCAGCUUUAGCCAUUCCUCUAGAGAAAUCACCAACCUGUUUUGGGCUAAUGAAGGAAGGAACCUCAAAAAAGCUGGAUCUCCUAACAGCCUCUUCUACCGAUAAAAUGGGUGGUUCCAGAUUUUCCAUGUCAUAAUCAACCACUGCAAGGUUUGCGGCCAUAUUUGCAUGUUUCUGUGUGUCUGCAACCUAUAAACAUAUAUGACCAGUGACUGAAUUGGGCAUCUCAGUUCAUAAACUAACCAAAUGUGUUUGUAUGCUAUGCCCAUUAAAAGAAAAUUUAUAAUAAACCCAACAGAAAGCAAAAUAUACAUAUAUAUAUAUAUUGGUGGACAAGAAAGCCAGAAUCAUGGAAUUACCACAAAAGCAAUAUACUCUCCAGCACAUCGGGUAAAAUCAUCUGCAAAUAAAGGUUCAGUACCAAAUAUAGUCUUACAGCCUAUGUUCUCCCCUGGUAUAUCUUUAAAUGAAAUAAGCGCACUGACUCCAUCUGCCACUGAUUUGGGGUUAAGUUUGAUACCCUUUACUCGAGCCAAAGGCUUUGUACUAUAAAUGAAAGCCCCAUGUAGGCAAUUUGUUGGAGAAGGAAUGUCAUCCACAUAAACGGCCUCACCUACGAAAUCGUUUAACUCAUGUGAGUUGUCUAGAAAAAGAAAGAGGGAGAGAAAGAAAGAAAGAAAGAAAGAAGGAAAAGAAAAGAAAAGAAAAAAUAAAAAAGAAGGAAAAAUCAAGGCUCCUUCCGAAGCUUGAAAAGUUUCGGGAGAAAGUAGGAAGAAAAGAAAAUAUAAAGAAAGAAAAAAUGAAGAGAAAAAAAAAAGGAUGGGUUUAAAUUGGAUAAUUUUUUUCCUUCUCUUUUAUAUAAAGAAUGAAGAAUUUGAAAAUGUAUAAAUUUUAAUUAGACUUGAUAUUUAUUCAUACUUUGCACAAUAAACCAAACAAGAAAAAUUAGAUACCUUCCUAUUUCUUUCCUUUUCCUAGAACUUUCCAUACUCCAAAUGGUGCUAAAGAUAUAUGUGACCAUUGAUAGUCAUUAUCAUGGAUUAUAUAGUAACAUAUGGCCUUAUUGAGCUACAAAUGCCCUGCCAUAAUGGUAAUUGGUGAAUAAAAUAGAGUAAGUGAGAUAAAUUGAAUCCAACAUGGUUGUAACAUGACAAAAACAACAAACAAAAAGUCAAAGAAAAAUCAUUCAAUAUGCAGGGAAGAAAGUAUCGAUUUUUUGAAUAUGAAGUUUUUGAUGGCAAUAAAUUCCCUCAAAAAAGAAACGUCACACAGCAUAAUAUAACCAAUAUAUAAACUUGAUCAUAGAAAUGAACAGAAAAUUAAAUUUAAGAACAUAGCCAAAUAUUUACUAUUUGAAAAUUAAAUUGCUCUAAAGUUCUAGGCCAUCAAUAAAAUCAAUUAUCUUUAACUAGUGUCAUGUCUCCUAUUAUUAGCCCCUUGACUCAGGUGACACAAUGCCGAGGGUUUCAUGGGUAGGCACCUUGCACUAGUGAGGGCCUUAGGACAAUGAGGCAAAUUGAAGCCAAGGUUGAAUGCAUCAUAUGCAUGGGCUUGAUGGUACAACACAUGAGCUGACACAGCAGGUGUCGCAAGGUAGGUACUGCAUGCAACACAACAAGUAUCGCACCUGACAUAGCAGGUGCCACACGCAACAUAGCAGGUGCCACACGCUACACAGGCCACUGCCACAUGCGAUGCAAUAGGGUGUCACACGCGAUGCAGCAGUUGUAGCCCAUGGCUUAGCACACCAUGCAGUUGGGGGAACAACCUGACUCGGGUAAAAUUCAAAUUCCUUUGAAAGAGGGACUUUCAAAAGGGAGUCUCAAAGUGGAAUUGUGAUUUUUUGGAUUUUCAUGAAUUGAUGAAAAAUCAUUAUGCCUCCUCAAGACCCUUGAUGUCUUGUAUAGGCACUUUGGGAAUGGCCUAAAGGGUGGGUGCAUGAUUUAAGGAAGCCAACGUGGCUUAAGCUUGGCCAUACAAAGGGGACAUGAUGCAAAGCCUAGAGCCUAGGAUAUGGACAAAAUUUAGGUCAGCCUUGCAAGAACCCACAUAUGGGUUCAACACCAUGUGGUGAUGUGCAACCUGUGGCCACAAUGGCAUAGGGGUGCAAUGCUACCACCCUUCUUGACGGCUGCACAAGAAUGUAAUGCCUUGUGCAAUGCUUGGCACAAGGGUACAGUGCCUAGUGAGUGGAGAUGACUUGUCAUGGCUCAUUGUUGCAUUGAAGUGGGAAUUGGGCAUAGCAGGGUGCUUUUGCAACAACAAAAGGCCGACUCGGACAUGAUGGUGCAUGGUUGACGUGAGGUAAGAGUAAGGGACAUGACAUGGGUGUGGCAUGCUGACUCUAGUGGCUUGUAAGAUGCGGCAGGGCCUUGCAAGGGCCAGUCCCAUGGGCGCCUAAGACAUGGGCAACAACCCCAAUGUUUUAGGGGCAUAAGGAGACAACCUGAUGCAUGGACAUCACAUGGUGGGCUAACGCACACAGAUGCAAUCAGAUGGACUGAACAUGCAUUGACGGGCUAGCAUGCAUUGGUGGGCAGACUUGAGCACAUGGACCACAUUGAUGUGGGCUGACACGCAACUUGUUGGGCUGGACAUGGCUUAAGGGCUGAUUCCAUCAUAGGGUGGGUUUGAUUGGUUUCAUGGGUGGUUACUUGGCACCUUUUAGGAAGAGAAGGCAUCAGAAGCCUUGUUGCAAAUUUGUGUAUGUGACACCUACCAUAUCCAUGAAACCAACAAUCGAAUGGUACUCGUAAGUGUAAACUAAAAAUUACAUAGAAAAUUAACUCAUGAGUAUCAUAAUAUAAAACCAAGUUAGUGUAACAAACCAGAAGCUUGGAUGGCAGCCCCAGACUUUGCAAUUGGCUCACCAACAGGAUGAUACUGUCUAUUCAAUUCCACUUCCUGCUUUGCAGAAGACAGCAAGGUUGAGAUUUUACCAUGAUCUAACUGCUUUGCAGGAGACAGCAAAGUACUAUAUCCAUCCACACAACCAUCAGGAGAUUUAGCAUUGGCCUCAACCAAAUGGCUAAAGAACUCGAAAAGAAAACUGACAGCCAAGCUUGACCUAUAAGCUGGACUUGAAGUGCCAUCAUCGGGUACCACAAUGCCUUUUAGUAAUUUAACAGCUUCACAAAGGACACCAACACUUAGCACUUUUCCAGUUAAAAAUUCUUCAACUUUUGUAGCUCUUAUUGGAUGUUUUGUCCCAUAACCACCAAAAGCAAACCGGCAGUUACUUACAAUAAUUCCAUUAGAAGUUGUACAGCGAGAAACUUUAGCCAUUAAAGCAGCAUUUAAAUAGGGCAAUGCAUUUCCUAACGGUCGCGGUGCAGCUCGAUAAGUUUCAAACAGUAACUUCAUCUUGGUCCCUGAAGAAAUGCCCAUAAUCCGAUCCCGAUCUGGGAUUUUGACACCUACAAGUAUACUUUUCGAAUCUAACUCUGGCCUUCUCAAGAACUCCUCCAAUGUAAGCUCUUCGCUUUUGAGACUAUUCAUUAUAUUUACGGUUGAACCUACUGCAAGAAGUACUGUAGCAAUGUCAGAGGGGAAAUGAUUCCUUUGUGCCAUCACCAGAUUUCCACCUAAACUAGCUGAGUUCCGGAUGAACCCUGAAGCAACUUUUUCCAUAUGGUCAGCAAUAUUUUUAUAGACCAUGUCUCCUUCUGAGUAAAAUCCACUUUGGUUGUAUUCCCUUAGAGCUUCAAUAGCUUUAGAGAUUGUUACUGUUGCUCCAAUGCUUAUCCCGGUAUUAUCCCUUCUUAUCAUUGAGAAUUCAGGGAUAUGUCUUAGAUCAAUAUAUUUGUCAUAACUUUCUACUUCCUUAUAAUAACCCAUACCAGUGUUACCAACAACUACUUUAACCCGACUCCCAUUUCCAUCCUCAACAAAACCCAGUAAUCUUUGAAGUUCCUCAAUGCUAACAGGACUAUACCAGGAAUAUCUUCUAGAGUCUAAAAGCAGUGUAGACCUAGUUUCAUUUUUCAAGAAUUCAGGAAAUGUACAAAUCUCAUCACUAUGGUUAUACAAGGGUAAGCUGCUUAGUUUCACUUCUUUACUAUCCCCCUUUCUCCAAAAGGAAUUAAACCCCAAAUCCUCCAUAUCAACAUCUGCUGAAAAACUUUUACAGGCAUCAGCAAUGGGCCGGUACCCAGUACAGCGGCAGAGAUUUCCUGCAAUAGCCCUUUCCGCUUCAGAAACUUUCAGCUUGGAGAAUCCCAGAGGGGGCUCUGGCCGGGGGGUUUUCUCAGCAUUGACAAGAGCCGAGAAGAGUGACAUGCACAUUCCAGGAGUACAAAAGCCACACUGAGAAGCAUGGAAUCCAGAGAACCUUUCAUGAAUUGGGUGGAACCCAUCUUUCGAGUUCCCAAGACCUUCAGUUGUUGUAAUUGAACAUCCAUUUACACUACAAAGCAGGGUAAGACAUGAACUCACCGUACAAUCAUCCAACUGGUCAAGUAUAGGGUUAUACUUGGACAGUAGAACAACACAAGCACCACAACCACCUGAAACAAUGAAGUUGGCAAACAUAUCAAUAUAUCAGCUACCUGAUUUUUGAGGUUUUGAUAGGCUAGACAAAAUCAUAAUCUUCAAUGGCUAAACUAUAUUAGGAACCAAUUGAAUAAAGGGACUAUUAUUUAAUAAUUGAACCACAUAAUCAUCAGCAUAGCCAUUAGUCAAAUAGUUAAAUUUUCAGUCUUAUGUUUCAUGCUGUUCAUCCUCCCAAAAAAUAAAGGGAAAGCUCAGACACAUUAGCCAAAUAGUUAAAUUAUGAUUGAUUUCGUGGACAUUAUUAUUUUUUGCUGGGUCCUAAACAGGGGAAAGACAGCUUAAAUUUUUUUAAUUUGUUCACAUUUCCAUUAUUCUCAGCAACCAAACACAGAAACAAUUAUUAAAUCAAACAAGCCUACUGCACUACAAGAACAAUGAACCCCAUUACCCCCAUCGAUUUAAAUAUAGGUAGGAACCAAAAAAUAAAAUCCGACAACAAAAUACAGAAAAAUGGAAUCACAGGACAAUACAAUUAGCAACAAGCAAAAAAGAGAACAAGGAAACAAAAUUAGACAUGCAGAAGAAGAAAAUACAUUAUCAUUGAAGAAAAGGAAACCUGGAUUGGGAAUCCAAUAACCAAAGGAAAGACAGAGUGAUAUGACAGAGUGAUAUAGAAAAUAACGAAAAUUUAAAAGGAGCAUUAAAGAGAACAUGAUGGAGAAAAACCCAACAUGAAGGAAAAAGGAAUAUCCAACUUUAUCCGUCAAAGAAAAAAGGAGCUCAGAUUGGGCAUGCAAGAAGUACAGAGAAACAGAGGUUCAUACGAUUACAGGCAUGUGUGUAUAAAUAUAUACAAAAACAUGGACAACAAAAUUAAAAGCAGAAGAUGAUAAAGGAAAGUCAACACACAGAGAAGAAAAACCCGUAUACCCAUCAAAGAAAAAGAAAACCCAAAUUGGGAAACCAACAAGCAGAGAGAAAGAGAGAAGCAUAUGACCAAAGCAAACAUAUAUAUGUACACUGAAUUAAGUACAAAAAAACGUGAGUACAGAGGAGAAGAAGAGAGAUACCUUCACCGCAGCUGAGCUUGGGACCUUUGAAAGGAGUGUGAGAACGCAAGAAUUCAAGCACAGUAGUGGAAGGGUGGAUGGUGGAGACCUCAAACCUCUUGCCAUUAACAGCAAAAACCAGACUGUUGUUUACGGUUGAUUCAGACUGCUCCAUUUCUCCACUGCAAGUCUGCAACUCAACUCACAGUCAAGAUUAUGUACAGGUAUUAUUCUAUCCUGUAUUUGGGGACGGAGGAAACUCAUUCACAAUUAUAUAAUUUCCGACGUGUCCUUUUUUGACGCAACACUCAACCAGACAAACAGAACAAAGAAAUCAAUCUCUGUACGCCAUUGGCCGGCUUUGGUCUCUUACAUAAAAAUGUAUCUUUAAAUAUUUUGUCCAUACCCUAUAGGAAUUUUGUAAGAAUUAAUUAGUAGAUAUUCCUCGUGAAUCUAAUAGUUUUUAUAUUUUUAUUUAAAAAAUAAUAUAUUUUUAUUAUAUGAAGCAUUUAUACGUAGAUUUUAAAAGAAUAAAUUGUUUUAUAAAAAAAAAAAAGAAUAAAGAUAUUUUUAUCAAAAUAAAACCAAAAAAUGAUGAAAUGUUACAUUUCUAAAAUUGAAUUUUUAAUGAUCAUCUUAAUCCAAUAAUAAAAUUAAUAUAUUUUUCAAGUAUAAACUAUUAACUUAAAAUAAUUUUUUAGUGCAUGUUUGGAUGCAUUUUAUAUUUUUAUUUUUAAAUAAAAAAUUUUGUAUAUAAUUUUUUAUAACUUCUUUGGAUAUAUUCCUUAUUUUUUUUUAUAGAAUAUCAAAAUUCUUAGAUAAAAUAGGUACAUACCUUGUGUAUUUAAAAGAGCUUUUUAAAAUUUUUAAAAACAAAAUAUUGUAAGUUGCUCAAAAUUUGUAAUUUUGAGAAGAAUUUUUGAGAAGGUUAGGAUAAUUUUUUUAAGAAGAGCUAGUUUUUAUUAAGAUAAUUUUUUUAGUUAGUUUUUAUACAAAGUGUUUCUAUUUUUUAAAAUAAAAAAUAAAAUGUCUAUUCCGCCUUAGUUUUAAAAUUAUGAUAAUUAUAAUAAUGUUUUUUUCCUUAUUAUUUCAAAUUCAAUGUGCAUGAGAGCAAAAGAAAAAGUGAUCAUGAAAAAGUAAGGACAAGUGCUGAUGAACUUGUAGAAUCCUUUCAAAUGUAUUAAAUGUUCCCGUUUGAUACUCAAAAGCGGGAGUUGUCUUUAAAGAUUCAAAGCCUAAAUAUAAAUUCAUCAUUAAAAUGAUUAUCUUGUAUUUGUUGCUUCUAUUAAAUCUGAUAAAAAUCCUUUGAAUGAUAGUCAUAUUGAUGACGAUGGAAAAUGUUAAUCAAAAGUUGAAAUAUAAAAUAUGUGUCUUUUUUUGUUUUUUUAUAUUAUUUAUUUUACAAAAAAAUGAUUAAAAAAAUUAACCAUCUAAUUAAAAAAAACUAAAAACUAUCCAUAAAAUAUGUUAUAAAAUAAUACUAAUACAUAUAGUAUUUAAUAUAAACCAAAUAUUUUUGUAGAUUGAAUAAACUAAUAUAAAUUUUUAGUUAAACAUUUUAAAUAUUUUCAUCAUGAUUCUUAUUAAUAAAAAAAUUACUUACUAAAUUUUAAACAUUGAAUAAUUUUCAAAUUAUAUUAAAUAUGAGAGAAAUUUCAUAUUUUUUUAAUAGUCAAGGAGAAUAUUUUAUUUUGAGUUAUUAUUUUAGUUUCUAUAUUUUAAUAGUUAAGUCCUAGAAUGUUUCUAAAUUUAAUUAUUACAAGUUUCUAUUUUGUUAAGUGUGAAUGUCUUUAAAUACGAGAUUAUGUAAUAUUUGACAAGAAGAGAGAAAGAGAGUGGUGAAAGACAAUAAUAUUUUAAUACUCUCAAAUUUUUAUCUUCUUUUACAAUUGCUUGUGUUUCUCUUUCAACCAUAUAAGUUCAACAAUCUCCAUGUCACAAUGUACUACUUUCAAUUUCUCUUUAAUGCUUAUGUACUUUCAAUUCAUAUCCUAUCUACAUUUGUUACUUCUUAUUUUCUUACCUAGCUAUUUUUUAUUUAUUGUUUGAUAAUGUUGCAAAUGCUUAGGGUUGGAUCCUUUGAUUUGUUACAUUUGUUAAAACAUCAAAUUCUUAGGCCUUGUUUCCCCUAUGAUUUGCUAUGGAUUCUAUGAUGUUUAUCAUGUGGGUGUUCAUGAUAAUCAACUACUUGCUUUGUGUUUAGUUCUAGUUUAAAAGCCAUCUCUUGGUACUAUAAGAGGUAACCUUUAUUUAAUAUAUCAACAAUAAAAUCCAAGUGCAAAACAUUAAUAGUGCUAGUUAUGAAGAAUACAUGGUUACUAAUGAAUGAUCACGGAACCCUCUUAAUUACCAUAAGUUUGAAAUUUUAUUAAAUACAUCCCUUAUUUUAAAUUAAUAUGGAGGUGAGUGAAAAUAAUAAAUAAAAUAUUUAAAAAAAUUUCAAACUAUUAGUGACUAGUUAGUGUUUGCUUUUUAGUUAAAUAGAAAAAAUCAAAAUAUUUUUUUUUAUUCAACUAAAAAUAACCUAUUAAUAUCAAUCAAUAUAAUUAAACUGAACCUAUUGAUAAUAAACUUGCUUUAAAUAUUAAUAUGCUACUUUUAGUUAAAUAGGAAAAAUCAAAUAUUUUUUUUUUCUAUUUAAUCGAAAAACAAAUACCACCUAGAUGUAUUCAACCUAAACCUUACAAAAAGUAAAUGAAAUUAACUUUUAAAGUUUCAGCAUUGUUUGACCUUGUUUUUAACUUUCCUUCUAUUGACAUGUUUGUAUAGAUUUUUUUUUUUUUCAAAUUACUUAUUGUUGUAGCAUGUCUUAAAAUAUUUUCUGAAAAUUUUUUUAUUGUAUUUUUAUGGCUUACUUUAUUUAAUUUGUGGUUUCAUUUUUUAGUUCCUUUUAUGAUUUAUUAAUUAAGUAGUUAUAAUUGUAAUAGUAUUGGGAACUACCUUUUCUGUAAUUACUUGUUGGAGCAUAUAGAUAUUCCCUUACAAAAUGUUUCUCAAUAAUCCUUCUUAGUAUAUUUAAAUAUCAAAAUAUCCUUAAAUGUUUGCAAAACCACAUACCUUCGGGCAAAACUAGCUGAAAAAUAGAAAACCAACUCACUGUCUCUGACACAAGAAAUCAUUUCAGUAUCAACUGUGGGGCACAGAGAGACCAAAACGAAAAAGAUAUACCCAAACCUAGUGGCCAUGCAUUCCCUUAUCCACAGAUUUCACUUCAACCGUCAUCUCUUUCCCUCAAGACCCAAAAAAAAUACUCAUUUUACUCAUGGCCUGCACCAUUGACUACCAAUUUCUCAAGUACUAUUAUUAUUGUAAUUUGCAAAUACAUUUCCGUGUAUUUACAUGACAUCAUUUCAUUGUGAUAUGCUUUUCUUCUGCCUCUCACACGGAGUUGAUUUUGCAGGUGUUUCCGUUUUGUCUGCAGCGCUGAAACUUCCUCCUCCUUCUGCAAUUUUUUCCCGAGGCGACUUCGCGUGGAGUCUUCAUCUGUUUCUCUUCUCGUUCUCCUGUGUCUAUCCUAAAUGUAUCUCUCUAAAGCACUUUCUUCAGUUGCUGUGAAGGUACAUAUGUCUAUUUCUUAAACGACCCUUCGCCAGAGUCUACUGGUCGAUCAACUCAAUUGAAGCUUGGUUUGGAUUCCUUGGGCAUAUGAAAUCCUGUAAGUUUUCACUCUCAUGAGGUCUUUAGGUGGGUUUCAUUCAUGAUUAUGUUGUACUAUUUUACCAAUAACUUUUAGAAAAGACUUCAUAAUUUGUUUUGAGAUUUCUGUUUGAGUUGUGAAUUAAGUUGAAGUCAACAGAAUUAUCAACAAACAGAGAAAAUAUAUAUAAAGGUAUAGAAAAAAUAAUAGAACCAUUAACAAUAUUGUUUAAAAUAACAAUAUUAUUUUAAACAAUGUGUAUGGAUAUUAUUGAUAAUUUAUUUAUUUUUUUAAUUUUUAGAAAUAAAUUAUCAUUCCUACCUUAUAUUUUUAUAUGUAUCCAAAUACAAAAAUUAGAAUUAUUAAAUUCAAGAUGAUUCAAAAGAGAAUAAAAAUAGAAAAAAAAAUAUUCAUUCUCACUGCUUAUUCCAAGCAUUUGAGCGUCAAAAUCAAAGCAAGAUGAUUGAACAAUCUUCACAACUGAACAAUUUACAUUCAUUGGCUUAUUUAAAUAUUAAUAUGUCCUCAUAAUAAUUAUAUCGUGCACUCAUAAUAGUAUUUUUUUUUUAUAGAUUCCAUUUAUCGGUCUGAAUUUAUAUAUUAAAAAGCAUUAUGAUAUUAUACAAUCAAACAUCUUCCAACAACUCUUGAAAGAACUAAUAGGAAAAAGGAGUUGGUGAGUGAAUUUAUAUAUUAAAAAGCAUUAUGAUAUUAUACAAUUAAACAUCUUCCUACAACUCUUGAAAGAACUAAAAGGAAAAAGGAGUUGGUGAGAGCACGUGGGUGUCAAAAUCAAGGACAAAAAUUUUGCUAUUAACAAUAUAUCAUGUAUCGGGACCUAUGAUAACAAUAUCAGGUGGAGAAAUGUCGAUCAAGUGAAAUUUAAGGAAAAAUUGCCAAAAAUUGUCGAUAGAAUGAUAAAUCAACGAUAUUUCCCAAAAUUUUACAACGGUCAACACUCCAAAAAUGGCUUCCGGUGCAACUGGGCCAACCACUAGAGCAAUUUCGUCCCUUAGUAAAUAUGUUACACCAAAUAUAUAUAUAUAUAAUGACUUUUAAAUAUAACAUAUAUAUAUAAUUAUUUAAAAGUCAUUAUAUAAACAAAAUAUAAAAUAAAUAUUUUAGACAACAGAUUAAUUAUAAUUAUUUUAUAAUUAAAUAAAAAUUUUAUUGAAUUAAUUACCAAAAAUAUAAAAAUUAUCAUAAUAGUUUUCUUCAGUGUUUUUAAUAUUAUUAAUAUAUUAAUUAAAAAUUAAAAAAUUACACAUAUAUCAUCAUUUAUUUUAUAUCAUUUAAUAAUUAAAUUAAAUAGAUCAUAAUUUUAAUAUUAAAUAUAUUUUAAAAUUAAACAUAUUAUAAUUAAAUAUCAUAACAUUAUUGUGGGAUAAUAUUUGAUGUAAUUUAAUGAUAAAUGUAUACUUAUAAAAUUCAUUUUUUUGACGCAUAUAAUAUUAUUAUCAAAUAUGAUAAAUUAUAUUAUCCAUAUAUCAAAAUUUUAAAUAAAACAACUUUAAAAUAUUUAUUAUACUUUUAAUUAUAUUUUUAUGCAGUUAUAUAAAUCAUGAGUUUUGAUCAAUUUUAAAUUUAUCGAUAUAUCUCCAAUAUAUCUUUAAAAUUGAAAUAUCGAUAUAUUUAUGAUUAUCGAUAUUUUUAUCUUUAGCCAAAAGCAAGACAAAAGGAUUAAUGUAUUUUUGAAUAUGUGCUUUAGACAAAUAAAAACAGAGAAGAAAGUCAUUCUCUUUUACAGAGUUUAGUGGGCAACUCGAUCUCACGCCUAUCAGAGACCAAACCCAAAAAGACAUGCCCAAAUUUUGUAGCCAUACAAUCCCUUAGCAACCGAAAAAGAUAUGCCCAAAUUUUGUAACCAUCGUGUCUUACCCGCAAGACCCACAAAAAAGAUUAAGGGGGUGGACUUUUAUCAAUUUCUCUAAUCAUCGAUGUCGAUGACUGUUAUUGUAAAUACAUUUCCGUGUAUUGGGUCCGAAGUUGAUGUUUUCAUUAUAAAAAUCAAAAUAUGAUUAUCGGCAGGUGAUGCUAAGGCAAUAGUAAAAGAAGAUUCCCGUAUACAAAACAAGGAAGUGGUACCAGGUCCACACUCAACCACUGUUCACAUUGCAGGACAGUCUGGCAUAAGUGCUAGAGGUAGGAGACCACCCAUUGAAAAUGUUGGGGAAGAAUUAAUUGACUCAGACUCAGAUUCAGACUCAGGAUAUGAUGACGUGGAAUCCAUGUUAACAAAAGUAUGGACAAAUUUAUGAGAACAAGAGAGUGCAAUUUAUAUUUUUCCUUUUGUAAAACAAAUCAGUGCUGUUGAUCAGUAAAACAAUACCUAUAAAUGUGAUAGUAAUGAUAGACAAUCCAACAUCUCAAAUUAAAACUCUCAACUUAAAACGUGUGAUGGAGACAAGGUCCAUGUUCAAGGAUGAAAAAUAUCGAUUUUGACUUAUAUAUUAAUAAUUUAGUUUUAUAAAUAUGUCAAGAUAUAUCAAGAAAUGAUAUUUUAACAUAAAAUAUCGAUGAAACAAAAAUUAAUUAAAACUCAUGAAAAUAUUGAAAAACAAAAAAAAAUGAAGCAAUAUAUAUCUAUUAUAGUCAAUAUAUGAAGAAAUUAAUCUAUGAAUGAUAUAAUUGAUAACAUUUUAUAAUAAUAGGUGAUAUUUGAAAAUUCAUUUAAUGUUAAAAUGAUAAUUUAUCUAUUUUAUAACAUAUACAUAAUUAUUAUAUUUGUAUUUAAUUCAUAUCCUUGUGCUUUCAAUAAUAAAUUAAAUAGAAUUUGAAAAUAAUAAUUAAAAUCAAUAUAAUUAUUAAAACUUUAUUUUAAUAUUUUAUCUUUCAGGAUAUAUAUAAAAUUGGGUGUAAAUAUAAUAUAUAUAAAAUUAAUGCCACCUUAAGGAAUAAAGGCAUGAGUCCACACGCUGCUCAUUUGACAGUGCUUUGACAGGUCAAAAAAUCAAGAAAAUUCCGAUAAAUGAAAAAAUAAAAGUCAGUUGAUACACUAAAAAAAUCACGAUAAAAUAUAAAAAAUCCUAAAAUAUUGGGACAUGAAAAUAUCUCUUUGAAUUUGUGUUGACAUCCACUCAACCUCAAAAUAUGGGAGAUAUAUUUUUAAACCUUGAUGUAGAUAAAGAUAAAACUAUCAAUUUUUAUGAAAAAUAUUGAUAAUUGAAUUUUAUGAAGAUAUUAUAUCGGAAACAUCAAUAAAAAUUUUAACAAAAAAUAUCAAUAAGAUAAAAAUUGAUCAAAACUUAUUAAAUUAUUGAAGAAGAUUUUAAAAAAUAACAGUAAGUUUUAUGUGGAGUGACAUUUAGAUAAUAGCAUGUAAUAUUCCUUAAUAACACGUUUAAUAUUAAAACGAUUAUUCAUGUAAUUUGGAUAUAUACAAUUAUACAAAAAGAAAUAACAUAUAUAAAUUGAAAUGUAUAAGCAUAGCCAGAAUUGGCUGAUGGCAACAGCACAUCUUUGCCACAUGUAGGCCCAAGGUUCUCAUCUUAGAGAUUUUUUUUUUCUCCAUGCAACAUGACGUAGCACCCUGGAGACAGCAAAGGUGGAGGGUCUUGGGAUUUAAAUGCCCCUGAGUAAAUAAAAAAAAAAGUUAAUUUCAUUCACAUUCCUUAAAGCUUUAAUUAAAUAUAAUUAGUACUCAUUAGCUUAAAAUUUCAUCAAAUACAUCCUUUAUUUUGAAUUAGAGGAAAGAUGUGAGAAAGGAAGAAGAGGUAUUUGAUAAAAUUUUAAAUUAAUGGGAAGUAAGUAUAUUUAGUCAAAACCUUAGGGGAGGUUAAUAAGAUUAAUCCUAAAAAAAUCUAUUAAAAUUUUAAUAUAAAUCAUGAAAUUUUUUUAUGAUAGAUCGUGAAAAAUUCGGUAAUAAUUAGUGAUAUUGUAAAUUCAAUCCAAUAUGAUAAAACUGUACUCAAUUAUUAAAAUAUUUGUAAAAAAUAAACAAGAACCGAUGAAGUUUUGAAUUUAGUGCAAAUUAUAAACUUUCUAAAUUGUAACUAAAUUGCACUACAAGGAAAAAGGUAUAUGGUGACAUUUAUAACGAGUCACCAUAAAUAUAAGGUGUCACUAUAACAUAGCGUCACAUUUUCCACUGACACCAUAGAGGGUACCAAUUAGUGACGUAUUUGGAAGUGACACCAAAGUAGAUAAAUGGUGACCCAUUCGGAAGUGACACCAUAUAUUUCUAGUGAUGAUAGGGUGUCACAUUAAAUACAUCAUCUUUGAGUUAUGAUGUUACAUUAAAUGCAUCACCUUUAAGUUAUGGUAUCACAUCAUUGUGGAAGAUAUGAUUGGUUUUAGUUGUUGAUUUUUGUAAUGCUUAUGAAUUAAUAAGAUUAACCUAUUUAUAUUUUGUUCAUAAAUAUAACAAUCAUAUUAUAUUUAAUUCAUUUUUCUGUAAUGUUUCUGGAAUAACUCAUAAUACAUUGAUCAUCUAAUAAUAUUUGUAUAUCAAAUGUUCACAAAAGGAUAGUACGUCUAACAUAUCAAACCCAUCAAAACUAAAAAAGAAGAGUGGAUACAUACCAAAACAUGAUUUAGAAAUGUUAAAGAUCCCAAGAUUCAUGUAUACCUCCAUUCCUAAGCAUAAAACCGGCUAACCAUAAAAUGACAUAAAAGUCCCAUCUAAAAAUCUAAAUUUCUCAAUUGCAAUUAAAGUAACGUUUAUGUCCUACAACGUAUAACAUAAGAGUUGCAUUUAAAAACCCAAAAUCUUGUUACCUUCUUCUUUCUUUUUAUUCUCCAUUUCACCAUCCCAAGAGUGUAUACCUGCAUUUCAAAAUUUAAUGAGUUUUAGAGAUUUUUAUUGAAGAAAAUAAACAUGGAUCGAUGUUAUCAUAAAUGAACAAAUCUAAGAACUAUUUUUUUUUUUCAAAUAGAAACAUUAUUCAAAGAAUAAGCAUUACUAUACAAUACCUAUGGAAAAAUUCAUGUGGUAGCUAAGGGACUCACCAUGCAUGGUGAUCAUGAUGCAUUAACAUGAUUCAUGAUUAGUUGUAGCACAAAAGUAGCCCAUUCUCCUCUAAUUUCAUCGAAGGGCGCUUCUUCUGAUGAAUAAAUGGAAAUAUAAUUCUACUUGAGAAUAUGUUUUUUUUAUCACAAAACUGAAAUCAAAUAAGAGAAUAACAUUAAAAUGCAUAACAUUUGGAAGCCUAAAACUAUGUACAAUUCAUUAAAUAAGUAAUACCUUUGAAGCAAUAAUUGUAGGAUAAAAAAUUAUCUCUUUAAUGAAUCUCAUAACAAAGUAGCCACAUUCGAACCCUCCUUCUUGUCUUGGACACUAAUCGAUCAAUUAUAAAAUAACAUUAGUACUCACAUAUAUAAAUGGUGCAAAUGCAUAAACUAAUGUGUAAAGAAAAAUUUUUGGAUGUCACUUGCACUAGUUGCUAAGAUGACUCCCUCUUAGAUGUUUUCUUUGCAGAUAUUCGAAGAGUCCUAUGUAAAUAAGUUCAAUGGGUACAUUUUAAAAAUAGGUAAAUGUUAUAUGUUUUAAUAUAUAUAAAUAAUAAAAAAAUGUGUUUCAAGUGAAUGUAUUUUUUUUAUUUAAAAAUAAUACUAUGAAAAAUAAUAGGAAGAACUUACAUGUUUACGAUAUCCUUUAAGUCCUCACAUGGUUUGUGAUGCAUAGGGUCAAGAUAGUGGACUAUCAUUUUCCUUGGCUCAAGCACUACCUAAAUAUAAACCCUUUAAGUCCUCAUAUCUAUUUUUAUUAACAAAAUAUAAAAACUUUCCAAAACUCAACUACUUAAAUAUAAAAACAAAAUCAAAUAAAAUAUCUAGCUAAUUGGAUUUUAGAAACUAAAUAAACUAUAAAUAAACUAAAUAUAAAAACUAAAUAAAAUAUCUAUGCCCAUGAAUUAAUUGAAGGGGAUAGAAAGACACAGAGAGAACAUGGCUAUGGUUAUGAUUUCCAUUUUAUCAUCUCCCGUCAAUACCACACAUGCCCAUUUUAAGGUUGGACACUACUUUUGUUGAUAGACUUGGAAAGGGAACUUCAAAAUUGAAAACAUAAAUAAACCCUUAUGUAAAAAAAAAAAAAAACAUUAAAAUAUAAUUGAGCAUUAAAAUAUUUACUCUCUUUCAUCACUUUCAUUUGAAUAUUAAUAAUCUCUUAUUGAGAUAGAUACUUACAAUUUAACAAAAUAGAAAUUCCUAAUAAUAAAAAAUAUAAAAAUUUCUAUUUCUAUUAGCAAAAUAUAAAAACUUUCCAAAACUCAACUACUUAAAUAUAAAAAUAAAAUCAAAUAAAAAAUCUAGCUAAUUGGAUUUUAGAAACUAAAUAAACUAUAAAUAAACUAAAUAUAAAAACUAAAUAAAAUAUCUAUGCCCGUGAAUUAAUUGAAGAGGAUAGAAAGACAUAGAGAGAUCGAACAUGGCUAUGGUUAUGAUUUCCAUCUUAUCAUCUCCUGUCAAUACCACACAUGCCUUCCCGAAUUGGUCCUUUUGGGGUUGGAUACUCUCAACAAAAUUCUAUAUCUCAUUCCCACUUAGAUACAAACAGAAAAAUCAUUUUUUUUCCUCUCUCGUUUUUUAGAAAGGAUGAAGAUUAUGUGAUAGUAUAUCUCAAAAAAAUUCUGUACGUGUCAUUCUCACACAAAUAGAUAUUAAAAAUCAUUCAUUUUUUUUUCCUGUUUUUCACUUUUUUUAAGGAUUUGAUCAUGUGUUUGGUUUAGAUUAAAAAAUCAAUUAAUCUACAGUUUUUUCUUCUAUGCUAGAAGAUUAAACCUAAAUUUUUCUUCCCUACAACUCAAGAAUACACAAUUCACAAAAACCAUAAUACAAAGAUGUUGAAACAAUUAAUAUAAUGACAUUAAUAAAAGAAAAAAAAAUGAUAGAUCCAAGAGAUUUUGGGUUACCUGGGAGUCCACAAAGUGAAGAAUGUCGGUUGUGAGCGUGUUGACUAUGGGUGAGAGAAAAGGUUGAAGAAGAUCACGAUUUUAUAUAUAGGAUUAUAUAUUGAGAUUUUUUGGAUUGUGGGUGAGAUAUGGAAACAAUGGGAUUUUUAUAUAGUAUCCAUCAUUAUUAAUUCUAAAAAUGGGUUAUAAUACUUAAAAAAAAUUAUUUUAUAUGAUGUCACUUCCCAAAAAAUGACACUAUAAAUAUAAAAUUAAUAUCAUCUAACUACCUCAAUUGAAGAUUUUUUAUAUGAUGUGUCACAUUUAUUAAUUAUAAAUCCUAUGGUGUCAUUAUUUUAAAAGUGACACCGUAAAUAGUGACACCAUAAACUAUUUUUGUAGUAGUAUUGGGAUAUGAAUAUGCUGACUUAGGGGAUGGAUAAUCCACUGAAAGUGGCUUCUACUACAAUGAUAUUCAUGUGCUUGCAAUGCUGAGAUGUAGCCCAAGCUUCUCACAUUCAUCUGUUGGAAUGUUGUUUUAGGUUUUCUAUUCUGGUUAUGACUCCAGUCCCAACACAUUAGCUUCUUGGUUCUUUUUCAUUUAUACCAUAAUGUCACCAUAUCUUGGUAUAUGUUCAUGUUCUCACUAUUGCUCAUGUGUUUUCUUGUAGUUCAUUUCUUUCCUUUAUUCUAAAAUCUAUGUGAAUUGUGGUGCUAGCAUACAAAAAAGAAGUUGGAUCCUCAAGUGAAGAGACCAUAAGUGUAGUACAUGGUGAACGUUUAAGUCCUAACCAUUUUUCAUCGAGUUUAAAGCUUACCAAGCAUUUAUUUUUAGUAUAAGUUAGGGUAUAAUGUGUAGGGACCACCCCUGAACGACCACGUGACAGCCUCACAGAGCACUCCUCCAUUGGACAUGUGGCACGUCCAACCCUCUGUCCGGAUUUUCCUCACGAGACACGUGGCACUUUCAACCCUUCAUCCGGAUGACCAUGGGACCGGCAUGCUAUCCACACCUCCCUUGUCUGGGCGUCCUGUCCGGACUCAAUGCUAGCGUCUUAGAAAAAAGUCUUGACUGUGUUUCGCGGACCAUCAUUAUUCGUACUACUAAAAGCAUGCUCGAUGGGACCCUCCUGGGUCACUUCAGGAAACCUGUCACGACUUGCACCGCGCCGUCUAUAGGAUAAUGAUGACUCUGCCACCAUCUUAGCACCAUCAUGACAAACCAAAAAGUCUUCCCACCAUUAAAGGGGACAAAACUCCUGACACUAUAAAAGACUCUCACAUAGUAAAAGAAGGUAAGGAUUCUUUCCCAAAAGAGGAGGGCCGAAGUGAGAAUAUCAAAAUGUUAGAGAUAAAAGCUAACAAAACCAUUGAAAGUUUUUUCGGACCCCUUGUCCGGACAUCUUUUACAGGUCGAAUGAUGGAAGUAUCAUCUUCAGUUGAGAAUGCACGUCCAUCUGGCAUCUACAGUGGUCCCGGUAACGCGAGCCCUCAACAUAAUGCACUAAUGAUUUGGGAAAGAGUUUUUUUUGUUGUCUUAAUGGUCGAGGUAAACAUUCAAUAACUAAAGGAAAUAAAGAAAUAACCAAGAUAUUAAAUAUUUAACAAUAGAAAUUAAAUAGGAAUAUUGAAAGAGAGAAUCAAAGAGGUUACAUUACUUGGGUGAGUCUUCAUGCAUGUACUGCAAGCCAUAUCUUGGAUAAGUGCCACACUUUCAACCAUUCCUCACUUCUCCAAUCAACCUAAAUCAUGCUACUAGAAGGCUCCAUGCCCGUUAACUGACUUCACCACCGCAUUCCCAUUCAAGACAUUUCAAGCGAUGAGAAACCAUGGUGAGAGUAAAAAGGAAUCAAUCUUUAUCGAUUGCUCCACCGUUGAUUCUCAUGCAAGACAUUUCAUGUAAUGAGGAACCAUAGGGAGAAAAAGAUGGAGUUGGUCCUCGUUUUAGCAAGCCUAGACUCAACUAAAAAGUGAAAAAAAAAGAAGAAGAAGUUGAAGUCCUAAAUUCACAUUGACUAUGGAGCUCUUAAUUCUCACCUUCAAAUUUAGAUGAGCAAUAAGGAUUUAAAAUGCAAGAGAAAUGGAUGAGAUUUGAAAACAAAGCAUCAAACCAAAUUUUGCAUAAAUUUGAAACCAUGAAUUUUGAAUUUGAAAUAAAUUGAAAACAUUAAGUAUAAAAAACAACUUAGCGAACCUAAGACAAUAGCAUAUGACUUAUUCCUAUACUAACUACUACCCUCAAGUGAAAGUUUCCUACGACUUUCAAAGAUUUCUUACACUUGAUGAAGGAGAUGACUAUUUAUAGGCGAAGAGUCUCCUCAAGAUUGCUUGUUCUUAUCUCUCUACAAAAGACAACCUCUAUCCCCAUUGGCCCUUUAUCCCCAUUGAUUACUACUUCAAUUUCUUUGUAGCUCUAGGUGGCAUGCAUGACACCUUGGUUUGCAAAUAUUGGUCCUUUCAAAGGUAGCUUGCUCUUAAGUUGCAAAAAUGUCAAGCUUGAUAAAGAAAAGGUCCCCUCUGACUUGUCCUUGCUUGCUUAGUCAUGGAGGGAAGAAUAUAAAAUGGAAAUAGAGGAAAAGAAACAUGAGAAAUGGGAUUUAAUUAAAAGAAGGCAACAAAUUUUCGCAACUCUUUUUGUAACUAUGAGAGUUUCAAAAUUGGUAGCUUUUAUAUUUUUUGUGCUUUUUAAUUGAAUUCGAUUCACCUGCAAAACUUAUACGAGAUAUGUUGAGGCACCUUGAUAUAAAUAAUUCAAUUAAAUUAGAUAUGAAAGUGCUUGAUUGAUGCAAAAAUGAUGUGAUUAUGCAAGGUUAAAUGUAAGAUUUACAUCCUUAUCAAUUGCUAUGUUCCUUAUUAAUAGGUUUCCUAACAUAAUCCUGCAACAAAGAUAACCUUUGGAAGUAUUGUUCCAUACUCAACCUAAUUAUAAUUUCUUGAAGGUAUUUGGUUGUACUUGUUAUUCUCACUUAAGACCUUGCAAUAACCAUAAAUUAUGAUACUGUUCUUUCGCUUACACAUUUCUUGGCUAUAGUAAUGUCUACGAAGGUUAUCGAUCCUUAUCUCUAGAAGGAAAAAUAUACAUCUCAUGACUUGUGUUUAAUGAAUUCACAUUUCCUUUGGCUUCAAAAUCACCUAACCACCUAAUCAGACUUCUUCCUCAUUUACUAUGGACAACACAAUGCAUUUCCUUUCGCCUCUUAUACUAUAACCUUUGCUAACAUCAUCUACUUGGUCACCAACCUAGCCACAAUCCUAUAAAGUCUCCUACUACAACACCCAUUGCUUCACUUUUACCUUUGCCAACUUCUCAACCUAAUUCUUCAUCAACUUUUGCAUAUGUUUUGUCUGAGUUUAUCCUUAAUUGUAGUAAUGCUCCAUUGCAAACUAACUUACAUUUUAUGGUUACUCGUUCUAAAAUAGGUCUUUUCAAGCCUAAAGCUUAAGCUGCAACUGAUCUAUCUACAAAUGAACCUACUUCUAUUAAUGAGACUUUAAAUUGUGAUCAUCAAAAGACAACUAUGUCAUGUGCUUUGAAUUUGUAGACAAAGCGAUUCACCCCAUGAGAGCAAGUCAACAUGAGGUUCAUAAAAUCAUGGAUGCAAAAAGGAUACAUUAGAAAUUGAUUUUAAAAUAUCUUUCAUUAAUUUACACCAAUUAAAAAAUUGCAAAAAAUCAACAAUCACAUAGCAUAUGAUAUUAACGUUAAUGAAUUUUUUUAAGCUUAGAAUGGUAUCUUUAUAGCAUAGUUUUAUUUAUGUGAUACAACUGUCAUGUGACAUAAAUUGAUUUAGGUUUGAAAAUAGUCUUUAAAGUGCAUUUUUCUUUAAUUCAUCAUAUCUAGUAAAUAAAAAGCAAUGUUUUAAGUGAUGAUCAAUACUAAGGUCCCCAUCCUUGACUCUAGGCUAGAAAACAUGCCCAUUACCUUGGCUUAGAAGGAUAUGAACUCUUUAUAUGGUAAUGGUUGAACUUGUGAAGGUAGGAUCCUGUCUUUGACAUACUUUCUUUGUUGUAAUGCUUGCCUCGCAACCAUGUUUUGAUACCACUUGUUAUAGAGUUAGGUGUCUCCCCAGCAUACAUGUGGAGCUUAAACAACUCAAGAUACAUUAAGUUAUUAAAUUAUCAUUCUUCGAACUUUGCUUUCUAGUUUAAGCAAUGCUAGUAGACACAAAAGCUAGAGAUGAACACAAGAAGCAAUACUUAGAAAAUUUGAAAGAAUGAAAACUUCAUUACUUAAGAAUGCUUUACUGUGGCUUGAAAUCUUUCAAGUGCUUAAUGAUUUGGCCAAAUGAGACCAUCAUCCAUUAAUAGGCAUCAUGGGAACUCUCUACGAAUUGUGAUGGUUCCCCACAAAUUUAGGACUCCUUGGAGAUUACUGCAUACAAGCUAUGUACAAAUUAUGCAUAAGAAUUUUCCAGAACCACAGUAUUCCAAGGAUUUUCACCAAUGUGUAGAUGUCUUUAGGUCAUUCUAAAAGCUUCUUCCCCCUCUGAAAGCUCAAGUGAGAUUAUUCAAGUAGGAUGUGACAAUCAACUACUGAUUUUUUAUAAAGUCUCACUCAAAACCUUCUCUAAAUAGCACUUUUUUAAUUGGAACCCAUUUUGUUGUAUCUUUAAAACCCUCAUUGGCUUUAAUGUUUAGAGUUUAUUCCUCACUUUUCAUGCCUAGGCAUUAGCCUUAGGAGCCCAAUAAGAACCAUCUUUGGUCAGAAUGGCUUAUCCAACAAGCACCUAAAGUACUCUACAAGGUACUCCUAAGCUUCAGCUACCAAGUGACAAAGAUGGGUCUAGCUAAUUAAGAGCGAAUCUAGGUCACAGGCUGAUAUUAGCACAAUAACACCAUAUUUCAGGGGCAUUCAAUGGUCAAAAGGGAGGUCUUAAGGAUCUAUACAACCUUAAAUAAAAUCAUAUUCAUAGGACAUUCCAUGGGAAAAAAUGGCUCAAGUCUGAUAAGCACUUAGAAGAACCCUUCUCCUCAGCCUCAACUAUUACACACUAGAUAUAUAUCAAAAUAAAACCAUACAAAAAGGUGGCCAAAAGCAGAGUUAACUUAGGAUUUCCAUUAAAAUCUCAAACUAAGCCCUUAAAAUGUAUACAACAUGAAAGCAAUUGUAACAAAAGGAUUACAAAUACUGAAAAUAUAUUUAAGAUAUUGUAAACACACUUAAAAACAAUAAAACAAGCUAAAAAAAUACAUGCAUUCAGUAGUUCAUGACAUGAAGAAGAAGACCUCCCCUUGAAACACCUCAAUGGUUCUUUCUUUGGCUUCCAAAAUGAGUGCUUCUUAGGUUAUUAAUUAAUAGGUCUCGUUAAGGCAUCGAAAUUGAGGUAGGAAAUCCUAUGUCAGGUGGGAAACAGCAAAUUGAUGAUAGACAUGGUGGGUCCGUGUCAUCCUCAUAUGUACCCUGAAUGAAAUUGCGACGAAGAUGGCACUAUACUUAGAGCCAUCAUCCACUGAAACUGACUCUGUGGGAAGCAUAAAUGACCGCAACAUCAAGGUGGCGCAUCUUGGCACUAUUUUUCCCUAUGGUUUGAAUCUGUAUAGUGUGGAAUGGGGCUUGGUUGGCACCAUCUUCUAGAUCUCCUACAAGCCCCCCGCUCUUAACUUCACAUGACUCGAACUAGUUUGUAGUUUCCCCCGUUCCUGAGGUUUCCAAUCAUAUAUGCCCCAAGCUUGCGGAUCAUGCUCCUUAAUAUUCGAAGAAUUACAUAAAGGACAUGCUACAUAGGAAAAAAAUGAGUGGCUGAGUUUAACUCGCUUAAGUUUGCUCAAGUAUUGUCAUUGCGGAUGGAGCACGGUUGACGCCCAAAGUUCACUUAUAAUCUGCUUUUAGUCUUACUGAAUUCUCAAUUUUCAAUUUCACUCCAGAGUCUUUAUUACGGGCCUAAUAACAUUGAACUCUUUUGCUCUUCCCUUUCAUUGAUCUCUUUUGGUUAUCAAACUCAAAGAAAUUUUUAUAGAGUCAUCUCUUAAUGCUAAUUUUACGAGCUCGAUAAUGAGUCAUCACCCUAGCGUAGACACUCCAAAACAUAUUAAGUUAAUUCAAAAAUCAAGAGAAUAUGCAGAUUUUAAGAUUAGUGAACUGCAUAUAUACAUCAUCAACUAUAUACAUGGAUUAAUAACAUUUCAUUUAAUUACUAAAUAAUAAUUUGAGAGCAAAAUAAAUAUCAAGCAGUAAUAUUAUGGGAUUUUUUUUUUCCUUUUUCCAAUGGUAAAAACAAGAGUGACCACAAACCGAGAAGUGGUGAGAUUCAAAAUGGACCCAAUGGUAAAAGGUAGCAAGAAGCAAGAAGCUUAGAAUAGUAAUGAACACCCAAACAAGAGCAACUUACUACUGUUGGAACUCAAACCUUUGCUGGAACCAGGAAUGCGAGUCAGUGUGAGAGUUCCUCUGGGUUCCCCCUCACGAAGGCUUCUCCUGAUGGUAUGUUAUAAUACUGAUUUGAUCACAUCUUCAAGGCCACUUCCUCCGGGUUGGGCCUCAUGAAGGCUUCUGAAUAUGAUUUCUUAACCAAGUCUCUCUCAUGAAGAUCAUCAAGAACAAUUUCAGUAGCGUUCCUUUGGGAGAAUGUGGUAGUCGCUACUGGUAUGAGAUACGGGAGGGUUUGGCUGCAUGCCUUCUUGGCUCAUCAAGGGCACUUCCACUGGAAUAAUCCCCUUCAUCACUGGUACCUUUAAUGUACACUGGACAAAACCCACAACUCUUCACAACGCAGCCCCCGCUUGAACUAAAUGAAAACUUAAUGUGACUCCAUUUCUCACAACUGAAGCUCAAAAAUGAUGGAACAUACGCCAGCCAUACAUGAUCUGAUUCAAUUGGUGUAUGUUGAAGUUGGUAAGUCCAGCUACCAAAGAACGAGCAUAUGCGGUGGGAAUUGGAAUUAAGAUCAUGGGUAUCCAAGUCGCAGUACAUAUACCAAGCCCGGGAGUCGUGCUGCGGUGCCAUAACAGCAGAAAGAGCAAAACCCAGGAAGUUGCUAUUAAUAUACCAAUCUGGAGGUACCUCUAUAUUUAUUUCAUGCCCUUGGCUAUGAUGCCUGAACCAAUCCGGUAUUUCACUACCAGGGAAAACAGUGCUGAACGGGAUCCCAACGUUAGGGUGCCACUGCAAAACAAAAACAAUAUUGAGGAUGCUGAGAAAGAACCCACAUCUCCUAUUAUUUUUGGUAAUAAAACUUCCAAUUUUUAAAAUUCAUUUACAAAUGAUACAACAUUUUAAUAUAAAUGUCCCUUUGCUGUAUUGUUACUAUUUCACAUCUUAACCUACUCAUUUUCUUCUAUUAUUAUUAUUAUUAUUAAAAAUACUAUUAUUAUUAUUAGUAUAUACAAAUAUUUAUUUCAACAUGAUUAUUCCUAGUAGUAUUUUUGUUAUUAACAAUAAUAAUACUACAAAUACUUAUAUUAAUACUAUUUUUUUAACUAUAGUAUUAAUAGUAUAGUAAGCUAAUACAUGAAGUAAAUUAAUAUAUCAUUAAUAACUAUAAUUGUAAUAGUAUAAUGAGUAACAAAAUGAUUUAAACAAAAUCACUAAUAAUAGAAAUAUAACAUGAUAAUAAUAACGAUAAUAUAAUAAUGACAACAAUCACUAAUUAUAAUAAUAAUGCUAAUAAUAAUUUUCUAUGUUAAAAUAAUAAAGUAACAAUGACAUUAUUUAAUAGUAAUAUUAAUUGUAAUUAUAAUACCGCCAAUUUCAUAUUAUAAUUAAUAACUUUAGUAGUUAUAUUAAGGAUUAUUUGGAUAUAUGAGUUAAAAUAACUAUUAAAUCAUAACAAUGACAUCUCUCUUUAAUUUUGUUGAGAGAUGACUCUUUUUGGAUGCAUUUACUAUUUUCUAUAUUUUGUUUUCAUAACUUCAUUUUAAGUGUGAUCUUUAACUUUUCUUUCUUUUUGGCUUUAUCUUGAACUUGCUCUCUUUCUUUCUCAAUUGAUAACACUCUUGAAAAAUUUACCUUUAUCUCAUAAUGCCCUACCCUAUUCUCUUAUCUCUCAAAUAGCUCAUUCUCAUUCUUAUUUAAGAUAUUCAUCUAAACUAUUUGGAGAUUAUAUUUUAUUUAUCAUAAAUUUAACUAAAGUUAAAUUUUUAUUAAAAAUGUUCAUUGGAACUGUAUUGGAUUGAAUUUGGUUUACAAAAAAUUUAACUACGAUUAAGUUUUCAUUUCACCUACAAAAAGAACUUAAUUAUGGUAACUGAAAUUACAUAAUAAUUAUAUUUCAUUUUAAAAUAACUUGAUUAAGAUUAAGUUCUUUAUUAGAAAGUUUAUUUGGAUCAGAUAUGGGAGGGCUUGGCAAAAACAAGGUUAGAUAAAAGAUUUACUCAAAGGACAACUUUUUAUCCUAUCUCAUCUAUAACAUUAUAAAAGUUCAAAUGAAACCCUAAAAAAACUCCCACAAUAAUAUAUAUAUAUAUAUGAAUUAAUUGAUUAAAAGGGAAACUAAAAUCCUAUAUUUAUAAAUCUAACUUAAUUUUUUGUCUUGAAAAGGAAUUUGAUUUUAAUAUAAAUGUCUCUCAAUCUAUUGAUUACUUAUAUGUUAGUUUUAAAAGAAAAUAUUAUUUUUGUGAGAAAAAAUAGGAAAUUUUUGUCCUAUACGGAUGCUUUUUAAGGUUAAAAAAAAGUAGAUGAUCAGAUUUAAAAAAUAUCCCUUUUAAUUAAAUAACUCAAAAAAAAUAUUAAAAAUAUGUAAUACAAGUGAAAUAGAACAUAAAAGACAAAAUUAUAAUACAGACAUUAAAAAAAAAAAUCCUUUUAUUGGAAUUCAAAAGCUGAGAUGAAAUGUGAAAGUUUUGUAUCGUUUGGGUCAAGUUAAUACAAAUUCUUCCUUUUUAAAAAAUAAAAAAUUAAAGACAUUUUCAAAUGGUACAAAAUUAGGAGAAGCAAAAAUCAUGAAGGCACAGCGAAAGUAGCAUUUCGGCAAAAAUGUGGAAAUUAUGAUAUGAAACCAAAAGAGAACUUACGCUUGCAUAAGUGGACCUCCAUGCACCUGGGACAACAUGCGAUGCCACACUCUGUACAUCAUGCUCCAUCUUACUAUGACAGUUCCUCAGUUUGAAGCAAUUACCAAAUAGAAAACCUCCAAAACGUUUGAAAACUGACUGAGGGGAGACGAGUUCCAGUGAUGUGCAGUUACUUGCAUUCAUACGUUCUAUACUCGAUGGAAGCACUGGCAGUGCUUGAAGCCUUCUGCAAUUUGUCAACUCAAGCCUCUGCAGCAUAAAAAGUCGUUCCAAGUUCCAAGGUAGGCGAAUGAUGGAGGUUCCACUAAGGUUCAGAUACGUCAGUGAGGUUAAGGUGCAAUGAGGACGAAUGGAAUGUGAUCUUCUAGGCGCAGACGAAGGAGAUGCAUUAUGAUUUCUCAGGACAACACUGGAAGAAGGUAGUUGUCUUAUGGUGGAAUCAUCUGAAUUGAGCUCAUUUAAGCAGUCUAAAUUCCCUGAGUUCUCUUGAAAAUUUCCAAGUUCUGACCAGCCAGAAAAGUCUGUUAUAGCAGUCCCAUCUAGACAGAGCUUUGAUAAAUAUGGCAUAUGCUGUGGAACUUCUGGUAACUUCUCUAGCUUUGAGCAACCCGAGAGAAUAAGGGUUUCAAGGGAUACCAACCAACGGAUGCUUGGAAGAUGCUCAAGGUUUGUGCAGUUUUCCAAAUUCAACAAAAUGAGUUUGCUCAAGUAUCCAAGGGAAGGGUGAACCUUACGCAAAUUUGUACAUCCUUUGAGAACCAAAACUUCAAGAUUUGUGGCUCUUGAAAAAUCGGGAGUUUCUUUUAGGUAUUGGGAGUAACUGACAUCCACAAAUUCGAGGUUUCCAAAGACCUAUAAGCCAAAAAUAAAAAUAAAAAAAUAAAAAAACACCCAGAGAGAAGCUAUAAACAUUUAGAUUUCAUUAUGAAUAUCACACAGUAUCCCAAAAACAGAAAGUAAAUCAAUCAUACCUUUUGUCCUUUCCAGAGCUGAGUAAGAUGGCGGCUACGAGGCAUGCAGAAGUGAACAAGAUUCUCGGACUCAAAAUCGAAUGGCAGUGAUUCACAUGGGUAUUCAUCCCAAUGUAGAUACCUCAACUCAUCGUAAUGAAAUUUGAAGUCAUCAGAAACGUGCAAUUUACAUUGCAUCUUUCCCCCGGUAUCUCGAAGGUUAGAUCGGUAGAUUUCAAGCAACCUAAGAUUAGUCAUCUGGGAAAAGGCUUUAGUGGUAAAGUUCAUCUCCUCCAAACCAGAUAAGUCAAAGAAUAUGCCUUCAACUUCUUGAGCUCCCUAACAACCAAGAGCAAAGAAUAAGUUAAAAGAAUGCAAAUUUAUUAAGAUAUAUAUAGAUAUAGAUAUAAUUGCUUAAAUAAAAAUGAAAUAUACUUCCAAAGUUUAAAUUUGUCUAUGAAAAGGAAAUUUCAUAUUAUAUUCUCACCGUUUCCCGUUUCAAAAUAUGAGAGACAUCCUUUUGUUCCCAUAAUCUGCUGCGUCUGCCAGGCUCUUUAGGAGAAGUCUUGCGAAUGAUUUGCCAACCCACUUCUUGAAGUAAAUCAUGCAUCUCCAAUCUAUCGUCCUGAGUAAUGGUUAUAAGAGAUUUAUCAAUUAGAUUUUCUAUUCCGCUAACCAUAGAGAAGCCACAACUCUCUAAUAUUUUCUUUACAAAAGUUUGGCCUCUUCCUCUAAAGAAACAUGCAAUAUCUAGAAAUAUCUCUUUCUCAUUAUCCUCUAAUCCAUCAAAACUUAUUUGAAGCACUUCUUGAAUUUCCCCAUUAGAGAUUUUUUUCAAUUGAUUCAACUUAUCUGUCCAAUAGUCAGCAUUUCUAUCACACAAAGAACAACCCAAAACUUUGAGAGCCAAUGGAAGACCUUGAGCAUAAGAUGUUAUUUGAUCCAAGAGCUUCAUAACAUCUCUUGUAGGAGGUUUAUUUUUAAAGGCAUAAUAACUAAAGAGCUGAAUGGCAUUAUCAUCCUCUAAUUUUUGUACUUCAUAUACUGCAUCAACACCUUGCACAGUUAGAAGAUGUUUAUCCCUUGUUGUUAUAAUAACUCGACUUUGUGGACCAAACCAAUCAUGUCCCCCUACUAAUGUUUCUAACAUGGAUUGGUGAUUCACAUCAUCAAUAACAACAAGGACUUUUUUAGAAUGAAGUCUCGCCUUUAUUGAAGUGAGUCCCAUAUUUAUAUUUUUAUCCCCUAAUACCUUUGAAAGAAGUUCUGCUUUUAAAUUAUCCAUACUUGUGCUUUUUAAGCCUGCUAGAAAGCAAUAACCUUCAAAUUGACAUAAAACACGCUCAUAAAUAACUCUGGCAAGGGUUGUCUUGCCAAUGCCGCCCAUACCCCAAAUUCCUACCAUAAGAACUUUAGUUGAUUCAAGACACAAUAGUGACUCCAUUUCUCUUAUGCAACAAUUCAUUCCCACUAGAUUCUUCGCAUCACUUGAGGAUACACAAUUUAAAUCUUUGGAAAUAUCCGUGACAAUUUCUUCAAUAAACUGAGUCUCAGGCCUGCCAGUUUGAAGAACAAAUAAAAGUAGUUUGAUAACCCAUAAAUGUUGAAACAAUUGUAAGUAUGGCAAGACACAUGGUCUUGUUCAUUGAAACUUCGGAAAAGGGGAAAUUAAGCAUAAUAAGAUGAUCAAGAUAUAAUUGGUCAAAUUUCUCUUUGUGUUCUGUUAAGAACAAAUGUCAUAAAAUAACCAUCUUAAAUCUAUCAUAUCUAACCUAAUUUUCAUUUGUAUACAAAUAUGACAAGGUGCAUAACCAUAACUAAACAUAAAGAUGUAUUCAUGUACCUACUAACAAUCAGAUUUAUUAGAAAAGAAAAGGACAGAGACGAUGAAUUUUUGUCAAGAGUAUUAAUUAGUCACAGUUGCAAAAUACUUUUCAUCUUGUACAAGAUGUAUAAAGCACAAGAGUUCAAUGGUUUAUACAAUCAUCAACUCCUUUUUCAUUCACUUUUAUUUUUUCAAAUAUAAAAGGCAUGUAAAUCUACUCAUUGGUCUUCAACUUUUUAUCUCCUAAACACACCUAAAACCCUAUCCUAGUUCCUAUCUCCUUCCCACUCAACUUCUUCACUUUAAUUUUUUUCGCUCCUUCACCUUUUAUUCUUAUUCUUCUUCUCAUUUCCAUUAUAGAAAUAAAUACAAAAGCAAAACAAAAGAAGCAAAAAUGAAAGAUAGAAAUGAAAGGUGAAGAAGUGAAGAGAACUAAGAUAAAGAAGAUGAAGAGGAAGGAGAGAGGAAUCAGGGUUCGAGAGACAAAGAAGAUCAUAAGCUAUGAGUGUGUGUCUUUAUAUAUGAAUAUAUUGAGGAAAGGAAAAAAAAAAGAAGUAUAAAGGGAUGGAAGGAGACUACAAAAAGAAGUCCUCUUCUAGAAAAUCGGCUCUUACCUGUUAAAGGUGCCCUUCAAACAUUUAAUAUAACUUAAAAUUGUAUUUACCAUUAAUUUUACUAGUUUUCAUUAUAGUUUCAUUUCAAACUAUUCUUUUUUUCAUGUCUAAGCCUACAUAGUUGUCUUAACAAUCCUUAAUAUUUGAAAUUGUAUGGGUCAUAAUGUUUAAAAAUUAUUAAAGAAAAAGUCAUCCUAAAAUUCUUUUUAUAUAAGAACUUCUUAAACAUUGUAUACAGUGGGCCACCCCAUUAACCCAUCUAUUUACAAACAAGUCCAAAAUGGUUCUACCUUUCUAAGCGAGUUCCAAUAACUAGUAAUUCAGUUUGUCUGAGUGAAUCUCAAACUUUUAAUUAUUGAAUAAUUUAUGUAGGAAGAACCAUAUCAGUACUUAAGCCCUAAAUAUCAUAUUGAAUAAAAGUAUUUAAACAUAUAAAUAUAUAUUAAUCUAAAGCUAAAUGAUUUCAGCAAUUUUCUUUUCUUCCUUUACACUGUUCAAGAUCUAAACCAGUACCUAUGCCCUUAGUGUUCCAUAGACUGUCCAACGUAAGGGCUUUUCUCUUAAUUAUUUAUGAUUCAUAAUAAACCUUUAGAGCAAUAUAAUGAUGAUAAUAAUAAUAAUAGUAACAACAAUAAAUAAAUAAAUAAGGAGCUAAGCUUUAGAAAAUUACUUAUCACGAGAUGAAGUGAAUCCAGAUAUCUUGCCAACUUGGGUGAGAGCCUUCCUCCAUCUCUGCACCCUCUCCAUAUCAUACUUCAACUUCUUUUCAUGGUCUGCUUUCAACUUCUCUUCAUGGUCAGCCAAGGCUUUUCCGAAACUUCCCCUCUGGUUUCCAACAUCUGACGGAUUCACAUUGUAGAAAAUUGGCACAGCCCUCCGUUCUUUGGUAUUUUGGGACUGUAAUAUCUUCACCAGUUCAUCUAGGCACCACUUUGAGGAUGCAUAGUUUUCUGACAAAACAAUGAUGGAAUGUCUUGAUCCUUCAAUUGCUGUAACAAGUGCCGGAGUUAUCAACUCACCUCUUCUAAGCUGAUAAUCCAUAAAGGUCUCAAUUCCUUUUGCACGCAAGGCCUUAUAGAGAUGGUCAGUAAAAGUGUAGCGGGUAUCUUCUCCUCUAAAACUAAGGAACACAUCAAACUUCCAGUAAGAAAUAGUAGUAGUAGUAGAAGAAGAAGAAGAAGAAGAAGAAGAAGAUGCCAUAAUGGAAGAAGAAAAAUAGGCUAGGUUUAACAGAGAGAUCUAAGCUGUACAAACUCGAGUUAAUAGAUCUUGAUGCUAAAGAAGCCAACUACUUACGGACAGAUUCAUCGAGGGCCGGUUGUUACGUGUGUGAACACUCACAGAAUAUAUUAUGAUUAUUUUUUUCUUAAUUUUUUUUUUUUUUUUAAUGUUUGUUUUAAGAUGCCGUGGAUGACUUAAUUCAAUAAUAUUUUAUUAUUGUUAUAAUUAUACAACUCAAGAGGCACAUGAACCACCAAGUUGAAGUCCUUAUUCAAACAUGCCUGUGAUUAUUUAAGUUCAAGUAAUUUCUUAUCAUAAGCUCCAUUCACACAACAACUUAAAGAAAUCAAAUCCAUCUUAAAUUCAAUGAAUGGAACUAUCAAAAGCUCUUGUAGUUGUUAAACAUAGCUUCUAUAAUAUAUAUAUAUAGAUAUUCUUUAACAUCCAUCUCCUUAAUAUUCAUUUUGGUGGAAUUUCUUUUCUAAUGUGUUUUCAUAAACCGCACUAAACCAGAGACCCCUAUUCACAAAAGUUCUUGUGCCUAAGUAUGCUCAUUGUAAUCGGUAAAUAUUUUCAAAUUGUGAAACCAUUUUUCUUAAUUUGUUUAAUGCUUUGGAUCUUCUCAAUGACACAAAGACUUUCCGUGUGAGAGGGACAAUAGGUUAUUAAUACUAAAUACAAAGACUCUGUCAAGAAUAUAAAAUGGUUAUUUUCAUAUAUUUGUUUGAAGCAUUUGUUCAAAGAUGCUUGAAACUUUUUAAUAUAUUAAUGCUUAACUUCAAUUAGUCAUGUUAAAGCAUUUUUCUUAAUUUGUUUAAUGCUUUGGAUAUUUUCAAUGCUACAAAGACUUUUCGCGUGAGAGUAGGUUAGCAAUAUUAAAUACAAAAUACAAAGACUUCGUGAAUAAUACAAAAUGGUUAUUUUUACAUAAUUUUUUUGAAGCCUUUGUUCAAAGAUGCUUAGAAUUUUUUAAUGAAAUCAUGAUUUUAUAUAUACAUAAAACCGCGUUCAAAUGUUUGUGGCUUCUAAGAAACAUCAAUCUUUUAAAAAAAAUAUACGAAGCUUUGUAAACUCAUCUAACUUUCCAAUGCAACAAUUUGGUUUAAAUAAAUAAAAUUAAUUUUUUCAGAUCUCUUAAUGGGUAUUUGAUAAACCAACUUAAUAACUUAAAGUGACUUAAUAACUUAAUUUAAAUUAUUAAGUAAAUCAAAUAUAUUUGAUAAAAUAACUUAAUAAUAUGACUUAAAAUAAAAAAUAACUUUAAGUAAUAAAUAAAAACAAUUAACUUAUUUUUAAGUCUGUAUCUUUAUUUUACUUUUUUAUCUUCAUUUAUCCUAAUUACUUUUAGGAUCUCUUUAGUUACUCCAUGACCUUCAUUAUUACUCAAUCUCUUUUGUUCUAAUUAUAAUUUAUAAAGAUAGAUAUGUCAAUUUGAUAAUUUAGAAUAAAAUUUAAAUUAAUUUUAUCAAGUAACUUUAAUACUUAAAGUAAGAAUUAAGUAAUAAAUUUUAAGUAUGAGAAUUAAAUGUUUCAAGCCAACCUUAAUACUUAAUACUUUUCUACACAGCCAAAUCAUACAGCCACAGUAAAUGGGAAGGUUGCUUUCCUUUGCUUUAUAUGGAGUAUUUAACACAGUAGUCUACAAAAGCUUAAACGUUAAGACAUCUGUGGAAAAUCCUGUCAUUGACGGAUCUUUUUCCUAUUUUUUUAGGUUCCUGCCAACCUGGUGCUCUCUCGAACAAGGGUUUACAAGGGUUUUCAAGUCAUUCAUCCCGUCCUUGUUGCAUCCAAAAACCAUCCGGUAAGUCAUAUCGUCAAUAACGUCAGCAACCUUUGUAGUAAUAUCCACCACCUCUAGAGCUGCUGCCAUUUCUUGUUGUGACUGCACCAACAUCCCUAGCACCUCCUUCCUCAUUGAGGCAAAGGAAUUGAUUUUUGCAGUUCUAAGAAGCUCUACUGUACACAAUUUUCCCUAAAUCCCCUAGGUCAGGUCUUUGAAGGCUUGGAGUUUAGGCGGGCUGGCAAUGACAACAUGAUUCAUGGGUUUUGAGGAAUAGCUUGUUUAUUUGGGGCGAUGAGACUAUGAUUGUUGGAACACACCCAGAUCGCAUAAACAUGAUGGGGCCAUACUUCUUGGCUAACCGACUGAGGUUGGGGUGAGGAAGAUUUCCCAGCAAUAAUCGGAAACUCCUGGAGACUGGGUGGUAGUUUCCGGAAUUCAAUGGGGAGUAACCCACUCAUUUAAAAAGUUCCUAAACCAGAAAAUAAAUUGGAACAAAAUUAUCAACAAACAGAAAAUAUAUAUAAAGGUAUAAAAAAAAUAGUAGAAUAAUAACAAUAUUGUUUAAAAUAACAAUAUUAUUUUAAACAAUGUGUAUAAAUAUUAUUGACAAUUUAUGUAUUUUUUUAAUUUUCAUUCUCAAUUUUAUUUAACAUUAAUUUAUGAAACAAAUUAUCAUUUCCACCUUACAUUUCUAUAUGUAUUUAAAUACAAAAAUUAAAAUUAUUAAAUUCAUUUUUAUUCAAAAGAGAAUAAAAUAGAAAGAAAAUAUCCAUUCUCAUUGUUUAUUCCAUGCACCAAACAUGCCCCACAAGGAAAAAGGAGGGAGUUGGUCAGAGCACAUGCGCAUCAAAAUCAAAGCAAGAUGGUUGAACAAUCUUCACAAAUGAACAAUUAACAUUCAUUGGCUCAUUUAAGUAUUAAUAUGUCCUUAGAAUAAUUAUAUCGUGCACUCAUAAUAGUAUUUUUUUUUUAUAGAUUCUAUGUAUCGGUCUCAAUUUAUUUAUUAAAAAGCAUUAUGAUAUUAUACAAUCAAGCAUCUUCCAACAAGUGCUUGAAAGAACUAAAAGGAAAAAGGAGUUGGUGAGAGCACAUGGGCGUCAAAAGCAAGGACAAAAAUUUUGCUAUUACCGAUAUAUCAUGUAUCGGGACCUAUGGGAACGAUAUCGAGUGGAGAAAUGUCAAUCAAGCAAAAUUUUAGGAAAAAUCGCCAAAAUUUGUCUAUAUGGUGAAAAAUCAAUGAUAUUUCCCAAAAUUUUACAAAUGGUCAAUGCUCCAAAAAUGGCUUAUAGUGCACAACUGGGCCAACCACUAGAGCAACUUCGUCCCUUAGUAAAUAUGUUGCACCAAAUAUAUAUAUAUAUAUAUAUAUAUAUAUAUAUAUAUAUAUAUAUAUAUAUAAAAGUCAUUACAUAAACAAAAUCUAAAAUGAAUAUUUUAAGAAACUUAUUAAUUAUAAUUAUUUUAUAAUUAAAUAAAAAAAUUUAUUUAAUUGAUUACCAAAAAUAUAAAAAUUAUUAUGAUAGUUUUCUUCACAGUGUAUUUAAUAUCAUUAAGAUAUUAAUUAAAAAUUUUAAAAUUAUACAUAUAUCAUCAUUUAUUUUAUAUCAUUUAAUAAGUAAAUUAAGUAGAUUAUAAUUUUAAUAUUAAAUAUAUUUUAAAAUUAAACAUAUUAUAAUUAAAUAUCACAAUAUUAUUAUGGAAUAAUAUUUGAUGCAAUUUAAUAAUAAAUAUAUACUUGAAAAAUUCAUUUUUUUUACGCAUAUAAUAUUAUUAUCAAAUAUGAUAAAUUAUAUCAUUUAUAUAUUAAAUUUUUUAACAAAACAACUUUAAAAUGUCUAUUAUACUUUUAAUUAUAUUUUAUGAAAUUUAUAUAUAUAUACCAUGAGUUUUAAUCAAUUUUAGGUUUACCGAUAUAUCUCCAAUAUAUCUUUAAAAUCGAAGUGUCAAUAUACUCAUAAUUAUCGAUAUUUUCAUCCUUAGCCAAAAAUAAGACAAAAGGAAUAAUGUACUUUUGAAUAGGUGUUUCAAACAAAUAAAAACAGAGAAAAAAACCAAUUCUCUUUUACAGAGUUUAGUGGGCAACUCGAUCUCACGCCUAUCAGAGACCAAACCAAAAAAGACAUGACCAAAUUUUGUAGCCAUGCAAUCCCUUAGCAACCGAAAAAGGUAUGCCCAAAUUUUGUAACCAUCGUGUCUUACCCGCAAGACCCACAAAAAAGAUUUAGGGGGUGGGUCUGAAGUUGAUGUCGAUGACUGUUAUUGUAAAAUACAUUUCCGUGUAUUGGGUCUGAAGUUGAUGUUUUCAUUAUAAAAAUCAAAAUAUGGUAACAACUAUAAAUUUAAUUAUUGUUUUAAUGUCAGGGUUACAUGAUUCUCCUUCAUUUCACACGGAAUUGAUUUUCACGUGUCUUUCCGCUUUGCCCACUGAUCUGAAACUUCCACCUCUUUUCGCAAUUUUUUCCGAGUCAAAUUCGCGUGGUCUCUUUAUCUGUUCCUGAGACUAUCCUUUAUACAUGUCUAUUUCUUAAACCACCCUUCUCCAGGAGUCUACUUUCGCCUACUCAAUUGAAUCUUGGUUUCUCCAUCGCUAGAUAUUUUGCUUUGUGAACAAAUUUCAACCAUUCAUUUAUCUCGCCUCUCUCGGCAACUCAUCACUGAUUCUCUUCUCUUUUUCUUUCUGAGUUUUGUUUCUGUGAUCUCCUACAAGCCAUGGAUUGUAUAAACCCAAUCCUUGAUGUUGCCAUCACUGCCACACGUGCAGCUCAUGGCACCGGUCUGCCAGAAACCCUUGAAUAUUUGAGAGACGCCAUGGUGAUCCUGAAGCACAAGGCUAAUGAUGUGAAGGCCGCGGUGGAUUAUGCUGAGGAAAACCGCAAGAUGCGACGGACACAUGAAGUGAGUAACUGGCUCCUCAGUGUAGAAGUCUUGGAAAAGGAAGUGAUGGAGAUACUGCAGAAGGGUGAUCGGGAAAUCCAGCAGAAAUGCCUCGGAACCCGCUUUCCCAAGAAUUACCGGUCAAGCUACAAGAUCGAGAAGAUAGCAAGUGAAACGAUUGGUGUUGUCACUGAACUGAGGCACAGAGGCGAUUUCAGCAUUGUGGUUAUUAGGCUGCCUAGAGCUGAUGUGGAUGAGCGGCCAAUGGAGAAGACUGUGGGCUUGGAUCGGAUGUAUGCAGAGGUUUGCAGAUGCAUCCAAGAUGAAGAACCGGGAAUUAUUGGAUUGUAUGGUAUGGGGGGUACCGGGAAAACUACCCUCAUGACCAAAGUGAAUAAUGAGUUCUUAUGCAUUCAUGACUUUGAAGUAGUCAUCUGGGUUGUAGUAUCCAGGCCAGCAACUGUGGGAAAAGUACAAGAAGUUAUUCGCAACAAGUUAGACAUCCCGGAUGAUAGAUGGGGAAACAGAACUGAGGACGAAAAAGCAGUAGAAAUUUUCAAAAUCUUGAAGGCAAAAAGGUUUGUGAUGCUGCUAGAUGAUGUAUGGGAGCGUCUUGAUCUCAAAAAAGUGGGGAUUCCUUCACCCAAUUCCCAAAACAGGUCCAAAGUAAUAUUAACAACCCGCUCUCGGGAUGUUUGUCGGGAUAUGGAAGCUCAACAAAUCCUUGAGAUGGAGCGUUUGACACAAGAUGAUGCCAUUAAUUUGUUCAUGGAGAAGGUUGGAAAGACUACUCUAAAUUCACAUCCGGAUAUACCCCAACUCGCUGAAAUUGCUGCUAAAGAAUGCCAAGGCUUACCACUUGCACUUGUUACUAUUGGGCGAGCUAUGGCUGGCAAGAACUCUCCACAAGAAUGGGAGCCAGCAAUACGAAUGUUGAAGACUUAUUCAUCAAAGUUUUCAGGUAUGGGAGAUCAUGUAUUUUCGGUUCUCAAAUUCAGGACCUGUAAAAUGACACCAUCAAGGCGUGUUUUUCAUAUCUUGCUAUAAUAUUGGGAAUGAAAUUCUUAUAAGCUUGUUUCCUGUGAUGUUCAUCUCUCUACUGCUCUCUCAGCUUCCACGGCGGCUCCUUUUGCUUCUUCUCAAUGGAGUUAUGAUGUGUUCCUUAGUUUUAGAGGAGAAGACACCCGCUUUACCUUUGCCGCUCAUCUCUAUGUAGCCUUGCACAGGAGAGGAGUCAACACUUUCUUUGAUGACCACAAAAUUAGGAGAGGCGAAUCCAUAUCUCCAACACUCGUAAAAGCAAUUGAAGGAUCAAGGUCUUCUAUCAUACUUCUCUCUCAAAACUAUGCCGGUUCAAGUUGGUGCUUAGAGGAACUAGUCAAGAUACUGGAAUGCAGGAAAACCAUGGGACAACUGGUUCUGCCCAUUUUCUACAAUGUGGAUCCAUCAGAUGUGCGAAGACACAAAGGGAGCUUUGGAGAGGCCUUGGUUAAGCAUGAAAAUACUUUGAAGCAUGAUAUAGACAAGGUGAAGAAUUGGAGGGAGGCCCUUAGUGAAGUUGCCAAUUUAGCUGGCUGGAAUUCACAGAAUAAGUAAGUUUCCUCCCCCCCCCCCCUCUUUUUUUAGUCUUUUCCUUUCCAUGUUUACCUCUAAUUGUUAUUUUUGAAAUUUCCAAUUUAACCCUUGUUUGGUAACUAUUAUCAACUGUUGAGAGAAUAAUUUUUUGUUUUUAAAAACAAGAAAUACAUUGUUUUUUGAAAAAUCUUUUAGGAUUGUUUGUUUACUAAUUUUUUUAAAUAAUUUUUUAUUCUCUAAAACAUAAAAAAGGUUUGACAACCAAAAAACAAAAAAUAUUAUGCUAUUCUUAAAAACAAAAAAUUAAGAUGUUUUCAAAUACAAUAAUUUAGCUAUUCUAAGUUAUUUUCACUUUUUUAGAACUAUUUUAAAAAAAUAAUUAUACAAAUAUGAAGAAUAAUUAAAAAUAAAACACUAUAUGUUAAAGUUAUUUUUGAAACAUAUUUAAAAUAUAGAAAAUAAAUUAAAAAUAUUUCAAAUUCCAAACAGGUUUUUGUUUUAUAGAAUACUAAAGAACAAUUUUAAAAAAUAUUCUCAAAAACUUAUUUUUAAAAUUGUUUUAAAAAACAUUUCACAAAUAGAGUCUUAGUACAUUGUUUUCAACUGAUUUUUCUAAGGGUUAUUUUAAAAUAUAUUUAUACAAAUAGGAAAAAUGAUUGAAAAUAAAAUAUUUAGGAUAAAAGUUACUUUUAAACUAUAUUCAAAAGAUAGAAAACAUGUUUAAAAUAUUUUAAGUCCUCAAAUAGAGUUUUUCUAAACAAAACAUCAUUAAACAAUUUUUAAAAAUUAUUUCUAAAAUCAACAUUUCUUAAAUAAAUUCUUAUACCUUGUUUGGUAACUAUUUUCAAUAACAUUUUCGGAAAACAGUUUUUUAUGAUAGUUUUUGAAAAAAUUUCUUUGAUGUUUUAUUCAGAAAAAUUAUGUUUAUUUCUAUAUUUUAAAAAUAAAUUUUAUAGUAAUACUUUAUUUUAAAUCAUUCUUGUUAUUUGUAUCACUAUUUUUUUUUAAAAAAGCCCUAAAAAAUAAAUUAAAACAACCAAAAUAUGUUAUACGAAAACAUCUUAUUUUUUAUUUUUAAGAAUAAAAAAUAGUAUUUUUAAUUUUUGGCUGUGAAAUAUAUUUUCCUGUUUUUGGUUCUGAAGUAUGGAAAAUUGUUUAUGAAAACAAUUGCCAAAUAAGCUUAUUUUCCAUUUUGUUUAGACAUAAUAUUUAAAAUUCUCAACAAACAUUCAAUAACGCAUGAAAUUGGAAUGUGACCCAUUAUAUUUUGAUUACCUUGUUAAUUUAUACUUAAGUAGAAUUAAGCGCAAUCUUUUUUUCUUUAUUUUCACUAACUUUUAAUGGAUUCCUAGGCUUACUACAUGCAUCUGCAUAAUACCUGGCAGGUCUGAGCCUACGUUUCUCAAGGAAAUCGUCAUUGAUGUUUUGAAAAGAGUGUUUGGAUUAUCGGCAGGUGAUGCUAAGGCAAUAGUAAAAGAAGAUUCCCGUAUACAAAACAAGGAAGUGGUACCAGGUCCACACUCAACCACUGUUCACAUUGCAGGACAGUCUGGCAUAAGUGCUAGAGGUAGGAGACCACCCAUUGAAAAUGUUGGGGAAGAAUUAAUUGACUCAGACUCAGACUCAGGAUAUGAUGACGUGGAAUCCAUAUUAACAAAAGUAUGGACAAAUUUAUGAGAACAAGAGAGUGAAAUUUAUAUUUUUCCUUUUGUAAAUCAAGUCAGUGCUGUUGAUCAGUAAAACAAAACCUAUAAAUGUGAUAGUAAUGGUGGAGUGAAAGUUGUAAUCAGGAACGAGUGUGAUGAUAGUACACAUAUUUAUUUUUGUAAAAAAAAUAAUAUUAAAUUAGUUAUCUUGACAAUGAGUUUUUAUAUUUUAACAUAUUUAAAAAUGUGUUAAAUUAUUAAUUUUAUCAAAUUAUUACUUUCUAAUAUCAUAUUGUAAUUAUAUAAAAUAAUUUUCAUAUACUUUUAGAGCAAAAAUAAAGAAAUAAAGUUAACACUAUUUAUAAAUCAAUAAAAACAAAUCUAUGUAAAAUAGUAUAUGUGUUUGUUUUUAUAUAGAAAUAUGUUAUUAGUCUAUAUUUAGUAUGUUUAAAUAUAUAAAUUACACAAAUAAAUUGUUUUUUUUUACUAUUAUUGACAUUUAUAGAACUAAUAAAAUUAAUUUAAUAUAUUUAAUGUAGCUCAUUAAAUUCAAAAAUUUUCUAGCUAUUUAAGGACAUUACAUUAAGAAAAAGAACAAGAAUUAAUAAAAGGAAGAAUUAUGUUUUGGGGGUAGAUGGGCCCCCAAAUUAACAAAAGGUUCAUAUAACUCUUCAAAUUGAGUUGAAGGAUAUGAAAUAGUAACGGACAAAUAUACCCUUUAAGAACACAUAUAAAAUAUUUUAUAAAAUUAAGUUAAAUAAUUUUUUUUCAAUAAUUUUUUUUCAAAAAUACUAAAUUAAAUAAAAGUAGUUUUCAAAAAUAUUAAAUUAAAUAAUUUUUUUUCAAAAAUAUUAAAUUAAAAUUUUUUUUUCAAAAAUAUUAAAUUAAAUUUUUUUUCAAAAAUAUUAAAUUAAGUUAAAGUAUUUAAAAAAAAAUAUUAAAUUAAAUAUUUUUUUAAAAUAUUAAAUUAAAUGAAUUUAUUUUUAAAAAAUAUUAAAUUACAUAAAAGUAUUUUUUUUAAAUAUUAAAUUAAAUAAAAAAUAUUAAAUUAAAUAAAAGUAUUUUUCAAAAAUAUUAAUUUUUUUUCUCAAAAUCAACAAAGAGCAUUUUUGGAAAUACUGAAGGAUGAUAUCCUUCAACUCAAUUUCCAUACUUUCAUUGGGUCUUGGACUCAAUUUGAAGAGUUACAUGAACCUUUUGUUAAUUUGGGGGCCAUCUACCCCCAAAACAUAAUUCUCCCUUAAUAAAAUAUAGAGAGCAAGAGUGAUGGGCAUGCCAUCAAUUCAUUAUUACCACUAUUUUUUAUUUCAUCUCUAUAAUGAUUCCACCAAGUGAUUGCGCUUUUUAUUAUUUUUAUUUAUUUUUUCUGAGAUGGAUGCUAGUGACCUAUAUAUAUAUAUAUAUAUAUAUACAAUACCUCAAUGAUUGCUUUUCUUUUCUUUUUGCUUUCUCAUAUGAAAUUGUGAUUGAUUCUUUUUGCCAUUCAGUUUUCAUUUGAUAAUAUUAAGGUAAAUUCAUAAUAUUUCAACAAACAUCAGAAUUUUUUUUUCUACCAUUUCUUUAUGAAAAAUUAAAAUAGGCAAUAGCAACUAGCAGCAAUAAAUAAAUAAACUCAUACAAUAGAAAAAUAAAUUAGACAUUAGAAUUUUUAGAUGAAAAACCCCAAAAUGCAAAGGAAAAAACCACAGGACCUAGUUCAGUUCAAGCUUCCACUAUCAACAAUAAUGGGUUAUACUUGUCUUUUCUAAAAUAAUCUCUAGAGGCUACCAAAUACAUCAAGAGUACAUAUAACCUUGGAUUAUACAAUAUCUCUUAGCAAAAACAAAGAAGAUUGGAGAAAGUAUACAAAAAAAAAAAAAAAAUCAUUAUUGUUCACGGGCAGUAACAUCAGUUCCCGAACUCAAAAUCUAAUCUCCACCGUUCAGAUUGUAGAUACUUGAGUUUCAAACCUCUCCUCCAAAUUUCAACUCGAUUGGACCACAGAUGAAGUAGGAUCGGCUUGUUGAUAGAAUCUGGGCAGAUGCGUUUUUCUUCUCUCUCUUCUCUUCUCUUUUUUUUUUCCUUUUUUUCCUGAUCUUAUUUUUUUUAUUAAUGUAACUAACUUGGUCCCCAAGCAUAUGGGGCCCACUCCCUCACAUACAAGGGAGCCCAACAAAUCUCCCUCUCCCGACUAUGUGAGGGGCUAUACCAAGCCUGCUUGCUUUCAACAAAAUUGUAGUUUCUCUAUAGGUAUUGGUUUUAUCAUCAUAUUUGAUCCAUUCUCAUUAGUAUGGAUUUCUCAAGGCAAAACAAUUUCUUCUCUAGUGCAUCAUGAAUCCAAUGCUAUCUCACAUCAAUAUGCUUGUGAAAAUUCUGGAACCUCUUUAAGGUUUUCCUGGCUAUCAACAAUAUUUCCUACAAUAAUCCUAUUGAUUUGUUCUUGGAAGUCUAAAAAACCUUUGCUUGUGAAUUGUCUUAAAUCCUUAAUUUCUUUCUUAUACUGCCUUACUUCAUCUUGAAGAUCCUUAAGGGUUACGUCUUUGGUAGACUGCUGGUUAAAUCUAGUUAAGAUUUCACUUAAUUUAUAAGGAUUUACUAUCAUCUUAACUUCCUGCUUACUGACAAAUUUCUUAAGGACAUCAUAAAGGUCUUGCUUAGUUUUUUCAUCUUCAACUUUCCUUAAAACAUCUAGGACAAGUUCUUGAGCUUGGCUAAUGACAUUUAUAAUCUUAGGUUGGCAAUCACAAUUACCCUUAAUGCAUUCUUCUUGGUCACUAGAAGUUUGGCUUGAGAUAUCCUCACCACUACUAUCGAGUUGGUUAAUAUCAUCUUCAUUAUCUGAAUUAGUCCUUGAUUCAGACUCUAUGGAGUUUAACAUUACUUUACAAAUCAUAUCUUUUAAGUCUUUUGCUACAUUUAAGUUAUUAAUUUUCUACUUAACCCUACAAUUUUUCUUAUAGUGGCCUACUUUACCACACAUAAAACAAGCUAGCUUAACUUCUGAAGGGGCUUCUAGCUUUUUCUGGGCUUCUUUGUUCAUCCUUCUUUAGAUGUGCCUUUGUCUCUUGGUUUCAUUCAUCCUAUAGUUGCCAUGAGUUCCUCGCUUACUGUGAUAAAACUUUUCCUUACUAGGCUUUCUACUUAUUUGUUUCUUACUUUGCUUAGAGGGGGGCUUAGUUUCUUUAGGUUGAAUCCAAACUAGCUACAGAAUGAACCAAACUCAUUCUUGUAGAUCCUUUGUUCAUUUUUCAUCUGUUGCUUAAGCUUAAAGUCAUUGCAUAGUUUAAUUCUUUUAGAUGUGACAAUGCUUAUAAUUUCACCAUAAGUAAGCUUAUCAUAAGGUAUUUGUCCAUUAAACUGUUCCCUUAUCUUAAUCCUAAUUUUCUCAGAGAAAAGUCUAGGUAGUUCUGAGAUGAAUUUUUCUUUCUAAAAAGACUGGUUACAGUCUGAUCUUAGCAUGAAUUUGGUUAAGAAAACUUCUUUAUACCAUCUAAAGUCAUGAAGCUUGGGACACUUAAGGUUGGUUAAAAGAUUUGCAGUCUUAUCCUUAAUCUUUGUCAAAUCUCCAAUGAAGUGUUUUGAAAUAGAAUAUAUUAGAGUAGCCACUACAUCCUCUAUAUCUUGACCAUAUUCGUCCUUAACCACUUCAUUAUCCUCAUUAAUCCUAUAGGCUUUUAGGAUACCAUUUCUAUCCUCAAAAGUGAGAUAGUUAUCCCACCAUCCCUUAAGUUGACCUGUAAACCCAACAACACUUGUCUGAACUACAACAUGGUCUGACAAUCUAUUGUUUAACUUAUAGGUUGUACUAACCAUGGUCAUUUCUUGAAGCUUAGUGAGUAUGUUAUACUCAGUCAUACCAUCUAUGUUCCUUUCAUAGAUAGUGCCACUAGUAUACAAAGCUUGAGUAUACUGGUUUCUUUCCUCAUACUGCAUGUCAGGAAAGGUUGGUCUAGGGUAGUAAUUCCUAGAUCUUGGUAGUAAUUCCUAGAUCUUGGUAGUAAUUCCUAGAUCUUGGUAGUUCUUGGUUAUUGAUAAUCCUCAUAACAAUCUGGUUAGGAGGUUCCUUAAAAAUCUUAAUUAGUUCAUCAACCUCUGCUUCAGAACUAAUUUCUCUUUUAACCAUAUUGAUUCUCCUAUGAGAAGGCUAAGGUGUCUCACGGACAACAAGGUUUUCCUUAACCUUUUGGCUUAUCCUAUCAAUAAGGGCUCAAUCAAUAUGGGGAUUCUCUAGAAAUUUCUUAUAGAAUUCAAAAGGCUUAACUAAAGGCUUAUUAUAUUUCUUAACAAACGUAGCCUUAAUGUGGUCUUAUGUUUCAAUGAUCUCCUCAAACCUGUUGAGUUGAUUGCCUAUGGUCUUAAGAAACAUGUUAGUGUAGUUGUUUUGUUCCAUGAUUCUUCUAACGUCAACAGCACUAGCAGUUCCUUUAUCAUUUGACUUAGUCUUAAAAGGUGAAGCUUUGACUAUGGUGCCAUUAAUGUUCUUUUCUAUCUUAGCUUCUAGAUGAUGGAUGGAUUCUAUGACAGUAUUGUCACUAGUUUUCCAUAUCUUAGUUUUUGUUGAUGUGUAAUUGACACGCAUACAAGGAUAAUCUGGAUGUUGAUCUUGUUUGAAGAGUUAAAACCAGAUCCAAUACUUAAUGUUCUUUUUUUCUUGUCUUAAGUAUGUGUAGAAUUCUUCUUGGUAAAGGGUUCUAGUAUCUUUAGGGACCUUGCUAAAGAACCAAACUCUCCUUUGCUUGUUGACUUCAUAAUAAAAGUCUUUCCUUAAGAGAUCCUUGUUGAUCUCAAAGUUCUCAUCACUUAGACUUAAAGUGUUAAUCAAUUGGGAAUAAGUAGGAGACAUGUCAGAAGAUUCAUCCUGAUGUGAUUCCUAAGUAGACUCAUUUUCCUCAGUAUAAAAAGUUCUGGCCAAAUUGGUGUGACUUCUAACACCUAUUAGCUUAAUGUUCUUAAGAUUUGCUAAAUUGGAUCCUUCUUCUAUCCUGGUAGUUCUUAUUGGGAUAGAUGGACUUGAAGCUCUAGAGGGCUCAUAAUCUGGAAUUUUAGGGCUACUAGAAUGACGGAAAGAGUUGGAGAAAAUCAUAUCUCCUCCUCCAUUAGAAUAUUGAACAAUCUAUUCAAUCCUUUCAGAUCUCUGCUCUACAACUGGAACGACAUUAGCAAAAUGCCAAUUUUCUGGAAACUCAACCUCAUCCACUUGAUUUUCAUGGGGACUAUGAAAUUAGACUUGUUUAUCAUAUCAGAGUAGAAGAGAGUGGUCUCACCCUUAGGACUAGUGCACAGUGCUCUAUAUCCAACGCUUGUGGUCAUGCUUUUAUAGGCAAACCUGGUAAUGAUGAAAACAGGAUUGUUUCCUGGCUUGAACUUAAAGUCAUGGGUCUUAACAUGAAGGACAACCGAAUCUAAGAUAUCGACAUCUCUUAAUCUAACUAUGAAGUUAGGAAAACAAUGGAAAUAAACAGGACCAUCAUUUAAUCCUGCUUGGACAGCUCCAAUAAUAGAAUCUCAGUAAACAAGAUGUUUAUUAUCCCUUAAACACAUGACAAUAGAGGUGUUUAGACCUAAUCUUGUUAAAGGCUUAGCUGCAACUUGAAUCAUACCAAAGUGUAUGAAGUUGUAAUCUCGCUUAUGUUUCUCAAUGGACUUGCUAUCUAAGAGUCUUAUGACUUGAUCAUCGUAUUCUAAACUUACUGACAUUUCAGAGGUCUUGAUGGUGUAGUCUGUGAAUAACUUAAAGGUUUCUUUCUUAUAAAUUUCUUGAUUAGGUAACUUGGGUAACUUCCAAUUAUCCAAAUCAUUUUGGAUCUUAGGAUAAUUGAUCUCUUCACUGUUUACUACAGCGUCUUGAGAACCUGUGGAUUUCCUAUACAUGGUUCUGAAAAUCGAACUCAUUUUAAGGUUUUAAUUUAGAGCCCAAUAGCAGAUUAACAGACCUGAUGAGACGUCUUCCCAAGCCUUUUCGAGCCCUAACAAACGUCUAUCCACGGUUAACAACUGGCUCAACCCGACAGGAAUCGCGCUCCUCGGCACACUACUACCUUUCCUAGGAUAGAUCAAAACACCUAAAACAAACCCGAUUUUCCUUCCCGUGGCUCAGAUACCAUAGACACCCAGGAUGAGGUAAUAUGCAAUGAAAAUAUGAAUUAUGCUAAAAUUCAAAACAAAGAAGAGAAAUCAGAAAAUACACAAGAUAAUUAACCAAAUAAAUUUACAGAAAAUGAACCACAAACUUUAUUUACAUAAUUUGAAAACCAUCCAUGAUAGGAGGUAGAAUAAAAACGUAAAACAUACUUAUAGUAAGGAGAAUAUCUUACAAUGGGAGAAGGGAGGAAAGCUUUGCUUGAGAGCUUACAUGAAAGGUAGGAGAGAGAGAGAGAGAGAUUUGGAAGUGCAAAUAACCGGUGCUUACAACUGAGGAUUGAACCUCUUUAAAUAGAAAAAAAAUGAAUAUUAAAUAGUACAAAUUAGGAUACAAAGCACUAUUUGCUUUUGAAACCCGUGCAUGAAUAGUAAUCCCAUGAGUGAAUAGUGAAUAGUGAAAAAGUGAACAGUAAAAGUCGCUUUCUACUAUAGCACUUUAGACUUUUUCACCGAGAAUCUUACUUUCGGCUGAGUGAUAGCUGACAGGCUGUUUCUGGACUGUAGAGUCACAUGUUUGAUGUUUGAGCUGGAGCAUAUUCUUAUCGGUAGAGCAUCACGAGGAAUUUGCUUAGGGUAAAAUGUAAUCCUUACGAUGCUCAUCCAAGAGCUUGACAUCUUCAGUAACAAACUUAGUUGGAAGAGGAUCCAUUCUUUUACUGUAGAAGAUCUGAUGAAUAGGAUUUGCGGCAAUGAGAUAUCCCAUGUUCUUUGGAUAAGCUUCAAAAUCUCUGCUAAUGAUUCUGGCUCUCCAAUGCUUGAUUUGAUUAGUAAGGGGUUCAACACAAAUAUCUAUAAAUUGCAGAGGACAGGAUAACAAUGUUGGUCUUCUAUUCUAGUAAUGCAGUGAAACAAUGUAUUGAGCUGGAAGAAGAUUGCCAUUAGAAAUCCACUCAGGAGUUUUGCUGAUGAUGAUGGCGUCAACGAAUUUCUUGUUCAUUUUAAAUCCAUGAGUUAGACCAAGUGCUAUCUUUCUUCCAAACUUUGAUGCUUGACUUGGAUCUGGGCAUAUGAUUUGAUGAACUAAGCCAUAAUCCAGAAGUAAUUAUGGAGUUAGGAUUAAUUCCUCAUUCUUAAAAGGAAGGCUAAUUGGCAUGUAAUAUUGCAAAUCAAGGCAUACACGGCUGAUUACGAAAUUUUUGUUGCAGUUGCAAAGAAUCUUCUUGAUGCCUUGUUGGUACUGAAUAGAUUCUUUGAUAGUUCUACAAAGUUUAGAAUCAUCAAAUUCUCUGUCCAUGACCAAUUUUAACCCAGGGACUAGAAGACUAAUAGUGGUUGAGAGAUAGAUGUGAAGAUCCUGGAGGUAUGCUGAGAUGAAAACUUGUUUUUCUUCAACUGAAGCUUUGUUUUUUCAUAGAUUAGAAAACGUAGGUCUUGCUUAAGAGGGUACAACUUUUCUCUCUUAUGGAAAUACAUCCUUAGCUUAAAGUAAUUCCACUCAUCCUCACUCAAUUUUUUUUCAUCCACCAGUGGGGUGGACUGCUUAUUCUCACUAUUUUCCAAUGGGGAAAAUGAGGCUUGGACUUUUAACAUGAGCUGAUGAAAGUCAACUAUUUCUAGUUUCCUUUCUAAAGUCUAACAUCUUUCUUACAAAUCACUAAUACACUUGAUAUAAUCAGAUAAAGGGUUAGUAUUAUUAAAAGAUGGAUUUGUGGGGAAGGAAUCCUCCAUAGAAGGUAGAGAACCCGAACUUGAAGCUUUAUCCCUACUAGGGGAUGCUAAAGGAAUAAGAUGUUUGGAGUAGCUGCAAGAACCUGCUACUUCAAAAUGUUCAUAAUAGAGCGGCAUGAAUUUCUCAGAAAAAGCUUAAUGGGAUUUCUUAGAAUCUGGAGAUUUCUUAAAGGGCUUAAGAGGUUGUUUUUCUUUUUUGGGGGGCAUGUUCUUGUGAAUCCUGCAAAAAUUCACGAGUUAGGAAAUCAGGGAUUGAGUUAUUUUCUCAUUUAAUAUACUCAAUUUGAAAAUCAAAAUUGCUUAAAAUAGCUUGCCAUCUAACAAAAUAUGCUUAGAAGCUAUAUUUUUAACAUCAUUUAGUAAAACUGAUUUUGCAUAUUUGCAAUCAACUCUUAAUAAAAAUUCUUGAUUCAAAAUAUCAUAUUGAAACUUUGAAAUGCAUAAAACAAUGCUUAAAAUCUCUUUUUUAAUGGUGCUAUAGUUGAGUUGAGCAUUAUUACAAGUUCCUAAAGUAUAUCUAACCAACAUCUCUUGGUUAUCAAUCCUUUGCUUAAGAAUACCACCAUAACCAAUGUUUGAGGCAUCAAUCUCAACAAUCUUAAAGGCUUUUGGAUCAACUAAGACAAGACAUGGUAGGGUCUUGACUCUAGACUUGAUAGUUUUGACAAUCUUGGUAUGAUCCUCAUUCCAAGGUAUUGGGUUUUUCUUAAGUCGUUGUCUUAAAGGGGCACAAAGCUAGCUUAAAUCCUGAAUAAAGUCUGACACAUAAUUAAGGCUUCCUAAGAAACGUUGCAAUUAUUUCUUAUCCUUAAUCUCAUCAGGAAACUUAUUAGCAAACUCUAUUGAUCUUUGAAUGAGAGUAAUUGUUCCUUGGUGAAUAUGAUGUCCUAGGAACCUUAUCUUAGUCUGGAAAAGGUUAAUCUUGGUGGUUGAUAAGCUUAAACCAUUACUUUUAACUGUCUCAACAAACUUAUUGAGAUGUUUCCAAUGCUGCUCAACAGAGUCAGAGUAUACCAAAACAUCAUCAAUGUAGACAAUGAUGAAAUCAAAAAACUGGUUAAAGAUAUCAUUCAUUAUAUUCUGGAAUUCUAAAGGAGCAUUCUUAAGGCCAAAGGACAUUACGUUCCAUUCAUAAUGUCCAAAGGAAACCACAAAGGCUGUCUUAUACCUAUCUUUUUCAGCAAUCUGGAUUUGCCAAAAUCCUGAUUUCAUGCCAAACUUAGAGAAGACUUUGGACUUAACUAACCUUUGAAGGAGGUAUUUCUUGUUUGGAAUAGGAUACCUAAUCCAUCUUAAUGCAUCAUUAAGAGGUUUAUAGUUAAUGACUAGUUUAGGUGUUCCUUUUUCUAAUUCAGCUUGUUUCUGAACAUAGAAGGCUAAACAACUUCAAGGGGACUUAGACUUUCUUAUCAACUUCUUGUCAAGAAGAUCCUGGAUCUCUUUUUUACAAUAGCUUAACAAAUCCUUAUUCAUCUGGAUUGGUCUUGCUUUAGUGGGAAUAUUUUUCUCACUAAAGUCUGGUUCAUAAGGUAAUUCUACCUCAUGAUAUUUCCUAUGCCAAAACGCAUUAGGAAUGUUAGAGCAAACUUCUCCAACAAUCUUAUCCUUAAAUCUUUCUAUUGCAUCUUGAGUUUUCUUAAUUUUCAAUUGAUCUUCUAUUCUAAUCAGAUUAAUCUCCUAUUUUAAGAGAUUGACAUGAUUUUCUUUGGCUCUUAUCACUUAAUCCCUUAAGGUAUUUAUACUCCUUUCACCAGAUGGAUUGGUAAAUUCAAAAAGAAUUUCCUUAUUUAAAAGCUUUGUCCUUAAACCUUGCUCAUCUACCCACAUGGGAAAGAUAGAGCCUAAAAAGGGGCUUCCAAGGAGAGCUUUUUCCUUAAGAUCCUUAACUAGGAUGAAAGUUUGCUUAAUACAAAAUACCUUGGUUACAAAUAUGAGCAUCUGGCAACUUAUACGUAAUAGCAAGUCUUUUACCAUUAGCUCCAAAAAGAUUUUUUCUUAUUUUUUCAUUAAGUUGAGUACGUACUAGACCUUCUUGUAGGCAAUUCAAAGCUGCUCCUGAAUCAAUCAAAGCAACAAUAUCAAUGGCAAAUUUAUUCUUAAUUACUAUAGUAAGAGAGACUUCCCACCUUUAGAAAAUAACCCUACUAAUAGUAUUCAAGUAUACAUCUGCCUCUUCAUUAUUAGCUUGUGAAGAUUCUGGAACGUCUUCAAGGUUCUCCUCAUUAUCAACAAGAUUUCUUACAAUAAUCCUAUUGAUUUGUUCUUGGAGGUCAGAAAAACCUAAGCUUGUGAAUUGUCUUAAAUCUUUAAUUUCUUUCUUAUACUACCUUACUUCUUCUUGAAGAUCCUUAAGGUUUAUGUCUUUGGUAGACUGCUAGUUAAAUCUAGUUAAGAUUUCACUUAAGUUAUAAGGAUUUACUAUUGUCUUAACUUCUUGCUUACUAACAGAUUUCUUAAAGACAUCAUAAAGGUCUUGCUUAGUAUUUUCAUCUUCAACUUUCCUUAAAACAUCUAGGACAAGUUCUUGAUCUUGGCUUAUGACAUUUAUAAUCUUAAGUUGGCAAUCACAAUUACUCUUAAUGCAUUCUUCUUGGUCACUAGAAGUUUGGCUUGAGAUUUCUUCACUACUACUAUCUAGUAGGUUAAUGUCAUCUUCAUUAUUUGAAUCAGUCCUUGAUUCAGACACUGUGGGGUUUAACAUAUCUUUUAAGUCUUCUGCAACAUUUAAGUUAUUAAUUUUCUGCUUAACCCUACAAUCUUUCUUAUAGUGGCCUUCUUUACCACACUUAAAAACAAACUGACUUAGCCUGUGAAGAGGGUUCUAGCUUUUUCUGGGCUUCUUUGUUCAUCAUUCUUUGGAUGUGCCUUUGUCUCUUGGUUUCAUUCAUCCUAUAAUUGCCAUAAGUUCCUCAUUUACUGUGAUAAAACUUUUCCUUACUAGCUUUCUACUUACUUGUUUAUUGAUAAUCCUCAUAUCAGUCUGGUUAGGAGGUUCCUUAAAAAUCUUAAUUAGUUCAUCAGUCUCUGCUUCAGAACUAAUUUCACCUUUAACCAUAUUGAUUCUCCUGUGAGAAGGUUGAGGUGUCUUAGGGACAACAAGGUUUUCCUUAACCUUUUGGCUUAUCCUAUCAAUAAGGGCUCGAUCAAUAUGGGGAUUGUCUAGGAAUUUCUUAUAGAAUUCAAAAGGCUUAAAUAAAGGUUUAUUAUCUUUCUUAACAAACGUAGUCUUAAUGUGGUCUUGUGUUUCAAUGAUCUCCUCAAACCUGUUGAGUUGAUCGCCUAUGGUCUUAAGAAACAUGUUAGUGUAGUUGUUCUGUUCCAUGAUUCUUCUAACGUCAACAGUACUAGCAGUUCCUUCAUCCUCUGGCUUAGUCUUAAAAGGUGAAGCUUUGACUAUGGUGCCAUUAAUGUUCUUUUUUAUCUUAGCUUCUAGAUGAUGGAUGGAUUCUAUGACAGUAUCGUCACUAGUUUUCCAUAUCUUAGUUUUUGUUGAUGUGUAAUUGACACGCUUACAAGGAUAAUCUGGAUGUUGCUUUUGUUUGAAGAGUUAAAACUAGAUUGAAUACUUAAUGUUCUUCUUUUCUUGUCUUAAGUAUGUGUAGAAUUCUUCUUGGUAAAGGGUUCUAGUAUCUUUAGGGACCUUGCUUAAGAACCGAACUCUCCUUUGCUUAUUGACUUCAUAAUAGAAGUCUUUCCUUAAGAGAUCCUUGUUGAUCUCAAAGUCCUCAUCACUUAAACUUACAGUGUUAAUCAAUUGGGAAUAAGUAGGAGACAUGUCAGAAGAUUCAUCCUGAUGUGAUUCUUAAGUAGACUCAUUUUCCCCAGUAUAAAAGGGUUUGGCCAAAUUGGUGUGACUUCUAACACCUGUUAGCUUAAUGACUUAGGAUUUGUUGAACUGGAUCCUUCUUCUAUCCUGGUAGUUCUUACUGGGAUAGAUGAACUUGAAGUUCUAGAGGGCUCAUAAUCUGAAAUUCUAAAGCUACUAGAAUGACAAAAAGAGUUGGAGAAAAUUAGAUCUCCUCCUCCAUCAGGAUAUUGAACAAUCUAUAUAUAUCACUACAAGAAAUAGGAUUUUUGGUGACGGUUCCAACCGUCACCAAAUCUUAUAUAUCCGUAACCAAAACCUAUUGUCACGGUCUUAUGAAACCGUGACCAAGCGUCACAGUAUGAGGCGUAGCUAAAAGUAUUGGUCACGGUUUCCUAAGUGAUCGUGACCAUAUGAUUUCCUUUUUUGUGACGGCCAUACAAAAACUGUGACAAAAAAAGUUAAGAAUACUUUGCUACUUAUUAAGUUGAUUUAGUCACGAUCAGGUAAUAAACCGUGACCAAAUGUAAUCUUAUGGUCACGGUCAAUGUCCUUGACCGUGACUAAAUGUAACCUUAUGGUCACGGUUAAUGCCCCUGACCGUGACUAAAUGUAACCUUGUGGUCACGGUCAGUGUCCCUGACCGUGACUAAAUGUAACCUUAUGGUCACGGUCAGUGUCCCUGACCGUGACUAAAUGUAACCUUAUGGUCACGGUCACUGUCCCUGACCGUGACUAAAUGUAACCUUAUAGUCACGGUCAGUCAUCGUCGAUUUUUGCCAAUUGAUCAUAGAUUUCGACGUGAUAAAAAGUCCUUUGAUGGAAAUGAAGAGCAUAGAGCAGCACCUAAACAAUUGUCUGGGGAAGAUGUCCUACAUCAAUUAGAUGGAAUGGAACAUAUUACUUUAGGGAAGACAUCAAAAAAUAAGAUGUCAGCAAAAAGAAAAAGAGAACAUGUUGAACUUGAGCAUAAUUGGAAAAAAAAAAAAAGCAUAUUUUUCCAAUUGCCAUAUUGGAAAACCCUCAUUUUACGUCACAAUUUGGAUGUAAUGCAUAUUGAAAAGAAUAUAUGUAACAGUAUAGUUGGCACCUUGUUGAGUAUUGAUGGUAAAUCGAAAGAUAACUUCAAUAGUCGUCUUGACUUGCAAGCUAUGGGUAUCAGAGAUCAACUUCACCCCAUACAAAGAGGGAAUAGGGUUAUAUUGCCUGCUGCAUGCUAUUCACUAACUUCAAAUGAAAAAAAGGAAUUCUGUAAAUUUUUGAAAGAAGUAAAGGUUCUAGAUGGUUAUGCUUCUAACAUCUCUCGGUGUGUACAAGUGAAUGAAAGAAAGAUAUUUGGAUUGAAGUCUCAUGAUUGUCAUGUUCUCAUGCAACAACUCCUUCCACUUGCAAUUCGAGGAGUUCUACAUAAGAAUGUUUGUGCUGUUAUAGUUGAACUAUGUAGUUUCUUCAAACAGUUGUGUUCUAAAGUGUUAAAGACUGAUCAAUUGGAGCACUUUGAGAAUGACAUAAUAGUCACACUUUGCAAAUUAGAAAGAAUAUUUCCUCCAUCAUUCUUUGAUGUUAUGGUGCAUUUAUCUAUUCAUCUUGCAAGUGAGGCAAAGGUUGCUGGACCAGUGCAAUAUCGAUGGAUGUAUCCUAUCGAGCGGUAUGUUCUCAUUCAAUUAAUCUUAUGGAUAUUAGGUUUCAUAUAGUUCAUGAAACAAAUCUAUCAUAUUGUGAAAUGACAGGUAUUUACGUACAUUAAAGUCUUAUGUCCGUAAUAAGAGUCGUCCAGAAGGUUCUAUUGCAGAGAGGUACAUAGCAGAAGAAUGUACAACCUUUUGCUCAAGAUAUUUGCAUGAUGUUGAAACGAAGCAUGACCAUGAAGAAAGAAAUUAUGUCAUUGAAAAUAACAUAACAAAUGGUGGAGGGUUAACCAUUUUCAAAUGCAUGGGACGUACAAUAGGGAAGUCAACAUCUCGUGUUCUUAGCACAGAAGAAUGGUCCCAAGCACAUUUAUAUGUGUUGACUAAUUGUGAGGAAGUGACGUCAUUUAUUGAGUAAGACACUUAUUUGAAUAAAACUUUAUACUAAUUCUCAUACAAAAAUUUAAUUUUGGUCUUUGUGAGCAUUAUAAUUAAUUUUUUCUUUUUUAUCAGAGAGCAUAAGCAAUCUAUAAGGGUUAAGCCUCGUAUUCGUGCACGAGAUGUAGAUUUGAUUCUCACAAGAGAAUUCAUUAGUUGGUUUGAAGAACGUGUAAGUUCAUUCACUACAUAAAUUGUUCUAUUAUCUAAUACACAUGUAUGUAUUAACAUCUUAUAUUUGAAUCUAUAGAUUAUACAAAUGCGACAUGAAGGUCCAAUUUCUGAACACAUACUAUCAUUGUCUCGUGGACCAAGUACAUCAGUUACAUGUUAUAAAGGAUACAUCAUUAAUGGGUUCAGAUUUCACACAAGAGAACGAGAAAAGGGGAAAAAAACUCAAAAUAGUGGAGUUGUUGUGACCGCAGAGGUAUCAAGCUUUGCAAGUGCAAGAUAUAAGAACCCAAUUCCUGGUCAUGUUUCUUACUAUGGUGUGCUAACUGAUGUAAUUGAGUUACAUUACCUUGGUGGAAAUAGAGUUAUUUUAUUCAAGUGUGACUGGUGGGAUGUAAUCAAUAGUGGAAGGGGAAUAAAAAAGGAUGAAUAUGGGUUCACGUGUUUGAAUUUUGAACGUACCAUAUGCAUAGAUGAGCCAUUUGUGCUUGCAUCUCAAGCAAAACAAGUCUUCUAUGUUCAAAAUUCAAAUGAGGAAAAUUGGCACACCGUUGUAGAGAUACAAACUCGAGGGGUUUAUGAUAUGAAUAAGAAAGUAUCUACUAAUGAUCCAGAGCCAUAUCAACAGUUUAUAACACCUCAUAGUCAACGUGAUGUGCAUGAGUUGGCCGAGAAUGAUUUAAUCAAUUGGGAUAGAAGUGAUAUUGCAGGAGAAACUAUCCAAACAGAUGUUCUACUAUCACGACAAGAAAACAUUGUUGAAAGACAUAAUGAAUUUAUUCAGGAUGAUGUGUAGCUAAUAAUAUUGGUAAGUACAUAAAUAUAUACUUACAAAAUAUACAAAUUGUAAUUUAUUUCAUAUUAUUUUUGUAACUUAUUUUGUAUUACUUUUUCUAAUUUACUUUAUUAUGUAGGAAAUGUCACAUCGAAGAGGAAGAGUACAAAUAGUGUCUCCAGAAGAUGAGUUGGACAAUCUACAACUCUUAGACAUACAACCUGCUGCAACUACUACUCCUAGUAGUUCUGAUCCUUCCGAUUCUUCAGAUCCUUCAGUUGUUGGUAUGAUUAAGAAAAUUAUGUUUAACUUUACAUAUGAUAAAUUUACAUAUGUUUAAUUUCUUGAAUGAUAGGUUUUUAAUGUUUAAUUUUAUAUAAGAUAAGUAAAUUAUGUUUCUUUUAAUUUCAUUAUUACUCUUAAUAGGUUCAUCCUCUAGCAAAAAGAGGACACGUGGCCCAACACGUAACUUAGAUUUACUUAGUAUGAAACCUGGGGAAAAAAAAACUACAAGAUUCAAUACCAGAGGGCAAGUUGUUUAUGAUGGAAAAGGGGAAAGAUUGUCAAGCUAUAUGGGAACAUUGGUGCGAUCUCAACACAAUGUGCCCAUCCAAGUUCAAGAUUGGAAUCAUGUUAGUGAAGAUGUGAAGGAAAAGAUUUGGGCCUUAGUAUUGGUAUAUGCUAGUUACUAUUCAAUCUAAAUUGUAAUGUUAUUGUUUAAAAAUGAUACCUCUUAUUUAUACAUGACAUUUUAAUGCAAUACAGGAAAAAUAUGAACUAGAAGAAACAUGUAAGAGCUACAUUCUUCAAUGUUGUGGAAAUUUGUUUAGAAGCUAUAGAAAUAAAAUGAAGGCCAAGUAUUAUAACCCUUAUAAUACAGAUGAGGAGAGAUUGUGUCAUCGACCUCCACACUUAUCAGAUGAUGAUUGGAGGUGGCUCAUCCACUUUUGGGGUACACCUGAAGCCAAGGUAAAGAUAAUGAUCUUUUCUUGAUAAUGUAUCUUAUGAUACUCAUAUUCACAUAAAAUUAUAUUUAUUAGUUAUAUCUAACCUAAUACUUCAUGUAUAUAACUUUUAUUAUGUUUCUAUUAUCUAUAUAGGUGACUUGCUAUUUUUUAAUUGAUGUAGGAUAUCUCAGAAAAAAACAAGGCAAAUAGGGCAAAGCAAGUGAUAAAGCAUACAUCGGGAUCAAAAAGUUAUGCUCAAAUUCGAUAUGAACAGGUUGAAAAUUUAUUAUUAAUAUGAUUUGUUUGUACAUAAAUAAUUUAUCAUAAAUAACUCAAUUGUUUUACUUGUAAGAAUAGGCACAAAAGAAAGAGGAUCGAAGUGAGCCCAAUAGAAUUGAGAUGUUUGCCUUGACACACACAAGAAAAGAUGGGACACCUGUUGAUGAUCAUUCUAAGGAGAUUAUGGUAAUGAAGUAAAUAAAUUUUAUAUACUUGUAUUUCAAUCAUAGCCACAUACUAAAUUAUUUUAAAAGUUUAACAAUUUUUGUUUUUUUUUAUAAUUCCAGGAUCAAUUUCAGCAAUUACUAUCCCAACCUGAGGGGACAUCUUCUUCUACUUCUGCAUCAUCUGGAGCAUCUACAUCUGUAUCAUCUACAUCUGUAGCAUCUACAUCUGUAGCAUCUACAUAUGUAGAUGAGAUAUAUACUCAAGUCAUGGGUCUAGAGAGACAUGGUUGUGUUCGAGGGUAUGGAUUUGGUCCUACUCCUACCUCAAUCUUUGGUUCUACUAGUAGAAGGCGAUCAGGAGUUAUUCUUUCAACACAAAUUGAAAAUGCCCAAGAGAUGCUAAUAGCUGCAGAACAAAAGUUUACAACUGCAACUGAAGAACUCUCAAAUGUGAAAGAGGAACUCUCACAUGUGAAAGAAACAUUUGAAGAGAGGUUGAUAGAAGUUCAAAGGAAGACACGAGAAGAAGUGAAAGAAGAGUUUGAAGAAAAAAUGAUGGAAAUGCAAAGAAAAAUGCAAGCACAAAUUCAAGAACAGAUGAUGCAAAUGAUGCAACAAUUUCAGCAAAAGCAGUAGAAAUUUGAAGAUUUUGCUACAUCUUUAUAUGAUAGAUGCUCUUAACUUUUUUGAAGAUUAUGCUACUUAUUUAUAUGAUAGAUUCUCCUAACUUUUUUUGCUUUCUAUGACUAUUGUGUGAUGUUUGGUUGGUUGAUUUGUUAUAUUAUGUUAGAAUAUGAAACUAAAUUUGAAUCUCUUUGUUAUUUGUUUGCUUGGUUUUUUUUUUUUUUUUGUUAUAUCAUGUUUUUUUUUUAUUUAAUGACUUAUAUUGAUAUAUAAGUUUUUAACUAGCUUGGGAUAAUUGAUUGUAAUAUAUUGAAAUUGUUUUAAUUGCAUAUACAGGUCUAAAAUGGGUUUGUUUGGGUUUAUAACAGGUUUGGGAAAUUUGAAUUUAUAAAAAAACCAAUUUCCAAAUAUAACAAAUUUUAGUCACGGCCACAAAAAAUUUGUGACUAUAAGCGUAUUUUAGUCACGAUCAGUAAUGAAUCGUCACCAAAAUUUGGGGAUAGGGCGGCCAUCCAUGAUUAAUUUCAGUCACGGUCAUUAGUAGUCGUGACCAUAAGUGUAUAUUUUGUCAUAAUAGACCUAACAAUUAGUCACGGUCAAUUAAUUACCGUGACCACAAGGUUACAUUUAGUCACGGUCAGGGACAGUGACCGUGACCAUAAGUACUCCAACCUUAUUACAAAUAGGACAAGCAAAUUUCCCUUUAGUACUCCAACCUGAAAGAUUUGCAUAUGCAGGAAAAUCAUUGAUGGUCCAUAAUAUAGCUGCACGCAUACAAAAAUUUUGUUUUGUUGAAGCAUCAUAUGUUUCAAGUCCAACGUCCCAUAAGUCAUUCAACUCAUCUAUCAAUGGUUGUAAGUAUAUGUCAAUGUCAUUCCCAGGUGCAGUUGGACUAGGAAUAAGUAGUGACAACAUGAAGAAUGUUUGUUUCAUACACAUCCAAGGUGGUAAGUUAUAUGGAAUAAGAACUACAGGCCACAUGCUGUAUGAAAUUGACAUAUUCCCAAAAGGAUUGAACCCAUCACUUGCUAAACCGAGCCUAACAUUUCGAGGUUCUAGUGCAAAUGAAGGGUGUACGUUAUCGAAGUUUUUCCAAGCCAAAGAGUCCACUGGAUGCCUCAUCAUCUCACCUUCCAUGCGACCAUCAACAUGCCAUUUCAUGUGAGAAGCUGUCUUAGAUGACAUAUAUAACCUUUGAAGUCUUGGUUUUAAAGGAAAAUAACGCAAGACCUUAGCAGGAAUUUUCUUUUUCUUUGCUGAAUUAGUGAACUCAUCUGUAGAAUGCUCAUCACUUGAUUUCCAUCUAGAGACACCACAAACGACACACUCAUUUGCAUUUGCAUACUCUUUUGAAUACAACAUGCAAUCUGAGGGGCAUGCAUCAAUCUUGAUAUAAUGAAGGCCAAGGUCACGAAGUAUUUUUUUUGCUUCAUAAUAGUUGCUUGGCAAUGUCUCACCCUCAGGAAAUGCAUCCUUCAACAAUUCAAGCAACAUUGUAAAGGACUUAUUGCUCCAUCCAUUAAGACACUUCAUAUGAAAUAAUCUUAUGAUAAAAAACAACUUUGUGAAUUUUUUACACCUUGGAUAUAGUUCCUGCUCUGCUUCUCUUAACAAAUUAUAAAAUUUGUUUGCAUCCUCAUUUGGUUUUUCAAACUCCUCAUGCACAUGUCGACUUCUUUCAGAUUCCUCAUUUGGCAUUGGCAUUCCAAAUGCAUCAUUUAACAUUUCUUGCAUCUCAUCAUGCAUAUCAGACUCAUUAGUGCUAGUAUUUGUAGGUUCGCAAAACUCAAAUUCCCCAUGCAUCAACCAUCGCACAUAAUUUCUAGCUAUCCCAUUGUCCAACAAAUGGUCAUACAUGAUUUCUCGCUUCUGCAUAAGACAAUUAUUGCAACGAAUGCAAGGACAUGGGAGCAUUUCUUUUCCAAGUGCACUGCUAAAGGCAAAGUCUAAGAACUCCAAAACUCCUUUAUAGUAUUCACUACUUACUCUUGACUUCUGCAUCCAACUCUUAUCUAUUGGCAUUUUUCUCGUACUUCCGCAAAUUAAACCCUUCAAUCACAUAACAAUGAAUCUUCAUAUCAACUUAUAAUGAAUGUGAUAUGUUUUUUAUCAUCUCAAAUUCUUAUAUUUGGUAGUGGUUCCUAUCCCAUUUAGAAAUACAUAAUCCCUAUGAAUCAAUCACUAACAUGCUUAGUUUCAUUUUGAUAAAAUUUCGGCAGCAUUUCCCCAUAGUUCUCCAAGUACACGAAUUGGCUAAGGUAUAAACAUACCUUCUCCAAAUAUGCACCCAGAGAACAAGGGGAAUCACUGUCAAAACUUAUCAAUAUGCUAAAGCAUAGGCGUGUGAUUUCAUAGAUAUUAUGUAUUUCCAAACUGUCCAAACGGACAAUUCAAGCAUCAUUUGCAGACAAUUCUACCAAUCAUAUACAAAACACAUAGGUUGAAAACUUGAAUAUGACCACAAUAAAUAAUCAUAUCCACAAUUCUACAACUUAUCUAUUUUUAGUAUAUGAUAAAAGAGACAUUUGUCAAGCAAGGAUACUUGAACGGGAUUUCUAGGGUUUUCUAAAAUGAAAAUGAGUAAAUGAUAAAAUUAAUGACAAAUAAUAUUAGAAAAGAAAUAGAUAAAAACACACAAUGAGACUGACACAUUCGAUAAUUUAUAGAAAUGAAUAACUAAUAUUUCUAUUGCAUAAAAUCAACGAGGGUUAGUUCACAGAUAACAAUAAUAAAAUAUAAAAUCAUAGAUAAGGUCUCACAAUAGAUGCAACUUUAUACAAGUGCCAAGGAUUAAAGAUUGAGUGAUAGGGUGGAAGAUUAUAAGGUUUAUGAGAUUCUUACAUCAAUUGGAAUAAGAUCUAGGAGAUGUUUUUACUUUCAUUAUUGAUAGAUUUAGUAGUCUUGGGAUCUAGAGAACAUGCACCCUUGAUCCUAUUCCUAAUACCAUGGACAAGGUGUGAACAAGUUAAGGAAGAGUUUGAAUUAGAAAAAUAUCAAUCUAAGAAGAUUAGGGUUGGCGUGUGUUGAAAGUACGAGCAACUUGUUGAAACUUGAACUUGUAUAUUAUUAUUAUUAUUAUUAUUUUAUUUAAAAUGUAAAAAAUAUGAAAAGGAUAAUAAAGGAAUUUUAACCUUUUCUUUUUAUAAUUGUACUAUGCUAAUAAAUUUAUCAUUCUUUUAUAAUUAUUAAAAUAUUUUAGAAUAUUGAAACUUGAGGUUAGAGUUGUCAUUUAUAUUAAACUAGUAACGAAUAAUAUAAUUGAUAGUUUUGAGACAUUUAACUUUAAAAUUUUUAUUCUAUAAUAUGACUUAUAUUUUAUUAAUUUGAAAUAAAUAUUUUAUUUAUCAAAAGUUCUAUUAUAUACAUUUUGUUUGAUAACCCUUGAAAACUAACAAGUACUUAUUGGAGCCCCUAUUGCCUAUUAGCUUAACACGGGUUGAAACUUCUCGAUUCAACUUCAUAUUAGGCUUAGAAUAGAUUGGACCUUUUCGAUUCGACCUUAUAUUAGGUUUAGAAUAGGUUGGACAUAUGAAUCAAUAGAUUUGACACAGAUUAACCUUCAGACCCAUUCAACCCAUCCGAGUUAUAACCAUAGCUUAAAAAAAAAAAAAAAAAAAAAAAAAAAAAGAGGAAUUGAUUUGAGUGGCCUAUUUUUCAAAAGCUUUUAUUUUUUGUUGAUGGGCAUGGGCCCACCAAGAUUUUCUAAACAAAAAGUUUAUUUGCAACGUUCCACUUUAAGUUAAUAAGUUAACAUUGAAAUUAAGAUAUAUAAUUUCUUCUCAUAUAGAUGUAGUUACAUUUAAUAUAAUUUUAUAUAUAUCCAAUUUUUCAUUUCUUAAGAAAAAUAAUAGGACUAUUUUGGAAUAUUUUUUAAAACAAUUCUAAAAAAAAAAUUAGAAUAAUUUAAAAAAAAUAAUAUUUUAAAUAAAAAUUUAUUUUUUAUAUUUAUUAAAAAUAACUUUUAUCUAUAAUAUUUUAUCUUCAAUAUUCUAAUAUCUAUAAUAUUAGAAACAAAGUUUUAAAAAAUUUGUUUUUCUUAAUUAAAAAAAGCGAUUUAAGAUACUUUUUCGAUAAAUCUAAUGACAAAAGAUAAUUUGUACGUACCCCAAAAGCACUUCCCCGAGCUUAGGAGAAGAUAAGGAUAAGAAAAGAGGAGUAAGCAUGUUAUUAUUGAAAGUGUUUUUUUAAAAUAAAUUUUUAGUAUUAUCUAAGAGUAAAACUAAUGGUGAUUAGAAAAUAAAAAAUAAAAAAUAAAAAAGAAAGAAAGAAAUAAUCAUAACAAUGGAUGCAAUCAAUUGAGAAUCUAAGACAAUUCAUAAUUCAUACUUUUUACGGUUGUACUUAGGAGAAGAAUCACAAGAUUAACUAUUGCAAUAUUAUAACUCUAAUAUCAAGUUGCACUCCAAGAGAGAAUUUAAUAUCAAGGCUUCUCAUUUAUAAUUUCCCACAACAUAACAAAAUUCCCCUAUUUUUACUGGAAGAUAAAUAAGGAUUUCACAUAAUUCGACAUUAUCUCUAAAAAAAUAAAAAUAAUGGCUAAAACAACGUAAAUGAUUAAUUAAAUCACAAUAUAUGCAAUAUUAUAUUUGAAAAAGGAGAUUAAGAUUUUUUUAAAAAAAAAUUAUAGGCUUUAUUUUAAAUAAUUGUCUUUUACAAAAUUAAGAUAAAUAGUAAUAAUAAUAAGAGAUAUUGAUAAGUUUUUAAAAAAAUUAACAAAUAAGGAUUAAAAAAUAAAGAACUUGUUAUAGUACAAACCUAUCACAUUUUAAGAUACAUAUUGGAAAUAUAAAUUAUAUUAUAUAAUUAUUAUUUUCAAUAUGAAAAAUAUCUUAGUUACUAUGAUUUAUCAUAAUAGGAAAGUGAAAUAUUAUUGAAGGUAAAGAUACCCGAAAAAUCCUAUCUCAUUAUCAACCCUAUUCCCAAUAUUCUCCAUCUAUUCAUUGUAUUUUUAAUUAUUUCUUAAAAUACCAUAAAAAAAUAUUUUAGGCACUUUAAAUUUAUUUUUAAAAUUUUAUUUUGUUUCAGAUAUAUAUAUAUAUAUAUAUUAUAAUACGUUGAUUCUUGGAAUAAAAAAACACUAGUUUCAGCACAAAAUUCUUCCAAUGUGAUUUUAAAAAUUGAAGAACUUUUUUUCUUUUUGAAGAAUAAAAACUGAUUUUAACCCCCUUCCAAAAUGAAAGCUAAUGGUAGGCAAUUGCAAUAAUCACACAAGUUCACAACAUUCCUUAAUUGAUGCCCAGAAAUUGCACUUUCAGAUGAAAAUUAGACUAGAUUUUUAACCUCAAUUCUGUUCUGGAAAAACAAUUCCUCAACAAGAAACCCUAUGUCACGCCCCAAGACCCACUCCAAGGGCGUGACGGUCAUUUCACACCUCAAACCCGAAGGCUUAAAGUAUAAUCUGACCCAAACAGUCAUAUUGUAACUGGAUGUUACCAAUUACCAAAUACCUGCUCAGAGUAGCGGAAACAAAAUCUAAAAUCCUCAAAAUUCAAUUUCCAAAUAACUUCCAAAUACCAAAUGAUCCAAAAUAACAUAACUAAUAGUUAAACAAAAAUCCAACAUAAAAUCCUAAGUCAAAUCCUAAUGAUGACCAUUCCUCAGCCUAGCCAUCACUCCUCACCCGAACUAAGAGUACCUGAAAAAAUUUCAACAAUUGGGGAUGAGCUCACAGCCCAAUAAGGAAUAUUAAUGCAGUUCAUGGAUCAAAUAUUUUCAUUUCAAAUAGGAUAUAUCAUUUUUUUUUUCUCAUCAAAUAUCAGAGUUUCAAAAAUACCAAUAUAUUCAAAAUUCAACCAACCAAUUUCAUAUCAAAUUCAAACACUUUCACAUAAGAUUCAAUCAAAUCCAUUCAAUUUUUCAUUACUCUGGUUAUCAAAUAUCAAAUGCCCAGUUAUGUGGGACUUUUCAAAUGGGUGGCUAGCCUCAAAUUGUUCCUGGUGGACGGAACCAAACACUACUAGUACUAGUAACCUCUAACCAAACCCCUAGAGGCUGGGGUCCAAAUCAAUUACAUUCCCACCAUGAAAUGUAAAGGUCAACUAUUAUAUCCCGUUGACAGGGCCGAAUAGUCAACUAUUAUAUCCCGUUGACAAGGGCCAAAUAAACCAGAGUGAUGUUUUUGUUCAAGUAUUCAAAUUUACACAACAUAAUAUCUCCAUAUUUUGUGUCAUAAAUAAAACAAAAUAUUCCAACAUAACAUUUAGUGCAAAACAAUUUGAUCCAGCAUGGUAACAAAAUAUCAUUUUCUUUUCCACAAUUCAAAAUAACAUAUAAAAUAAUUUAAUUUUAUAAAUAUUGCAUUAACUUCCCUUACCUCAAAAGAAGUCCUUGAAAGCUUGGGAGAAAAAUAAUUCUGAAAAAAAUAUAAUCUACUCUUCACCUAAUAUAACAUAAGAGAAACAAUUAUUACUAUUUGUUUAUAAUUUAACUAAUCUAUUCCUUAUUUAAAUAAAACUAAUAAAUUCCCAAUUUGUUUCUAAUAACACAUUACCAAUUUAAUUAAAUUAUAACUUUAUUUCAUUAUAAAAUUCUAUAUAUAUAUAUAUAUAUAUAUAUUGCUAAAUCUCUUAUUCUAUUUAUUACAAAAAUACCAUUAUUACUAUCAUCUUAUUUAUUAAUCUUUAUUUUUUAUUAUCCAAUUCAAUAGCUACCUAACCAUUACUCAUUCUCGGGUACACACCAAAAAACAAGUUUUUUUUUUUUUUUUUUGCCUAAUGAUGAUUCAUUAUAUAUAUAUAUAUAUAUAUAUAUAUAUAUAUAUAUAUAUAUAUAUAUGAAAGCCUCCAUAGCCCUCUGUCACGCCCCACUUACUUUUUUUUUCUUUUUUUCUUUUUUUCCUUCCUUCUUCCUUCCAGUGUGCACACGCGUCUCUUCUUUUCUUAUUAUUAUUAUUUUUUUUUUUAUUAACUUUUUCUAAUCUCUUCCACCACAAAUAACAAUAUAUUUAUUUACUCUUUUUUUUUUUUUAAAUUAACCCUAAUCUAAAAUCAAAACCUUCCAAGGAACCCUUUUUUUUUUUUUUUUUCAUCUAAUAAAACUUAAGAUCUCCUAAAUUCCAAUACUAAAAUCAAAAUCUUAGAUUUUCACUGUUUGAUAUUAAAACAAAUAAAAAAAUAAUCUAACCCUAAUCUAGAUUUGGGGUUUUCCAAAAAAUAUAUCUAAUGUGUUUGAAAUUAAUCAAUGAAUCUAAAAUAUUAAACUAGGGGUUACAAUCUUACCUAUAGAGAUCUGUUCUUCAACCCUGAAAUCUGACUCCAACCUUACGUUCUCUGGAAUUCUGCGAACAGGAACUCUAUUCAGAAAAGAAGGGAAAUAAUAAAAUUUCUAAUUUAUACCUAGGGUAUUUAUUCGUAAAAUUACACUUUUACCCCUCUUCCACUUUAUUAAAUUAAUUAAUUAACUAAUUAAAUUAUUAAUAACAAUUUCCUAAAUUACCCUUAAAAGAAAAUGCUUGGGCGUUACACCCUAGCUGAAGAAAAAAAAGCUCAAUUUACCAACCAUUUAACCGAACCCUCAAAGAUAACGACAGAGCAGGAAUUCCUCGAGAGGUAAGUGAAAUACCUGGAGUUUCCUAACAGCAACGUCCUCGGAAUUUCGCUAUUUGAGUGUGUUUGGGGAAGUAUUUGGGACCUUCUAAUAUAAUUUGAGAAUUUAAAAGAAAAAACAAACAAAUAAUUUGAGAGAACCCUUGAAACAGGAAACAACCUUUUCAUGAAUUGAAAAUAGAAAAGAUUAAUAAAGUAUAAAUUUCAUGGGAAGAUGGCUCCAGUUCACGCUAAAACUGAACAAACACAAGUAAUUUCUAGAUCUAAAAAACUCGAAGACAUAAAAUAAGGAAAUAUCGAGAUCUUACCCAAAAAUCAAAUCAAGGCAAUAAUCGAUCCCCAAACUUCUGUAGCUUCAGUGAGUGAUACUCAGUUGUAGAACCCUACCGGAGAAAGAAAAAAGGCCCCAUUUGUUGAUUGGGGGAAAGAUGGGGAGAAGUUGUCUUGAAAGGCUUUAAAGGAAGGUGGUGUUUCCGCAGUCUGCUGGUAUCAUAACUCAUCACCUUAUGUGAGCUUUUUCAUUUCUCUGUUGAAAACGUGCGAGUCCGAAGGCCCCAUUUGACAUCCGUUUCCUUUAAAAAAGGCAUUUUGGAAAAUAAAUAAUAAUAAUAAUAAAUCUCACAUCUGAUCUACUUAUGAUGCAAGGGUGACUUAUCUUAAAUUCUUGUUCAGUAGGAUGUAUAUAUAUAUAUACAUAUAACUGUGAUUAUCGGAAAAUACUAAGAAAAAAAAAUAUUUUAAAAAAUAAUUUUCUUAUGUUUUGAUUGUGCUAUAAAAAAUAUUAAAAAAAAUCAAAUAUAAUUAAAACUACUUAAAAAAUUAUAUAUUUUAAAAUUAUUUAAUAUGAGUUAAAAUAAAUAAAAAUAAUUUAUUGGAUUUUAAUCUAUUUUUUAUUUUAAUUUUUUUCUUUAUAUCUUCACUCAGAAUUUCUUGGAACCAAAUAUAAAUGAAGAAACCUUUAAAAAAAUAAUAAAAAAUAAAAAAUUUACCCCUUGAGAAUUUGAAUUUUUAAAAAGUAAAAAUUGUUUUUUAUUAAAUGUUAUUGAAAAAAAAUAAAACAUUUACUCUUUAUAUUAAUAUUUUAUGUUAUUUUUAUAGAAAAUUUAGUCUUAUUUAAUUAUUUAUAGUGUUUAUUAUUAUUUUUAAUCACGAGAGAUAAUAUGAUAUAAUAAAAUAUUUUAAAUUAUAAAUAAUAGCUAAUCAAACUUCUAUAAACUACUCAUAUUUUAUUUUAGGUUUUGAUGAUUAUGACAUUAUUUCUAUUUGGUUAUUUUUGGAAUAUAUAGUUUGAAUAUAUGUAUUAUUAGAGAUUAAAAUUUUGUUGCUUCAAAUAAAGUUUUAUAUAUAAUAGAAAAUAUAUGCUAGAAAAUUCAGCAACAUCUCUUCAUGCAAUGAGAAUUUUAAUUAAAAUAUUAAAAUAAAAUAAAAUAAAACUCAAGACCUUAAUUGCGGCCAAGCAAUGUCCACUCAUAGAUUAAGUAGCAGCCAAGGAAAAGUGGCAUCAAAAGGAAUUAAAAAAAUUUCUCAAGAUCUUAAAUUGUGGCCAAGCAUAAACUGUCCACAUCAGAGAUUAAAAACGACUUUUAAUAAAGCUAUAUAUAUAUAUAAUUUUUAAUAAUACAAUUAUUAAAAAUAUAUAUUAUAAAAUUAAUUAAUUUUAUUUAUUAAAUUUAAUUUAUAAAUAAUAUACUAAAUUUAAUAUAAGAUAAACAUUAUUUUUUAAAUAACACUAGAAAAUAUAGAUAUCAAGAAAGGUAAAUUUUAUACAAUAAUUUGAUUAUUAUAAAUAUAUAUUAUAAAAUUAAUUAAUUUUAUUUACUAAAUUUAAUUUAUAAAUAAUAUACUAAAUUUAAUAUAAGAUAAAUAAUAUUUAUAUAUUAUGUUUUUCUUUCACUUUGGAAUUAAAAAAAAAAAACUAUUAUCAAUUUUAUAUGAAAAUUGAGUUUAAAUUUUAAAGUUAAAAAUAUAAAAAUAAAACAUUAACUUUUGGCUAAAUAACACUAGAAAAUAUAGAUAUCAAGAAAGAGUUGGAAAUACAAUAAAAGUCAAUAUUUUAUUUUUAAAAGUUUUUUGUCUUAUUUAUAUUUAAUUUUUUUUUUAAUUGUAUUUAACUUUUAAAAUUUCUCAUUUUAUUGUUGAUGUUUUUAUUCAAUUUUAUUAAAGGAAAGAUGAAUGUAUUUAUAUAAAACACUAUAUAAAAUCAUUAUUAAUUAAAAAUUUUAAAAAUUAGUAUUUAUGACUUGAGCAUCUUAAUGAAUUUUUUUCAAAAUGAUUUAUAUAUAAUAUUAUAUAAGGAAAAAUUAGUAAUAUAUUGAUUUAUAAAAUACUUUUAUCAAAUUAAAAUAAUAAAUUAAUUUUUUGAUAAUUUUAUUUAAUAUUAUCAAGUAAAAUGAUAUUUUUUAAAAAUGUAUAUAUUUUAAAAUAUUUUUAAAUAGAUAAGGAUAAAACUGAUUUAUAAGAUUUUUUAUUUUUUAUUUUUUAUUUUUUCAAAUUAGUGAAUCAAAAUCCCCUUGUUUUUUUCGGAUAUAAAUCAUAUUUAAAAAAGAAUCACGUUCUUCAAAGUAAUUAAUGGGCACUGGAACCUAAUCGCCACCAUAAUUAGAAUUUGGCUUUCCACUGCCUCGUCAUUCCCAAGAUUCGCUUUCACAUGAUGGGAAAAAAAAAAUCAUUAAAUCUAUUUAUUACAAAAAUAAUGCGAGUUGGGCGGCCACAUGACAUUGAAAAAUGCGACAAAAAAGAACGUUGACCAACGUAUCAUAUGGCAAAAACAAAGAAGUAUAUAUAGAUAUAUAUUUUUAACUUUAAAAAAAAUUUAAACUCAAUUUUCAUAUAAAAUUGAUAAUAGUUUUUUUUUUAAUUCCAAAGUGAAAGAAAAAAAUAAUAUAUAAAUAUUAUUUAUCUUAUAUUAAAUUUAGUAUAUUAUUUAUAAAUUAAAUUUAGUAAAUAAAAUUAAUUAAUUUUAUAAUAUAUAUUUAUAAUAAUCGAAUUAUUGUAUAAAUAGAAUAAAGAAUGAAAAAAAAAAAUUUUAAGGUUUUUUUUUUUUUUAAGUGAGAAUUUCUCACUUUUUUUUUGUUGUGAAAAUCGUCUGUUGAAGAGACGAUUUCUCACUUACAAAUUUCUUCUCUCUCCUCGUUGGACAAAACUACAUAGAUUUGAAAUUAUUUUUUUUACCACGAUAAUUUAGGCAUUAUUUUUAAAAACUGUCAUACUCUUAUAAAAAAUCUGGUAAUUGAUGAAGGGUCGGAGUUAAGGGCUAUGCUACAAUUUGCUUGAAGGGAUUAAAGUUAGAGGGUAGAGGUGGCCGAAGUUUACCUAGAUUGGAAAAUGAAGCAAAUAAUAAUAAUAAUAAUAAUAAUAUUUAUUUUGGCAUUGGGUCGUUCGGUUCACCAAAACAUGGCAAUUUUAUUUAAAAUUUAAUGGGAAAGAAAUGGGCCACGGGGGGAUUCACUCAAUAAACAAUAUUAUCCUCUACAUUUCCAAUCAAAAAGUUAGGUCAAAUGCAGCUAAGUAGAGAUUAGGCCCCUCCUCCUCCCCCACCUUCUCAGACUAAGUUAAUAUUUUGGCUUUGGUUUUUUAAAGCUAAACUCAUAGACUUGUGGAGUAAAUGUCACUUGCAUUUAAAUUUUUUAUCAAAUAAUAUCAAAUUGAACCAUCAUAUUUUUAAAUUAAUAUAUAUAUUAAACUUUAUUUUACUUUUCAUUAAAGCAUUAAUCAUAACAAGGAAAUUAAAUAAUUUUAACUAAGGAAAAAUUAAUAAGAACUAUUAUUAUUACUAUUAAUAAUAAUUUCUAUGAUAUAUCUAUAUAUCUAUAUAUAUAUAUAUGUAUAUAUUAUCUAAAAAAUUAUAAUAGGUAACCCAAAAAUGGUUUAAAAUAAAUAAUAGACUUUGGUCACGAUUGUGUGAACCCCGUGACCAUAGGUUCAAAAUAUUUCUCUAUGUAUUUGGUCACGGUCAAUGUGAAAUUUGUGACUAUAAGUUCCCAUACAGUCACGGUUAAUCAAUAGCGUGACUAAAAUUCACAAAAAUAUAUAUAUAGUGACGGUUUCACAAAAAACCGUGACUAAAACAUCAUUUGUUACACUUUUGGUCACGAAUGAUAAAAUUACCGUGACUACAAGUAUUGGCGCCAAAAUUUCCCUCCCUAAAUUUACAAAUAGUCACGGAUUCAAAUAAAUCCGUCACUAAAAUACCCUCUCAUCAAUUCUUUUGGUGACGGUUCAUAAAAUCUCCGUGACUAAACAUGUUUUUUUUUUUCCACCAUCCUUGAUUAACACAUAUAGUCACAAUUUUACUCUGGCCGUGACAAAAUAAUAUCUUUGGUCACGAAAUUUGUGGCCGUGACUUAAAAUUCGUCAUUAAAAACCUAUUUUUUUGUAGUGUAUAUAUAUAUAUAUAUUAUGGUAACUCCGUCUUAACAUACUUUAUUUCUAAUUUGAGCUUUAUGAUUAAAUCUCGAUAAUUAAGAAUUCAUUUGGCAAGAAGUGCUAUUAAUCAGAAAAGUGUUUUUGAAAAACAAUAAAAAGUGUGUUUGCUAGCAUUUUUAUUUGAAAUAUUUUUAGUGAAAAUGUUUUUAAGAAAAUCACUUAUUAAGUAUUUCUCUAAGAAAACACUACAAAUAAUUUUUCAACAUUGUAAAUGAUUUUUCAGAUUUUUAAAAGUGUUUCUUAAAAUUUGUUAAACGUCUAAUUUUUUCUAAAGGGUAAAAAGUAACAUGUUUGUUUUUCUUUACUUUUUAAUAUUUAAUAAAAAUAAAAUAUUAAAAAAAAACAAAUAGCCUAAUACUUAACACUAUUAAGCAUUAAAGUUCUAUUCAAAAUUAAGAAGAAAAAAAACACUACCUAAGUGUUUUACAAAAUUUUGGAAACACUUUUAAAAUUUUGAAAAAUCACUUAGUGGUUUUUUUUAAAAAAAAAAUCAUUUUAUAUUUUUAAAAAUACUUUGAAAGUAUUUCUACUAAAAAUACUGCAAAUAAAAAUACUAUUAUAUACACUAUAAAUAAAAGUAAAGGAAAAUAUGACUUAGUUAUCUUUAAGUGAAAUUAAAUAUAAUAAAUAUGAUAUGGAACGAAGAAAUGGAAUUUAGAAUAUGCAAAAUGUUAAAAUUAUUUUUUAAGUAAUGACAAUUGUUCUUCAAUUUCAUAUGAAAAAAUAAGAGUGUCAAAUUUUAGUACAAGACUCCAAUACUAAAUACUAAAUAGAAUACUAUGUUUUUAUUAUUUAAAAUUGGGCCUAAAUAUGUAUUAAAAAAAAAAAAAAUCAAACAAACAUCAUCUAGAGGUUCAAUCCCCAACCAGCCCUGAGUUGCAGUAAAGUUAGAAAUGGGACAGCUUGUGCUACCUAUCCUAUUCAUUGGUCUUCACGGCAUCUUUAUAGAAAUGCUUAAAAAAUCUAGAAGAAAGAAUAGAUUAAUCUUUAUAAUGUUAAUUUUCAUUUGACUAGUCUAAAACGCGUAAACCAUUCCCUGCUCAGAUCCGUUAAAAAAUCUACAAGAAAGAAUAGAUUAAUCUUUAAAAGUCCUUCUCUUUGACACCCCAAUUUCUCCAUUAGAGUUCACAUUAAUUACUUUUCUGCCUUCAAAUUGGCUUAGGGGUUGGAUCUGGAUCUGUUAAACAUCCACUUCUGCUUCCAAAUUGCCUGCUGCUUCUUUUUCCUCUUCUUCUUCUUUAAUGGCUGCCACUUCUUCAAUGGCUGCAAAGACUGCUGCUGCUGCUGUUUCUUCUUUCACGGCUCCUUCUUCUUCUUCUUCUGAUUGGAAGUAUGGUGUGUUUCUGAGUUUUAGGGGGGAGGAUACUCGCAAUAAUUUUACCGGCCAUCUCUAUAAGGCGUUGGACCAAAAGGGAAUCGACACCUUUAUGGACGAUAAGAAGCUUAGAACAGGUGAAGAGAUAUCUCCCACACUUGUUACAGCAAUCCGAAGAUCAAGGUGCUCCAUCAUUGUUCUGUCAGAAAAUUAUGCAUCCUCCAAGUGUUGUCUAGAAGAACUUGUGGAGAUACUGGAGUGCAGAAGAACCAAAAACCAGAGGGUGGUGCCCAUUUUCUAUAACGUGGAUCCAUCACAUGUUCGGUACCAAACUGGAAGUUUUGGAGAAGCCUUGUCUAAGCAUGAAAAGAACUUGAAGAUCAAGGAGAAGGUGCUGACGUGGAGGAAGGCUCUAACUCAAGUUGCUAACUUAUCUGGUUUGCAUUCCUUGAAUAAGUAAUUCUCUAAAACUAAACUAUUUUUUCAUUGAUUGUUUUUAUUAUUCAUUUGACGUUUUGAUCAUCCCGACCUUAAACAAUCAGAAAAAGGGAAAUUAAAAAAAAAAAAAAAAAAAGUAAAAAAAAGACAAAAGUAAUUGCUGAAAUAAGCUAGCUAGCUUUAAAUAAAAGAAAUAUGUUGGAUGGGUUUUUGCCUCUAUCUAAUCAUUCAAAUUCAUGAUGAAAUCUGCCCAUACCUUAAUGGUCUUUUCCUUCCUCCUUUCUGCUUUUCAUGAUUGGAAUGAUGCCUAGGACCUAGUGGAAAAUCGCAAUGUGUCAAAUUGUCUUUGGUUCGCCCAAUAUGUACAACUCUUGUUAAAUGUAUUAAAAAGAAAAAAGAAAAAAACAUUAAGCCAAGUAGUAAGGUUUGGGCAUCCCAAAAGAAGACAAUAAAUAAGAGUAAAAUUAAUAGAAAAUAUAAUUUUAAGUUAUAUUAAUGUUUGUAGAGCAACUUCUAGGAGGGAUUUCCUAGAUUCAAAGAGUUGUUUUCUGUUUGAACCUUAUAGUCCAUUUAAUCAAAUUAUAUCAUAUCAUAUCAUGCUCAAGAUAAAUAAAAACUAGGUUUUAGAUACAAUAUAGUUAAGUUGGUUAUUUUAUAACAUUUACUCUCAACAAAGUACAUUAUUUAUUUUUGUGUGAGAAAUCUAAUCAAUUAUAUCUUAACCAUCAUAGCAUACUUGAUCGAUCAUGUUUUUUGUUUUCCUUCCAAAGUUGCAAUAAAUAUGACUAAGUAUCCACGUGUUUCCUCCGAAGUUGUCAAAUUUACUACUUUUUAAACCAUGUAUGUGUUACCAAACUUACCAUUAUUCCUUUUCCAAAUUCAAAAUUGCAGGCCUGAGGCUCAACUUAUUGAGGAAAUUGUGGUAGACAUUUCCAAAGAUUUAAAAUGUGUUCCUUCAAAAGAUACCCAGUUUCUAGUAGGAGUGGAUUCUUGCAUAAGGGAACUAGAAUCACUAUUGUGUCUUGAGAGAUGUUCUCAUGGUAGGGAUUUGGGGUAUGGGUGGUCUAGGUAAGACUACCCUUGCUAGAGCUAUUUAUGAAAAAAAUUCCGAAAAAUUUCAAGGUUGUUGCUUUCUUGCCAAUGUAGCAGAUUUGAGAGUAAGAAAAGGUGAAGAUCAUUUAAAAAAGCGACUUCUUUCAAGCAUAUUGAAGGAUAAAAAUAUUGAUGUGACAACCACUUCGUUGAAGGCAAGAUUACACUCCAAAAAGGUCCUUAUUGUUCUUGAUGAUGUGAACCACCGAUCAAUAUUAGAAAUUUUAGCGAGAGAGCCUAAUUGGUUUGGUCCACAAAGUAGAAUCAUUAUAACAACUAGGGAUAAACAUUUGCUAGACACAUAUGGUGUGAAAGUUGUAUAUGAGGUCCAGAAAUUAUAAGAUGAGAAAGCUAUUGAGCUCUUCAACCAUUAUGCCUUCAGAAAUGAUUACCCUUCAGGAGAUGUUAUGGAGCUUAUUGACCAUGUCAUUGCUUAUGCUCAAGGCCUUCCAUUGGCUCUUGAAGUUUUAGGUUCUUCUUUAUGUAAGAAAAGCAAAGAUGAAUGGGUGUGUGCAUUGAAUAAACUCAAAAAAAAAUCCCUAAUAAGGAAAUUCAGAAAGUGCUUCAAAUAAGUUUUGAUGAGUUAGAUGAUGACCAGAAAAAUCUAUUUCUAGAUACUGCAUUUUUUUUGGAGGGUUGGACUAAAGAAUUUGCCAUGGAUAUACUAAAUAGUUGUGGCUAUUUCCCCAUUAGUGGAAUAAGAACUCUCAUUGACAAGUCACUCAUAAGUAUUAUUGAUGAUGAAGAGCUAUGUAUGCAUGAUUUACUUAUAGAAAUGGGUAAGGAAAUUGUUCGCCAAACUUUUCCUGACGAGCCUGGCAAACGCAGCAGAUUAUGCAUGCAAGAAGAUAUCUGUUAUGUAUUAGAAAACCUUAUGGUGAGGAUCAAAUAUAGGAACUUAUUUUUCAUAAAAAAAAAUUAAGCUUCAAAAAUAUCAUUUUCAUUUAACCAUUUGUACAUGUAUAUAGUUUUAAUGAAUGUUUUUUUUUUUUUCUUGCAUGCUCUUGUGUAGGGAACCAAGAAAGUUGAAGUUAUAGGCCUCAACUUGUCUGGCAUAAAGGAAAUACGAUUUACCACUGCAGCCUUUGCCAAGAUGACUAAACUUAGACUUCUUAGAAUUGAUGACACUCAAAUGCAAUGUGAAGUACACAUUCCUCAUGACUUUAAAUUUCAUUUUGAUGAGCUGAGGUGUCUUGUUUGGUGCCAUUAUCCUCUGAAAUUAUUGUCAUCUGAUUUUGAGUGUAAGAAUCUUGUGUGCCUCAGCAUGCCUAAUAGCCACCUUACUCAGCUAUGGGAAGGAAAUAAGGUAUGGUUGAUUUACUCUCUUUUUUUUAGGGGGUGGGGGAGAGGGAAUAAUAUGUUAUGUAUAUAAUCAAGUGCAAUUAUUUAUAAUCACUUGUCUUUUGUUACAGGUUUUUGAAAACUUAAAAUAUAUGGAUCUUAGUCACUCUCAAUACCUGACGGAAACUCCAGAUUUCUCAAGGGUCACCAAUCUUAAGAUGUUGAUUCUGGAUGGUUGUACACAGUUGUGUAAAAUUCACCCGUCCCUUGGAGAUUUGGACAAACUCGCUCGCUUGAGUUUGAAAAACUGCAUAAACCUUGAGCAUUUUCCAAGCAUCGGUCAGUUGGUAUCCCUUGAAGAUCUCAUUCUCUCUGGUUGCUCAAAGCUAGAGAAGUUUCCGGAUAUCUUUCAGCACAUGCCCUGCUUAUGGAAGCUCUGUUUAGAUGGAACUGCUACAACAGAACUCCCUUCCUCAAUUGGUUAUGCCACUGAGCUUGUUAGAUUGGGUUUAAAAAAUUGCAGAAAGCUCCGGAGUCUUCCAAGCAGCAUUGGUAAAUUGACACUUCUUGAGACCCUUUCUCUUUCUGGCUGCUCGGAUCUUGGAAAAUGUGAAGUGAACUCAGGGAACUUAGACGCAUUGCCAAGGACUUUGGAUCAACUUUGUAGUCUUUGGAGGCUUGAGCUGCAAAAUUGCAGGAGCCUACGAGCAUUGCCAGCGCUUCCAUCAAGCUUGGAAAUUAUAAAUGCAAGUAAUUGCGAAUCACUGGAAGAC
Molecule: long non-coding RNA, 160960 nt
Filed under: Vitis vinifera (wine grape)
Lineage: Eukaryota; Viridiplantae; Streptophyta; Magnoliopsida; Vitales; Vitaceae
Description: long non-coding RNA (VVIN_LNC006315)
Source: RNAcentral